UUUUUUUUUUUUUUUUUUUGCAGUAUGACUAACUACUAAAAGGUGUCAGUAAUUGUAUAUUUUUUCAACCAACUGUAAUAGGUAGAAGAUGAAAUUAAACUUUGCCAUCCAUAAGAUUAAUAAUUCUAUGAGUGCAUAACCAUUGAGUCGGCUCAAUACGUUGUUAGAUUUAGGAUUCAAAUCUUGUACCUAUCAGUUAGAGACAGAAGGAUAUGGAGAGUAGUGAAAGGGUUAAAAAAAAAGAAUAAUGAAAAAAACUCUAUGAGUGCAUGGGUUUCGGAUUCUAAAACCAUUUCUUAAAAGGUUGCAAUCCUUUGUCUAUAUUUUCCGGUUAGCCAACUAAAAGAGUAUCCCACGACGUACUACUACACUUCUUGAAAUUUUAUGUAGCAAUGGAACUAACUGGAGCCCUUUAUGUGCAUCGGUUUCACGAUGUACUACUACACUUCUAUUAGUUUUGGAACUUUGGCAUCCAUGAGAUUAAUAACUUUUUGAGUGCAUAACAACUGGGUCGACCUUGUGAUCAGAGAAUGACAAUUAAAAUCUUUUCAUUGACAAGUUUGGAGUUCAAAUAUUAUGCAUGACAUUUUGGGUGGAAGGUAAAAAAAAAGAAUAAUGAAAAAAAAAACUCUAUGAGUGCAUCGGUUUCUGAUUCUAAAACCAUUUCUCGAAAGUUGCAAUCCUUUGUUUGUAUUUUUCUAUCAGCCAACUAAAGUGUAUCUCACGACAUGCUAACGCACUUCUAGAAAUUUCGUAUAGAAAUGGAAUCAAAUGGAGCCCUUAUAUAUUCACUUGAAAUUUUUCGCAUUACUCCUGCUGCAGCCACUAGACUUGUCAAAUAGUUAUUCCAAACCGACAUAAAAUUUUCUUUGUAUCAACUAAUGACUGUUGAAACUGUCAUAUAUUGUCUAUUUUCGUGAAAACUUUAUUCCUUGAUACAUUUUCUAACCACCAUUUUUUCUCAUUUAUCAUAUUAUUAUAAUAUAUUUUUCUACAAAAGAAACUCCCAAAACUCAAAAAAAUUUAGGGUUAAUUACAAUUAAUUCCCUUAAGAUAUAUUUCAUUUCUCACUUUACCCUCUAAACUUUAAUUUUGCUCACUUAACCCCCUAUAGGACAAAAUUAUCCUUCCAUUAUUUUGACUUUUUAUUUACCUUUUCUCAUCUCUUUUAUUUCUUUUUCUAUUUUUUCUCUCUUUCAUCCUUCCCAAUAAAAAACUUCAUCUCAAUGGAAAUUUUUAUUUUGAGUUUGUAAUUAUAUUUCUGGGUGAAGAUUUAAAAGGUAUCAAAAACUAAUUUUGAUUGUUUGUAUGACACCAAGUGUCACAAAUUUCAAUUGAUGAUCAGGUCACAAUUUCAUCUUAUGAUAUUUUCUUGAGAAUAAAAUGAGAAACUAGAAAGGAAAGAGGAAAAAUCAAAAUUAAAAUAAUUGAAAGGCUAAAAAAAUUGUAUUUUACGAAAGUGAUUUGAAUUUUUUUUUAAUCAUUUAAGGAGAAAAUAGAUCUCUGCAAUUUCUCUUUUUUAAUUUCAAUCAUUAAGAUGAAAAUUUUUGUGAGAAAGAGGAAGAAUUAAAGAAAGAAGAAAGAGGCAAAGAAAAUAAAAGAGCACAAAAGGGGAAAGGAAAAAAAUUAAAAAGAAAAAUAAGAUUAGAAUAAUAGAGGGACAAUUUUGUCCAAUGGGGGAUAAAGUGUGACAAAAAAAUGAUUAGGGGAUAAAAUGAGAAAUAAGGUAUACUUAAGGGGAUUAAUUGUGAUUAAUCCAAAAAUUUAUAAUACAAAUGGGCUAGGGUAGAUAAAACUAGGCAACACAAGGCCUUUAACUUCCAAUGUGGGACACAUGAAGGCCUGUUUGGAACCUGAGUUUUUUGGGAAUUUGUUUAAAACUUUACUAUAGUGCACUGUAGAAGUUUUUGUAAGGUGAAAAAUUUUGUAGAAGUUUUUGUAAGGUGAAAAACUUUUUUUCCUUUUCUUUUUUUUUCUUUCUUUUUUUCUUUCUCUUUUUUUUUCUUUUUCUUUCUUUCCUUUUUCUUUUCUUCUUCUUCUUCUUCUUCUUCCCCGUUACCUCCGCCACCCCAGCAGCAACUCCACCAAUGCCACCUCCCGCCACCCCUCUCCUCUCUUUCCCCUUCUCCUCCCCUCCCCCCGCCACCCCUCCCCCUGCCACCCCCCUCUGCGCCUUAUCCCUCUGCCCCGCCACCCCUCCCGCCACCCCCUCUGCCCCACCUUCCCCCUCUCCCCGCCACCACCUCUGCCCCGCCUUUCCCCUUUGCCCCGCCAUCCCUUGUUCCCCUGUUCCCCUUCCCGCUUCUCACCAUCUUUCUUUUCUUUCUUUUUUUUCACAAAGAGGUGGGGAGGAAAUGGGGGAGACGCAGAGAGAAAAAAAAGACAAGAGGGGAGGAUGGCAGGGGAAGUAGAGGGGGAGAGGGAAAAAAAGGGGAAAAAAAAAGAAGACCGGCACCGGCACCGGAAAUUGGCGCCGGAACCGGCGACGGAGGUGGUGGUGGGGGAGGAAGAAGAAGAAAAGGGGAAGGGAAUUUUUUUUUUUUUUGUGUUUUGGAUAUUUUAAGUGUGUAGAUAAAAAAUUUUGGAAAGUUUUUUGGGGUUUCUGUAGCAAAAGUUGUUAAAAAACUAAUAGCUAAAAAACUUGGUAAAAAAUUAGGAUGCCAAACAGGCCCUGAAACUAAAGGACUGACAAUAGUUCAGACGUCGCAACAAUGGGCCACCUAUUCUAAAAUAUAGCCUACAUUUGUUGGCCAUUCCCCUGCAUGAAAUAAAUUCAAGGACUUCGGCUUAUGUUGUGAUUCACUGAUUCAGCAGCACGCAUUGAUGGUUUUUGACUUUUUGUUUCUAAGAACUGUUGGGAAAUUAUUGCUCACAACAUGUUUUCGGCUUAUGUUGUGAUUCAGCAGCACGUAUUGAUGGUUUUUGACUUUUUGUUUCUAAGAACUGUUGGGAAAUUAUUGCUCAAUAUGUUUUAGAUGCUUCUUUGAAAGUACACAAUUUUUUUCCUUGCGUUCUGGGUAAAUGGAAACCAGACAAAGUUGGUGGAAAUACUGAGGAGCAUCUUAUCAAAACAUAAGAAAAGAAGCACCAGAAAAUUUACAGCGUUAGAUUUGAAGCCAAAAUAAGACGGAGAGAAUUGUAGGUCAAAAAUGCAUAUACCAUUGUCAUGCUCAUAGCUAAACAAAUUCUUAAGAAGAAAAUAAUAUUUCGUUUGUAUCAUAAAUAUAUUUUUCAACUCACCAUUUUAUAUUUCCAAUCACUUUUUUAUGUCACAUACAUUAAAUUACAAAAAAUGCUACCGUAAUUAUUUCAAAUAAUACUCUAUCUAAACAAUAAUUAUACACAGGAUAAAAUCAAGCCCAUUUGGCUAAGAGAGACAUACAACCAGCACCAAAAAGAAGGGAUACAUUUGCCCCCAUUAGAAGCUUUCCAUUGUUUUGCAUCUUUGGAUUCAUGAAAUCUGCAGACAGGAGGUCCACCAGUGCCAUGUAUAUUAGGAUCCCUGCUGAUGCUGAAUCAAAAAUUCCUUGCACUAUGAGAGCCUUUGGGCUGUUCUCAUUGUAGACAUUUGCUAUUCCAAUCCCUAUUGCGAUGCCAGCAGGUGUUGUGAGCGAGAAGAAAAUAGCCAUGAUUGUUAUUGCUCGAGCAUUGAAUUUCGCCUGAAGAUGCCAAGUAGGAUACAAGAGAUUACAUGACUAUUCGCCAACCCAAAGACACUUUUGUUCGGCAUUACUAUUACUACUUCCUUCUAAACUCUCAAGAAUUAGAGGUCUAGAGUUUAAAUUCCCCUAUUUCCUCCUCGCUUUUUAAGUCUCACCCUUUCCUACUAGAAAAUAUUUGUUAAAAAAAUACUUCUAUUUCCUUCCAAAAAUUAAGAUGAUGUAGUCCAUCUUUACACCACGGAAGGAAGGAAAUGAACCAACCAAACCAUGCAAAUCAAAUGAAUGCAUAUCCAUAAUAAGUUGCAUUCCUAUUAGAAAAUAUAUGUACUUUUCUUGUUCUAUUUUUUGAUUUUCUUUUUGACAAUAUUUCAUACAAUAAAACAACAAAAUGAUUAGAUGAAUAAAACUAAGAAAUAAGAAUAACAAGUUAGAUGGUCAUACGGCCAAAAUUAACUACUCGUACACAAUUAAUAAAUACCCACUAUUUAUUGUAUUUGGUUAGAAUACAGAAAUGAAUGAAACUAAGAGAAAUUCAAGCAUGGAUAGGAUAUUUUGGAAAGGUGAUAUGAUUUUGACACGACAGCAAGAAAAACUCUAAGAACGGACAACAACGUAAGAUGGACGCCAGUUCAAAUGUCUAAAUCCUAACUUACGAUGCAUGACUUUAAGAAAUUUUAAGUCCUGGAUUGUAUUUUUUAUCAAAAAUUACGUCGUUUUUUGUGAUUAUAAUUUUUUUUAUUACAUACAUCGAAUCGCUACAGUAAUUUUUUUAUAAAAAAUAUUAUGCGAGGCUAACGUGUCCACGAAGGUCAGUUCAUGUCCAAAUAAAUACAUUUUCAGAAAAGUUAAGUGACAGAAAGAAAAGUAAAAGAGAACAAUUUAUGGAGGAAGGGACUAAUUUGCUCCACAUCUUUUUUCAAGAAGUCCACGUCUGAGAAUAAUCUGAAACCACAGGCGAUACAGGAAAGCACACAGGACGACCAGCCUCACUGGCAGGACACAUAGCCUAAAAUAUCUAGUGAUUCAUAUCAAAGUUGUACGCGGACUGGUAGCUUCAAUAUUAAGCAUGCACCUAGGACAAAAAAAGUUUGUUUGAUUGGCUCCUACACUCGCAAUGUACAGGAAGGGGAAAAAUAUAGCUCUUGAAAAAAAGAAAAUAAUAAAGGAAAUAACAAAAGUAUAAUUAGUUGUGAUAAAGGAUGAGACUUCAAGAAUUAAUCACCUCCAAUUCUUAAAUCUCAUUCAUUUCCUGAUUAAAAAGAAAAACUAGUUGUGAUGAGAUAAUUACCUGAGUGAUGCAUCCGCCUAAUCCAACACCCUCGAAAAAUUGGUGAAACGUCAAAGCUGCCAGAAGAGGCCUUAUUGUUUUGGGACUAUCCGAUGCACCCAUAGCAAUGCCAAUAAUUACAGAAUGUACGAUGAUUCCCAGCUCUAAAACCUAUAACAAAUUUAAAGGAGCAAAAACCUCAUUAGAAGUUAGAUUUCCAAUUAGGUUUAACCACAAUCUGCACCUCCAUAUUAUCAUAAAUUUGCACCGUAAGUUACGAACUUUAACGAUUUGGUAGUUUAUAUUGUCAAUUUAUGACAUAUUAUUCAUUUAAGUUCAAAACCAAUAAUUCUUUCUAUCGACUCAUAUAUAAAAAGACAUCACUAUCCCUAUUGAGUGCUCAAUGGCUACCAGAAUUCAUUAAGGGCUAUAGCAGUUUAUCGAAAUAGCUACCAGAAUUCACUGGUUUUUCAAUUCAUUAAAACAUAUUGUGUUACAAAUUGAGGUAUUAAGUGCUAUAAUAGAGAGUUUAGCAUGCAAACCAUAAAUCGGUUAUAAUUCAUCAACUGUGAAUUUAGCAAUUAUCUCUUGUAGCAAUAAUUUCUGGAACCCAUAGCUUCUUAUUAACGGGUCAUCCAUGCAUAGGAUUCCAAACUAAAGAGAAGGAGCAAAAAAACUUAACUGAUAAAUGAUAAUUCAUAUAAACAGCAUGAGGAACGAUACACAACUCGAACUCCAUAGUUUCUAUAGGAGGGAGAAAAGAAAUGGUCUGGUCCAAGUGACUAAAUUGUUGAAGGCCAAAUUUAUCUUAAACCUUUCAGCAGUCACUACCAUGUCUAGGUUUCUUCACAUGGAAAUUUAAAUUUCUGAUCAAGAAAUAUAUUCUAGAGUUAAUAAAGAAUUUAAAAAAUUACUUCUAAAUCUCUGUUUCUUAAAUCCAACUUCCUCUUUGCUAGAAAAAAAAAAUUACCUGCGAUAUCACACGAUACCGAAGCUGCGUAGAAAGGGUAUCCCCGUCCAUGGAUAACGAGGUAUGUGCAUGACCAUGUGUGGCAUGUGUAUGAAGAGGAAGCACUCCAGAAAGAUUACUCUCUCCAUUACGAUCACCUUCCUCUGCUACAGCUUGAAUGCCCUUAUUGCCAGCCAUUUUUUUAUAAUGAGAAGUUGCAUACACAUCAACCAUAAGUGUACCGAUCGAAGCAAGCAUUGCUACGAAGCCGGUAAACGGAAAUUUUCCCCAAGGGUUGUCGGGAAGGCAUGGAGAAGUCAAGCUCUCGAAAGCAUCAGGGAGGACGUGAAUGAACCCAGUUGCCAGAAUCACUCCCGCAGCAAAAGCUUUGAUGACGAAGAAGAGAUUGUUUUCAGGGCUUAAAGAUGGUAUCUUCUUGCCCCAAACUGGCAGAAGGACGCCAAUGAAGCUAGCAACCAAGAUUGAAGCUAUUGCUCCUGAUUUGUACUUGAGGGCUAAACUCCUGUUUCUGUCAUCGUCGUCGUCAUCACAGGUGCAAUCUCCUAAAACUAUGGCGGGAAAGAGCACUAUAAUAAGCACCAAAAUGAGGAACUUUUGAUUCGCCGCCAUAUUGGUUCUGAAAAUUGAAAAGACACACUAACACCGAUUGAGGUUUCUUUAUUUAUGCAAGAAGAUUGGAGCUACACGUAUUUGUAGUUUAUUAUGUCUACAAAUUAGGAAGAAAAGAGAGAAGCCGUGGGAGUCAAAGCUGGAAGAGAAUUUUAAAUUUAAUACUAUUUGCUUGGAAUUUCGGUUGAGGGUCCAAAUGAAUUAAGAAUUGUAAACAAAACAAAAAGAAAAUGAUGUUUAGAUAGCGAAAUAAGUGCAAAGCAAGACUUAGAAUUACCCUUUGGUUUCGGUCAAAGCAAAUGGAGAAGUGAAGACAUGAUGAGGCCAUCGGGGCAUGUGAUUUGAACAAUAAAUGCGAGAAAAUUCAGAAGUUGACGGCUAUUAAUUGGGAAAUGGAUACAAAAAGUGCAAGAUAAACCAGUUUGAUUAAGAGGGAUUCCACAGAAUUAAGUUGGGAAUGUCGACAUAGCUCGGGAGAAUCAAGUCAACUGGUUCGCAAAGUCUCUGGCUUUUUUGCUAGGAAACUUAGCGUGUUGCCAACACGAGUUGUUAUCUUUUUAGUUUGUACAAGGAAUGGUAGCCACUUGGCACUUCCAAGAUUCAAUUCGGACAACAAAGCAAAAAUCAAAAUGUGUAAUCAUAUAAUGAAAGUUGCGUAAUUCUGAUGCAAUUAUGGCGUAUUGUUUCAAAUAAAUAUGAAGCUAUAUUUUAUACUAAAUUAAAAAAAUUAUUACAUAGCUGUAUUGUUCAGGUACAUAGUAUAAAAUUUUAUUCAAAAAAAUUGUAUCGUUUGGGAUGUAAUAUAAAAAAUUAUUUACAAGCUUUUACUAUUGGGGAAUAGUGACACUGGCAAAAUCUUGGUUGAAUUUGUAUACAUGUUAUUCUCUUUAGUUGUAAUCUUAUUGGACCAAUAUGAUCGAUUAUCCAACAAAAGGCAAUCUGUAUGGAAGGGUUCUUUUAUUUUAUUUUAUUUUUUUUGGUGUUAAAGUCACUCUCUUUAUGCUGCUUGUACUUGAUCCAUCCUUUUCUUUCUUGAGAUGUUCGAGGAAAAAUGGGCCAUCAUUAAACCCAAAAACCUUUAAGCAUUCAAUUUGGACUUAGUUUCUAAGAUUUUGAAUUGUAAGAUCUAUAAAUCAGUUGGCAACUUUGUGUCUUUGUAGCUGAAUAGAAUGUCAAUUACUAUUACCAUCCCAUAAUUUGUUAUAUUCGUCACUUUUUCUUGUCCCAAAUUAGUUGUUAUCUUACAAAGCCAACUUACUUUUUUCAAUGAACAUUUAUCUAUAUUCUUUGUAUGAUCCACCAUUUAUUCCUUGCAAUUAUCAAUAUAUUAAAUAAAAGAUGGUUCUCUACUAAAAAUAUUAAAAAAAAAAAGUUAAAAUUUUCUUUGGUAUUAAUACCACUAUACAUAAAUUGCAUGCUUUUCAAAAAUAAAAAAUUUAUGAUACGGAAGGAGUACUUUUUUAAUACGAUUUCUUUCACUUUAUGCAUUUUAUACUUGAAAAUACUCCAAAUAAAGGCUUCAAUUAUGUGGUUCUUUUUUGAGAUUUUUAAAAAAAAUUACUAUAGCAUUUUUUCAAUGAAAUAUGUAUGCAAGAUUUUAAAAAUUACUACAGAACGCAGCCAUUUGAAGUUUUCGAGAUAUAAUAUUCCUCGAGAUGUUUUCACCCAAAUGAUUAAUGGUCAAAUUAGGUUGGUAGCUGGGUCUUCUAACGGAUGAUUACCUUCACGUAUGAAUGUGAGUUGGCAAUUUAAAAAUCGUGUUUUAGUCCAAAGUUUGACGUUUCAAAGCAAUUUCUAAGACGUGGGUUCCACUUUCCGGUAGUCUAUAGAUUCCUUUUUUUAUAUAUAUAAAAUAUAAAAAAUUUAUUAAAAUAUGCACCAACGUCAGAAAUUACAUCAUUAAACAUACAUAAAUAUUAAAAAAUAUAUCUGAAGAAAAAAUACUCCUUAUGUCAAGAACAAUAAAAUUACAUUACAAAGUUCCAAAUUUAAAAAAUGAGAUAAAAUAAUUGUAAUUCCAUGAACAUCUGUGCAUGCUUUCAAUUGCUAGAUUUGCCAAUUACCUGCUUUAAGUCCAGAUAUUACGGUGAAAUCUACCGAAUAAAUCUAAGAAAUUCCAGAUUUGAUAAUAAAAAUUUGAAAAAAUUCAGAUCUAAUAAAAAAAAUUAUCAAAAAACUCUCACUAAAAAUCCCAAGAGAUAAUAAAACUCUCAUUAAAAAAUUUAGAAGAUAAAAAAACUCAUACUAGGCAACCCUAAGGAGAGAAGAAAUUUUCACUAGAAAAUUUUAGGAGAAAUUUUAUUCACAUAAAUUAAAAGAAAUUAUAGAGAGAGUUUCUCCCACAGAGAAAGAUCAGCAAAAUCUGGUUUGAUUUCUCUCCCAGAGAGUUUUUUUCGAAGAGGAGGAAAGAACGGUGGUCCAUAGAUUCUACAUACUAAAGAUAGAUAGGGAUUUGACAAAGAAGAAAGAAGAACCAGACGUGUAGAACGAAGAAGACAAAAAUUCUACUUUACUUUUUUUAAGCGAAGACUUUACCGACAGUUUUAGAAGUCUAUUGUCAAGUUGGAACAAAAAUGUCAAUUAUUGCUCACAGAAGUUUGAUCGAACGCUUGCAAAUCCAUAUAAUUUCAUGUGAACAUGAAAAGUCUCUUGUUUUGUGCUUUCACACGUGGGAGUCUUUGGAUAGCAUAAAUAUCUCAAAUAAUAUUUGGAUUGUAUCAUAAAUACAUUUUUCAAUUCAAUUUUUUAUAUUUUCAAUUACCUUUUUAUCUCAUAUACAUCAAAUCAUAAAAAAUAUUACAGUAAUUAUUUCAAAUAAUACUCUAUCCAAACCUCUCCAACUAUUUUUGGCUUGUUUUUGUAGCUCUGUACACACACACAAUUAUCUAAUGUGAAAAACAAUUGGGAUGUGUUUACACAUUAAACUAGAUAUUUUGGAACUGUACUGGUGGCGCACCUAAUUCUCGGGCGCCACCACUAAUUGUGAGCAGUGUCAAUCUGAUUAAUUAAUUUCAUUAAUAUAACGCACUUAUGGACCACUCUGAGUACCUAAUUAUUUAUGCCAAGCAUGUGCAAAGUCUUGUUUACAGAGAUCGUCUUAGAUCGAUAUGAUAAUAAUGAUGACUUAUCCUACUGCGCAUAUUCAAAAGAGAACAUAUUUAACAAGUUAUUACUGUGUAAGCAGGAUCUGCAGCCCUGAAACUGCAGAUGCAAUAGCAAAUUUGACGGUCAACAUUGGCCGGCUGAUCUGAACUGGUAAUUUAAAACUUAUUAAAAUUCAUUUGAAUUUUAAAUUAACAUUCAAGAUCAAUCUGAAUUUGAUUGCAACUGUAGAGAUCCAGAUCCUAACUAAUUGCUUUAGAAUAGUUGACUAUCAUGAAGAAUUUUAAAACUCAUCUUAAGUAUAGGUCAAAAGACCUGCAUUCUUAUUUAGGAUUUUUUAAAAAUUUUAUAUGAUUUUGUAGAUCUAAAUCCUAAUAUGUAUAUGAUUUUGUAGUACAACUCCAGAUCCUAUGCCUACGAUCUCGUAGUACAAUUUGAAUUCAUUCCGAUAAGAUUGGCCCGGCCACUCCUGGUACUUAGUCGGAUAAGAAGAUUUCUGAUUGAUUUGGGAAGUUCUUGACUUCUUGUAGCGUAAGAUUGGCCCGGCCAUUCCUGGGUACUUAGCUGGAUAAGAAGAUUUCUGAUUGAUUUGGGAAGUUCUUGUAGCGUACAACCCUUUUAACAAACCGACUUUUGCGGACGACAAAUGCACAAGUGGUAAAACAACUUGCUUAGUGUGUCCAAACUUACUCCAAAGCCAACCAGCAUUUAGUACUUGUUCUCUCCUUCCAUUAAACAAAAAAAAAAAGUGCUUGCUCUUUUCCUCGAAGCUCACAAGAACGCAAGCGAUAAGAAUAGAGGACUUGCAGUUGGUAAGCAUUGGCGUCAACGGUCAACCAAGAACGGUGGGUUCACUCAUUAUUAUAUUUGCCUGUUUCAUCAUUUCAUGACAGUCCGAAGUCUCUAAGAGUCUAAAGCAUCUUGGAGUGUUGAAGAACCCGAAGAUUGAAGCAUCGCUUGUUUUCAGUUGAUUUUGAUUUUGUAAAAGCUGAUUUUAUAAAAUUAAUUCUUAAAAGUCAGAUUUUUCAGAAUAGCUCAUUUGUUUUCAUUUACUGUCAACAAAGCCAUUUUACUAAGUUAAAAAGAUGACCGUGUUACCCUUAUAUGCUACAUAGAUGAAUUUUUUGUGCUAAUUAAAUUUUUUUUUAUGUAAUUAAUUACUUUUUCUUAUGAAGAUUAAAUGAUGGAUGAGAAAAUCAAGGAAAACAUAGAUAAAUCUAGAAAUGAUAUGAGCAAAGGAGGAAACUAGAAGACCAUAAAAAGUUCUCUAAUAUUUAGGUAAUUUUCUAAUUAUAUGGAAAUUUGAAGUGUAAUUUUGCCUAUAUGAAAAAGUGAAUCAGAAUCUAAAAACACCUCAAGAUUUGCUUCUGAUUUUCAACUUUUUGUGUUCAAAAAAUCUAAAAUCAGCUGAAAACAUAACAAAAUAUAUUUUAACAAAUCGAAAGCUAAAAUUAUGUUUCCAAAAUCAUUUUAGAACAAGCCUUUUAUAUAUAUACACACUCACACACAUACAUAUAAACAUAAAUAUACCGCCUGUUUUGGCUGCACAGUGCAUUUUAUUUACUACAAAAUCAAUUUUCAUAUGGGCUAUUGCCCAAGGAUGCCACUUUUUUUUUGUUGGUCAACGUAGUUUUGGAAUAUCAUCUUUAUCAACUCUGUCAUUGACCAUUUGGCCUCAAGGUAGUGGCGAGACGUAUGGAAGUGGGGCAGCGUUAUUGUAACAUACAAUAGCUUUUUUUUAAAUACGUAAAGUAUAUAUUAAUAAAGAAUAAUAUUUAUAGAGAUUAUUAAAUUAGGAUUAAUUUGAAUUAUCAACAUUAUGCACUAAGCCACACGAGUGGAGUUGCUAACAAGGGCCCAUAAAGAUUAGAUAUUUUUAGGAAUUUUUGAAAAACUUUAUUGUAGCAUUAUAUUUAAAACAAUUUCAACUAUAAAUGAUCCAUUUAAAUUAUGUAUUCCCUAAGAUGUAUUUUGGAUAUUUUUAAAAUUUAAAAUUUUAUUAAGAUAUUUUUUAAAUUUAUUAAAAAUUUCUUACUAUCACCACCUCCCUCCUCCUUUCUCCCUCCCCUUCUUCAGUACAAAAAUAUUAAUUUUUGGUGACAAUCAAGUGUUGUCAUAGAAAGUAAGGAAUUUCGUUUGCAAAAGUUUUCUUGACGACACAUCUUAAGGAAUUUCGUUAGCAAUGAAUGGUCCAGUCGCCUAUGUACCAUCGGGGAAAGUUAUGGUGACCAACGAUGGCUUUGAUGGCAGAGGUGUGCACUCCGUACAAUUUCGAUUAUUCGAUUUUUUGAAUUUGAUUUUUUUGAUUAUUUCACUUGUAAAAUUCUAAACCGUUUUCAAUUUCGAAUUGAGAAUAACCGAAUUCAUUCGGUUAUCGAAUUGAAUUCAGAAAUAGUCAUGAAAUUGGUUAUAACCUAAUUGAAUAGUAAUUUCCAUAUAAUUAAAAUGGAACUCAUUCCUAUAGUUGUAGACACUUAGUCACAUAUAAUUUACUAAUUAUGUGUUGCAUUACGCUUACAUUUAUUCUUAUUUUUUAUAGGAUUAAUCUUUCCUACACUGACAGUGCAUAUACUGUCAACAUUGGAUGAAUGACAACUAUGCAAAAUUUGAAUUUAAAAUUUAACUUUUACACAUAUGUCAUGAAUCAAACGGUGAUAGUGUAUACAAUGUCAGUGUAUAUAAGAUUUACUUUUUUUUUAUGUAGGUUAAAUGCUUAAUCUAUAAAAAACUUGAUUGCUUUCAAUGGUGAAUGCUAAUACGCUAAUAUGUUAACAUGUAAUUUAUAUAUAUUUGUUUAGACUUUUAAUCAUAGUACUUAGUUAUCUACGUUUAAAUAAGAUUAGUAAAUAGAGAAUAUUAAUCCACAUAUUAUAUAUGUAAUGUAAUUUUAGAGUAUACUAAUACUUGCAAGUUAAAAGUUACACAUUCAAAUAUUUAAUAAUCCAAACAUGAAUAAUGAACCAAUGUGUAAAUUCUAAUUAUUAAUUAUGUGUAAUAUUUAGUACUAUACUUAUACUUAUUUUCUAAUUCUAAUUAUGUAUAAAAGGAUAAGUAUUAUGGUUAUGUAUUAAUGUAUUAAUGUAUAUUUGUAUUAUUAUAAUCAUAUAACAAAUACUAAAAUAGCAUAUUGUACAUCAUUAUAGAUUUUUAUUGUUAUAGGUACAUGAUAUAUGCUAUCUAUUAUUAAUAGCCUUUACCUAUAUAAUAUAUUAAUACCAUAUAGCAUUUACCUAUAUAUUGGCUAAUUUUAUAAACUAAUUUGGUAUUCGAAUGCGGUAAUAUGGUACCCUACUGAAUUUGAAUUCAAAAUCGGUUACCAAAUUGAAAAUCUCAUUACCUAUUUCAUACCACAUUAGAAUUCGAUGAAUUUAAUAAAUACCGCUUUGGUAUCAAAUUACUGAAUACCCAAUUUCAAAUUAUCAAAUUGAAUUUGAAAUCGGGUACGAAUUCAAUAUAUUCUGAAUUUGUUCGCCCCUACUUGAUUGUCAUGGAAAAGCAACUUUUCCGGACGACAUGAUCGCCAUGAAAACUGCUACCAAAAGUACUAACCGAAGGAUUUUUCCUCACAAUAUUGGUAUUACGAAUAGGACUGCAAAUGAAUCAAAUUGCUCGUACAAAAGAAUCGAAUUGCUUGCAAGCCGAUUGUGAGCAACUCAAGUCAAAGCACGACUUGAACUCGAUCAACAUCGAGCUCGAGUCGAGUUCAAGUUGAUUAAGUCGAACUUGAGUUAAAAAAUACUUAGGUCCUGUUUGAUAACUAAUUUAGCACUUAAACUUAAUGGAUUCAGAUUUUAACAUAUUCAAACAGUUUGAUAACCAAAAAUUGAACAUCUGAAUUAAUUAAAUGACACUAAAUUUUCUAGGUAAAAUUUACUCCCAAAAUUAAGUGAUAAACGAUUAACUUAUUACUGAAUGUGAUAUGCACUCAAAUAUAUUAUAUUUAAUACUUAACAAUUCAAUAAUUUAAUGGAUUCAGACUUCAAUUUUAUCAAAUGCACCCUUAAUUCAUUAGCUCGCGAGUCAUCUUGGUUUUAUAUUUUUUUAUUUUUUAUUUUUUAUUUUAAUGGUGAAAUUAUAUAUAUCUCUAAUGUUUUAUUAUUUGUUAAGAAUAAUCAUUAUUUUAUUUAUUUUUUAAAAAAUUAAAAAAAUUAUUUUUUAUUUUUUAAGUUCGACUCGAAUUGAAUUUGAGUCGAACUCGUCCUGUAGCUCGACAAUGAGAGCUUGUCAAGCUAUUGUCGAGUUUGAACUUGAUAAAAUUAAAUCAUGGUUCGAUUUGAUUAGGUUAAAGUUCGACUCGACUCAACUUGUUUGCAACCUCAUGAAAGACUAUAUUUCUUUUUAAAAAAAUACUGCAACAUUUUUAGUGGAUUGGUAAUCAUGAUUGUCUUGAAUGCUCUAUCGCAUACAAGAAAAAAUCACCAUCAACUCUAACAAAUGCUUAAGAAUUGCUAGAAAAAUCAUCUCCAACAAAAAUUAUUGCCAAUGCUAUCAAUACAAUGUUAAAUGAAGGUUUAAGAUACAUUAAAAUCACCAAAUUGAUGUUCAAUCCCUGGCCUAAGGAUGAUAACAGCUAGAGAAUUAAUUUAUGCAAUAAGCUCUAUUCAAAUAGGAAAGGGAAAAUUUCAAAAACCUCCCUUGAGGUUUUUAACAAUUUCAUUUAGCUUUCUCGAGAUUUUAAAAAUUACACAUACCUCCCUUUUUAUUUAAAAUGACAAUACUACUCUUAAAUAUUUUAAUAAAAUUCCCUUGUUUGGUAUGCUUAUACUUAGAAUGACUUUUAAAAUUAUUUUUUCAUUCUUUUUCCUUCUUAUUCCCUUUUUUUAAUUUUUUACCGGUAAAACUGUAGAACUAUCACUAUUACUUCUAGUUUCUAUUGUAACCAAAUGUCAAACUAAUGAUUUUUUGAUGAGUUGACUUAUAUGUAAUCCAAUGUUUUUUUGUUUUCUAACUUUUGGUAUUAAAAUUAACAAUAAAUAUAAAAUGGCCUAAAAUCACUACUAAAUUAUAAUAAUCCCACUACUUGAAAAAUUCAUAAAUUCUGAAUGAAUUAUUUUAACAUUUUCUUUUCUAUCUUAUAUAUCUAAAUCCAUAAUCAAAUACCAUCAAAGGUAUCUAGUCAUGGUGAUAAAAUUAUUAUUAUAAUUAUUUAUCAAAUAAUAGAUAGAGACAUGAAAAUUUUGACACCUUUUCUUUAUAAUUAUACUAGAUAAUCUUAUAAUUGUAUAGAAAAAUAAAUUAAAACUCGUUACACAAGGACAUAUUUGGAUAUUCAUUUAAAAACUUGACCAAGUCAAUAUUAUUUAAAGGUUUUGAUACUAAAACUAUCAAAACUGUGAUGGCCCUACCUCCCCCUGGGCGUACCCUAGGGUUUAGCGGACCGCCUGCCCAACUCUCGUCAGGACUCACUCACUCGUAUCACGUGCAGACAACCGUCGACAAUAAAUAACAUCGCAAUUCACACUUAUAAUUUACAUCAAUGCACAAUCAAUAUACAAAGCCUCUAUAUACCCAAACUGGUUCAAAGUGUAUACAAUCCAAGUACAGUCAUCCUAAUCGAGUGAUAGCGCGAGUACAAGUCAAAAGUCAAAAACAACUAGACUACGCUAGUCUUUACAUAUCUCACGUCUCGCUCGUACCCCUGUAAGGAAAACAAAUAGCGUGGAAUGAGCUAAAAGUCCAGUGAGAUUCCAAAUAGCAAAUUGACCAUUAUUUAUAAGUACAAGUUUUCGAUAUAGCAAAGUAACGAGCAUGAAGAGUUCAUAAAAAUGAGCAAUAACACGUCAAGUAGCAAUCUCAAAAUGAGCGAGCGUAAAAAUUUUUCAUAAUAAACAAUAAUCCAAUAAGCAAUAAUCAUUCCAAAGUAGAAGGAUACGGAGGGCUCUCAGGAACCAAAUUCUCAUUGCAUCACCAGGAGUUUGAUCACGUAAUAGUUGACACUCCGUCAACUUUCAAGUAAGUAACCAAUCCAAUAGGACACCACUUACACUACUCUCCGUCCACCAUUCAAACUCCCUGCUGGGCCCAAAAUCCUCAAUAAAUUCGGGUGGUAAUACUCGAGUAUACCGAUUAGUCGAGGUGAUAUCACUCCACUCGACAAACAAGAGACCCAUGGUUCGUUACCCAAUCGACCAAACUCUUGCCGGCUCGACUCGAGUAACUUGCCGCAGGGUUUCUGGAAUUCCAGGAAGUGCGUACAUCAUAAACAAGUAUAUCAAAUCAAUUUCAACAAUAAACAAGUAUAUCAAAUAAGGGCAAGUGCGAUAAAGUACACUCUUGCCCGAUCAAACCAAUCAUAUAUCAUUUAAUCAUAUUGAUCAAGUAUUGGAAACAAGUGUCCAGUUCAAUCAGGUAUUUGGAAGCACUCACCAAAAUGAAGUGCCCCUAGUAAUCACGUCUAGGUUAUACUCCGGGUUCGGAGUCCAAAUCUGCGAUAAAACUUUGUUUCAGAACUUUAGAAAUCAACUAAGGUUCGAAACGUAGACGUUUCGUUCAAUAAGAAUCAAGACAUGGAAAUUCACUUGGAGAAUAUUCGUAAAACACUCACUCGCUUUUCAAACUAUAUAACUUUAUAACAUUUAUACUUGGAAAUGCCAUUUGAGUCGAAAGUAUAAGGAAAACGUAUUCCUAGUAGUCAUAGUUGUAUUUCUCAAGGGUACAAGUUCGGCCAAAUCCUUACUUAUAUACCUCGGUAAAAGAAGAUGCAAAUAUCCUAGAUGUUCAAGUAGUAAUCACUCUUAACCCUUACUCAAGUCGCAAGUAUAUUUCUCUAGUCCUUGAGCGUAAAUUUGGGCAGCAUGCCUUUUGUAUUUACCUAAUUUUUCAGCCAUUUAUGGCUUCAUUAUUUUCCUCAGCCAAUCCCAAAGUCAUACACAAUAUAAAUUCAUCACAAUAGCCGUUCAAUAGGUUCAAGGUAAUACGAGUACAAAAAUCAAGCUAACGACAUGUGCGGAAAUGAAGUUUAACAAAAGAUAGAUUUGACAUGAUUUUACGUAACGGACACAACGAAGCUACGCUUAUCGGAUUGGAAUAAAAUUUGUGCCGUUUCGAAGCUAAGACAAAGGCCUACAAUUUUGAUGAAGAUCACUUAGUCCAAUUUCCAGUGUAACCCAGUCAAAUUCGCAAUUCAUAGAACCAAAUUCCAACUAACCGGCCAGUUAACCGUACUAUCUCCAAAUGGCCAUAUCUCAAGCUACCAAAGUCCGUUUAAGGCGUUCUUGGAGGUGUGAAAAGCUAAGACAAAGUACUAUAAUUUUCAUGUUUUGAAAAAUGGCUAAAUCUGCACGGAUCAUAAUGAAUAGAUACGGUCAAUUGGAUGAACUGUCUAAAACUGAUCACUGGAUGCAUCAUAGGGCAGUGAGGGUAUUUUGAUCUUUUCACAGGCUACGUUGCUCCGAUUGGGCUGAAAUUUUGUAGGCAACCAUAAAAUAUCAUUCUCUACAACUUUCAUGUUUUGUGCUAAGGCUGGUUCGGUCUCUAACAUACUCAAACAGAAACGGGCAGAACUAAACCAUAAGAAACCGAAAUUCUGGUAAUUUGCUCCAUUCAAGGUAUAACUCUCAUUUUAAGCUUGAAACCAGCACUACAACCUCAUAUACAAGCUUAUAUAUAUCAUAUACCAUCCAUACAGCAAGUAUAAGAAGAAAAUCAUUCAAACCCAAAGCUGAAAUUUUACACUACAAAGCUGGAAUUGACCAAAUCUACUACUAAACCAUGAGAUCUACCCAACAAACCAUAACUUUCACUUGUAAACCAUUAAGUAGUACAACCAUGAACUAAUACCUUCCUUACCUAGUAUUGGAGAAGCACAACAGCCUCUAGGAAGCUUGAACCACCAAAACUCUCCACUCAGUGACGGAGCCAGGAUUUUUUUUUUGGGGGGGCCAAAAUUGAAAUUCCAUUCAAAGAUGACUAAUUCAUAUAUAUAUAUAUAUAUAUAUAUAUAUAUAUAUAUAUAUAUAUCAACUCUCAUAAUAUAAACUAAAAUUGAAAAAAUUUAGGGGGGGCCAAUUUUAUUUUACACACAUAUUUACAUAUUAUGAAUUAAAAUUCUCAAAACUUAGGGGGGGCCAUGGCCCCCCUCUGCCCCCCCUUGGCUCCGUCAUUGUCUCCACUCCAAGAUGGCAAUCCACCUUCCUAAGCAACUUUCAUGGAUUAUUUGGUGAAUCUAUCGGUUAGUUUGCAAGAUUGAGUAAGAAAUCAAGAUGGAAUGAAGUGUUUCUUUCUCUCCUUUUCUCUCCUCACUCUCACGGCCAAAUGUGCAGAAAUGAAGAAGAAAUACAGCCCAAGGAAAGAUAAGAAAGCAAGAAAAAGGCUUGGUCAAAGUUUAACACAUGUCACAAUUUGAUUGGUGGUCAACAUUUUCUUUUCUCUCUCUUUUUUUUUGUCCAACUUUUCGGCUGCUUUAUCAGAUAUUUUGGGGCUGAUUUGACUCAAUUAAUAGCAAGGGUAUUAAGGUAAUAAAAUGGUGUUCAAGUGAUGCACUCACUCGAUAACAAACGGUGCACGUCGGUUCCACCCGUUUUUCCUUAACUCGCACGUACUAGGAUUUUUUUUAUUUAUAAUUCACUAACUUAUUAUUCUCACUUCUAAUCUCAUAUUAUUUCUCAUCUAAAAGUCACUCUUGCCUACCAAAUUUGAUCCUCACUCCGUACCGAAUAGUCACACUACGGAAAAACGUGAAAAGCCUAAUUCACUCUAACUUGAAAACGAAAAGGGAAAACCUUUACUUUCAUGUUCAUUUGCACUUAUUGUGGGGUGAUUGGGUGGUAGGGCUAUUAUAAAAUCAUAAGUUCCAAAUAAAAUGGGAUUUUUAAAAUAAAAAAAAACGUGAGGGGUUUUACAAUUCCAUAAAUUGAAUUUAGGGUUUCGGUUAAAAUAUGAGAAAUUUGAGAAAACAGUCAGUCACAAGUGAAACUAGGGUUUUGAUUAGAUUUUAGGGUUUCUAACCCAAAGAAAUAACUUUAGUUUCUUCUUUAAAACAAAAUAAUGGUUUAAAAUUAAAUAAACUAAAGAAACCGUAAUAUCCUCUUUGAGACUAAACAAAAGAUGAUCCUAAAAACUGGGGUAUCACAAAAACAAUAUGAUAUUGGAUUAAAUAACAUUGAGAAAAGGAUUGAUCAGUUGGCUUUUAACUUUGAAAUGAUAGUUAGCCAAUUAGAUAACCUAGUGCAUGCUAUGUGUAGAUAAUUCACUGAAUGAACAUGAAACCAACCCCAGCAUGACUAGUAAGUCUUCACACAUGAUAGUGGAUUGUAUUUGAUGAAAAUGAUGAACCUAAUUGGAGUUAUUGUGAGAAAAUGUCCAUUUUGUUUGUAAUAUCGUUAAAAUGGAUUUUGAACCUCAAGACGUAUCUAUGAAUGAUUCAUUUUUAAUCCCUCAUGAGGAUAAUUUAGAAAAUACCCAAGACAUCUAUGUUAGAUCUUCUUUGGUGAGUUUUCAAGUAAUGCACAAAUAAGGUAAUAGCUAUGAAACACUUAGGACAUGUAAAUCACUUCCAACUUUCAUAUUAUUUGGAGAUAUAGCUCUUGAAAUGGAGCCACUAUUCGUUGAUCCACUACGUUCUAAAAUAGUGGAUUACUCUUUGAUGCAUCUUCCUUGACCAUGAGGAAAUCUAGUCAAGUUAAUGAGUAUAAAGAAGUACGCGUUCGGAAGCAACACAACAUUUGUUUAGGUUUCGUUUCGUUUCUAUAUUGUUUGUCCUUGUUUGUGUCUUUUGUGUAAUAUUGGCUCAUGAUACUUUGAUAUCUUCUUGUUAAUUUUGAAAUUUCUUUAAUAAAUUUGCCAAAUUUGUUUAUCAUUAUGUGUUGGAGUAGGUUGGAGGCUCAAUGGUGGAUGUCCCACCCCAAUUUUAAAAAAUAAAAGAGAAAGUGGUAGUAGAAAAUGAAUUUUUCAUUUUUAGAAAAUAAAGAAAAAAGGGCCUAAAAUAGGACAUAGAAAAUGCGACGGUUUGAACCCAAAAUAAUAGUCCAAAAAAAGGAUUUUUAGAAAAUAAAAAGUAGAUUUGCCACCUGGUAUUGAGUUUAGGUAUACCAAGUCACCCAAAAAUAUAUUUUAAAUAAAUAAUAAAAAAAUAAAUAAAACCUUUUUUAGACGACUCCAGGUCAUUGAAAAUAAGAGAAAAAAGUUCGGAAGUCACGGCUAAAAAAAGAAAAGGCAAAAAUUUGAUCUAAGGCACCCUUUCAACCUAGUCAAGGUUAGUUGCGAGAUUUAGUCGAAAAUUUUCCUAGUCUAACCUAUAAAACAUAUCAUAUUAUGAUGCUUCUAUAUAGAUGCGAAUCUAGACUUAGGGAGUAUCGAGAAGGUCGGAAUGUCUUUCAAAAAUUAAUUGGUAUCAAUCACAUUAAUUACGAUGCCUAAGAGUGAUUCUUUGAAGAGAUCACGAAUAUACAAAAGAUGAGAUUUGAAAAAAAGAAAAAUUAUAAUAUAUAAAUAUACGUGAUCUAAAAGAGAGGAAUGCAACAUAACGGGUAUGGGAGAUUAAAAUUCGUGACACAAUUUUUCUUCUUAUAGGGGGGAAUAAAGCGUGCUAAGGUUAAAAAAUCACACUCGUUCAUUUCCCAUAUUUGAAGGGUGACUCUUCUAACCUAGUCAAACAAAUGGACUAACUUAUUUCUAAUUUUCUAAAUAAGAUGCAAUUUUAAAUGAUAUGGUCCAAACAUAUAGAGGGUAAGGAAAUAAUAGUAGGGAAAAUAUCAUACAAAUGCAAAUAAUCUUUUUUUUUUGUUUUUUUUUUGUAGUAACGUGCUUUUAUUGCCCAAUCAGAAGCUUACAAGCCGAGACCAGGACCGAUCAUCAAGACGAUCCUUUGAUAAGUCUAAUAGAAGGAAGGCCAGGCAGAUUCAACCUAACUUCCCCUCUUGCUAGCUGUGGAAGAGAACAGAGUUGGUGAUACACCCUUACAGGAUCUUGCGGAUGCAAGAUACCUACAUUAGCUAAGAUGUCAGCCAUUUUAUUGGCCUCCCUAAAACAAUGCGAAAAGUGAGCAGGAUCCGUGACUAGUUGCCAUUUUUGGUGUACCUCUCUUCGAAUGAGCCAUGGACACUAGAACCUUCGUUGUAAUGUACACACUAGAACCAGCGAAUCUGUCUGCACUCGCACCUGCACAUAGCCUUGCUGGAAGCAUACACGAAGCCUCGUUAACAGUGCAAAUGCUUCAGCGCGCAAGCUUGUAUUGACCCCCAGAGAGACUAAGAAUGCCACUACCACCUGCCCAUUUGAAUCCCGUAAUAUUCCAUCACCACCACUCAUCCCUGGAUUCCCCUUUGAGCACCCAUCCGUAUUAAGGGACAAAAUCCCCCUCCCGGCUGCCUGCCACUUGACCAAUUGCACCCGACGUACUAACGGCGGCUGAGAGAGUCUUUCAAAAAACUGAUCAAAUGUUUGCGCUACAAUCCCAUGACGAAAUUUAAUCUCAACCGCUGCAGAAAUAUCCCGGAGAAUGCCAUGGCAAUUCUCCCUCCUAGUCAGUUUGACCCCUUCAAAGAUUGCUUUAUUCUGUGUCUUUCAGAUAUGCCAACAGAUGAAACUUGGCAGGAUGGAAACAACAUGACUUCUUUGAACAUCUGAGUGCGGGGACAACCACCAAGCGGCCAGUCGCUCUUGCAAUGAUACUGCCGGUAGAUAAAUACUGCAUGGGGAUCCAAAGACACCCCAAAUCUCUACCGCUAGUUGUCCCGUUGAGAAAAUGUGUUCAAUAGAUUCCCACGCCGCCGCCGCCGCCGUCAUGGAACAACAAAAACAUUUGGAAGGUAAUUGAAAGCCAAACUUACCCAAGACAUCAUCCAGGGGAAGCCUCCGCAUCAAAAGACGCAGCAUAAUGAAAGAAACUUUUACAGGGAGCUGGGGGCGCCAAAUGUGGGAAAAUAUCCAAGAGGAAUUCCGAGCUUGCCUUACCUCACGGAAAGCAGAGGAUAACGAAAAUGAGCCUGAAGUUGUUAGCACCCAUACCACCUCAUCGGGCCUCUCACCCUCUGGGGUCGGGUGCUGUAGGAUCAUAGUUGUGAUGUCCCUUGGGAGGUAUUGUGCAAGUCGCACCGAGUUCCACUUCCCAUCAACAAUAAAAUCUCUGAACGAUAAGUCCCCCUGACCUGGAACUUUAAAGAAAAGAGCUCCAUUCCCUAGCCAGUUGUCAUACCAGAAGUCACAAGUACCGUCAUUUACCAACCAUUGCAUAGACAACUCCGCCUCCCUGCUGACAUUGAGUAACCGUUUCCAAGUUGCUGAUACGCCCACUUUAAGCUCCACUUGACAAGGUUGGCAACUCCCACAAUACUUAGCAUGUAAGAACCUUGCCCAUAAAGAUGUUCCCGUGCGAAAUUUCCACCAGAGCUUAUGAGAGAAAGCUGUGUAAACAUCCCUUAGAAGCCUGAAGCCGACUCCCCCCUCCUCCUUCGGAAAGCACAACUGCUCCCAGCGGAUCCAGUGAUACCUGGCCCCCAUCUCCAUCGAACCCCAUAGAAAGUCAGAACAAACCUUUUCAAUUACCCUGAACACCAAAGUCGGCAUUACCGCGACAGAUAGUAAAUGCAGUGGGAUAGAAGAGAGAACAUGUUUGAUGAGGAUGAUCUUACCUCCCUGCGACAAAAACUUGGACUUCCAUGAGAGGAUUCUUCCGAUUAUUGCUUGACUCAUCUCACCAUAAUAGUAAGCCUUACUUCGUCCCAAGUACAUUGGGAAUCCUAAGUAUCGAAUAGGCGCCUGUUGCCUAGAAAAGCCUGUGAGACUCUCAAUCACCCUCCGUCUAGCAGUCGAGGCGGAGGGAUGGACGAUAUACCCACUUUUUUGCCUAUUCACCAACUGGCCCGAGGAUUGUUGGUAAAGCUCCAACACCCGCAUAAUGUCUUGCAAAGCUCGAUCAGACCUAUUAGCAAAAAUCAAUACAUAGUCAGCGAAGGCCAAGUGCGUGACUUGGGGACACCCCCAUGGGACCUUAAAACCCCUAUAGCCGCAAUGUAACACUCGGUUGUUUAAAGCCCUUGAAAGCACCUCCGCCCCAAUUACGAAUAAUGCGGGGGAUAAUGGGUCCCCCUGCCGUAAUCCCCUAUCCGAUUUGAAAAAGCCAUAAGACGCUCCAUUAAUUAUAAUCGAAAACCAAACAUUAGAAAUCAAUCUCCACACCAUGUCAAGAAACCUUUCCCCAAACCCAAACCGCCGCAUUACAUUCAUGAGAAAUACCCACAAUACACGGUCAUAUGCCUUGGACAUGUCUAACUUCAAUGCUACAUUACCCCCCUGUACGAUCUACGUAUCCCUGACAUUAUUUCCUGGGCGAGAAGAUAAUUCUCCGAUAUAUUUCUGCCCUUAACAAAGCCCGUCUGUUGGGGUGAGACGAUUCUUGGCAGAAUGCCAGCCAACCUAUCGGCCAAGAUCUUGGACAAUACUUUAUUAAAGAAAUUGCAGAGACUAAUCGGUCUGAACAUCCAAAAAUCCUGAGGGUUCGGUCCCUUUGGGAGAAGGACAAUAGAAGUAGAUGUAAUAAAACGAGGAAGCUCAGCCCCGCAGAAAAAGCUCAAAACUGCAUUAUAGACAUCCUGACCAAUCACUUCCCAAGCAAAAGUAAAGAACUUACCCGUGAAACCAUCGGGGCCCGCUACACUAUCACCGUCCAUUGCAAAAAAAGUCCGUUUUACCUCCUCGAAAGACGGGUCGGCCUCUAAGCUCCUAUUUUCCUCCGCCGUGAUGCUGGCAGGGAUAACGUGCAGCAAUUCUGACGAGGAUGCCGUCGGAGUAGAGAAUAAAUCAGAGAAAUACUGUACCGCUUCACGUGAAAUAUCUUCAUCCAUCGCCACCCAUAUGCUAGUCUCAUCUUUAAUCCUGUGGAUUACCCCUUGCAUCCUCCUCUAUCUCAGGGUGGCAUGGAAGAACUUUGAGUUACAAUCGCCAUGACGGAGCCACUUGACUCAAGCCUUCUGCUUCCAAAACUCCUCCUCCACCGACAAAGCACGGUUGCGCUGUGCUUGAGACCUAUGAAGCUCCAUCUGAGCAUCCUCCAAUGCCUCAGUUUCGACCCUUGCUUCCGCCCUAAGCACCGAAGCCUCUGCUUCGCGAAAUGCUACAAAUAUAUUCCCAAAUGAGGACUUAUUCCACUCUUGAAUAGCUCUCCUUGUUGCUAGCAAAUUGGAGCACAAGAUCCUUAAGGGAGAUCCCUGACAUUCCUGUUGCCAAGUCGUUCGAAUAGCAUCAAGUAAAGAUGCUUUGGAUGUCCACACAUUCAGGAAGCGGAACGCAUGAGGCUUAUCAUCUAUACGGGAUGAGAAAGAAACUCGUAGUGGCGCAUGGUCGGAUGGAUGUCUAGCCAAGUGAGUGACCGAUACAGCUGACGGUAAUUCUGAACACUCUCCAUUAACCAAUAGCCUAUCCAAUCGCUUCCAUAUCCGAGCCCUGCCAUGGCGAUUGUUUCACCAAGUAAAACUCGAGCCAGAAAAACCCACAUCAAAAACUUCCACCUCCUCCAUGAAGGUCAGGAGCUCUAACCCCUCCGAGGCACGAAAAGGCCGACCUCCUCUUUUUUCGUUAGGGGAUAUGAUCAUAUUGAAAUCCCCACAAAUGCACCAUAGCUGGUCGCUUGGUUUGUCAACCAGAAAUGCUUGCCACAACUCCCGUCGUUCUUCCAAUGUACACCUGGCAUGCACAAAAGAAAAUCGCAAGGAGCGAGGCAACCAUGGAUGAUGGACAUUCAAGGAGAUAUGUUGCUGAGAAUUCCCAGCUAUAGUGCAUACCAACGGAAAAUUAUAAAAGACCCAGACAUUUGCUGAAAAGUUAACAACAGCAGCAUCGAACGACAACUUUAAGCGGAUGCUUUCAAUAUUUGCGACAUCAAGUUUCGAUUCACAAAUAGCUACCAGCUGAACGUUAUGUAAUCAAAUAAGUUUUUUCAACCGUCUCAAAUUAGGAGCUUUAGAAACCCCCCUAAUGUUCCAAAAUAUGCUAUUAAUCAUGGGAAAGAACCUAGAAACCGUUUUUGGAGGAUGUUGACGUGGAACGCAGCUGCUUAUCGGAAGGGAAAAUCAUCCUUAUUCCCUUUGAUUUCCCGAGUUUGAUAGCCAGCUCCAAUGCCUGUGACUGAUCUACAUUCAGCGCCUCCAAGGGAGAAGCUGCCAACUCCCCAUUAUGGGCUCUGGGCCGCGGAGACAGAUUGCCCGUUGCUGUCUGGACAUCCGCACUACACCCCUCCAAUAUGAUCUCCACUCUAGCAUCCACCUGCUCAGAAUGGUCCCAUUCUGGUCUGCCAACAGCCUGCCCACUAUCCUUCAAGCCUGCUGACACUGGAAGCUCAGCCGCACGUUGCCCCUCCACCAUUAUCUCCGCUCCAGCAUCCACCUGCGCAAGCGAGGCUCCUUCCCUUGCUAUGGGGCGCUCCCCCUCUGCCGCGCCAUUAUCCUGCCCGCUUCCCUCUAGCAGCUCCACACUCACAUCAGCAACCCGAGCAGGCUGAUGCUCGAGGAUUGGCAGCGCUGCCUCCCUGGUCACCAUCUCUGUUACCACUGCUGCCGCUGCUGGGCUUUUGCCAUCUCGACCAGGGGUAGAGAGCGGAGCCUCCGUCAACGCUGCUGGGAUUGGUUCAAUCCCCCCCGGCUUCGACGCAACCGAACUGCCCUUUGCCUCCAUGACAUCCCCUGCAGCGUCACUCUGCGAUACAAAUUGUGGUUGGGUGCCCUUACUCAAGGCCUGUGCACCGUUAUGUAUAUCCUUCCUGCACUCCUCCACCGAAUGCCCCAAUCUCCAGCAACCGCUGCAGUACUUGGGUGUGUUCUCAAGCACUAUGUUUUGCCAGAAUCCAGCCUCUCCCUCAAGUGCUACCCAUACCCGCGAACAUAUCGGUUUCAGCAAAUAGACCUCUACGCAUACCUUGCUACACUUGGUCUCGUGCCCGCUGCCAUUGCUGAAUCUAGGAAGAGUGGCUUCCCAACUGGAGCUAAAAUAGAGAAUAACGAAUGUUUGUCAAAGUAGUGAAUAGGGAGGGCUGGCAGAGAUGCCCAAACUGGAACCGACGCCGACUCCUUCACAUGGAAUUCUCUUGUCCAACGGAAAACUCUCAUGGGAUAUUUCCCCAAUUGCCACACCCCACGAGUCCAGAUACGGUUAAAAUCUUGUUCAGCAGAACAUGUCUAUAAUCCAUGAGCGCAAUAGAGACGUUGUCCUUCAAGUUUAAUGUUGAGAAGAACUUGCGAACCCCUUCCAAACUUGGACGCCCGCGCGAAAAUUUCCCUACGAGAGCCCAGCGAAAAGGACUUGCGAGUUUAUCCGCCUCCGCUUUGGAGAAAAUCACAGCCGCCUCCCCCUUGUACUUUGUUGUUGGCUUCACCUGGAUAGGUGAUUCGACAGGUUGAGAGAAAAGCUGUGCGAAGGAUUUUGCCGCACUUGGGGACAUGGGCUGAGGCGCCGCCGUAGGUGCGCCGCCAACCACCAUUGCAUCCCAAGGGUUUUCGCUCAGCACGGAGAAUUCUCUUGUCGCACACAACUACCUUAUUACUCAAAAUAAAUGCAAAUAAUCUAAAAAUAGAAAAAAUGCAUGAAAUGAAAUAUAUGUUACACAAGGUAUGAAUCUAGCGCGAACACAGUCUAAAGCGUCUUGCAUUAGACUAACCCAUUUUUACAAGUUCUCAUUAGCGUUAGACUAGUGAGAAAUCGAAAAAAAGCCCACAACUAGUAUUGGACUAGUGUGAUGUCGUCAUGCAUUUAUUAUCAAUAAAUAAAGCAUAUAAAGCAUAAUUAAAACAAAUAAAUACAUAAAAGCACAUAGAGCAUAUAACACAUAUGCAUAAUAUUUUAGAUCUAAAACCUUAGAAAAAGUGAAUAAACACAUAAGCACAUAAGUAUGCAAGCAAAUAAAAACUAACUAUUAUAUUAGGGGCUCUAACAACAAUCUAGAAAGGGAAUUUUUGAAAAUAAUAAAUCUAUCUAUUAUAUUUAUCUAACUAAUUACAUUUUUGACAAAAAUAAAAUCUAUCUAUUACAUGGCCUAACUAAAUACAUUUCUUGGGCACUAUCUAUUACAAUUUGGCAUUUAAAUGUCUCCCAAAUAAUCAUAAAAAAUUAAAUAAAAUAAAUGAAAACUUAAAAUGGAUAAAAUGAGAAUAAAAGAAAAAGCAUUCAAAACAUGCAAUCAUACAUAGGAGCACAUAAAAGAAUUUAAAAUAGUAAUAGAAGGUACCUCCCUUGAAGUAGUGGUUAAAUGAGGUGGAAUUUGUUCUAUUUACACCCCAAAAUCAAUAAAAUAGUCAAGAAACCAAUUUAAUUGACAAUUUAAAAGAAAAUGUAAACAUAUAGCAAAAUUCACUCUAUUAUUCCAAAGAAAUAUGAAUAAACAUAAAAUCCCUAAAAUUCACCGAUUAAAUGCAACUAAAUGAAGCAUGAUUAGCAAUUAAAUGAGAUGAAUAAUUGUAAUUAAGAAAUAAUAAAAAUUAGGGAUCUAAUUGCAAAAAUUUGAAAAGUUUUUAGGGUCAAAUUACAUUUUUGAAAAAAUUAGGGGUCAAAAUUAAAUAAAAGAUAAAGUUUAGGGAUCAAAUGCAAUUAAAUUAAGCAUAUAAUUGAAAGAAAUACAAUAUUUUAGGGUCACAGUGAAGUUGUUCAAAAGACUAGGAGCUUAAUUGCAAAUUCCGUUUCUGGUUUCUCAGCGCCAGAAGGCCUUUGUGCCAUUUCUUUCUUCUUCCUUUGUUUUGGCUUGGGCCGAAACGCCUUGGCCCAACAGACUAGUCCAUUCAUUUUAUCAAGACCAAUCCAACACAAAACGUUGGGCUUGAACUAUAAAACCCAUACGUGAACCCAAGUAAAAAUUAAGUCUUGGCCUAUGUUUUUUAGCCCAUGACAUAUUUCAAUAAACAUUUAUGGCCGAAAUCUGAUCAAAUCUAAUAAAACAAAACAAGAAAAAUUAGAGGAAAAAUAGGAAGAAAAAAAUCAAGAACAUUCCUGCGAGUUUGAAUUUUUCGACGGGUCGACUCACCGAAAACUAGAAAAAUUCAUGCCAAAGUGGCUGGAAUCUCGCCGAAACCCCAUUUUUCAAGCUUUUAAGUACGGAUUUUUACAUAUACACGAAAUUCAUGUCAUUUUGGACUCAAAUAAAUAUCAAACAAAGUUCAAAAAUCACAUAAUCAUAGAAAAAUAUGGAUCAAAGUCUCUUGAAUAUAAUCUCUUAUAAGAACACUCAAAUCUCUUACAUGAAUGUCGAAUAAGGUAAGGGAAAAUCAUGGGAAUACCUGAAAAUGAUAUUGGAUGAGAUUAGAACAAGAAAACACGGGGGGGAAUGAGAUUUCUUGAAUCUUCAAAAAAAAUUGCAGCAAUACAGGUGAUGACGAACCCGUAAUUUUCAGGCUCGAUUCGAAGGGUUUCCUAAUGUUUUUUGGGAAAACUUUCUAAACGAAACCUUCUCUAAUGAUUCCCUAGAUUACCCCGUAAAAAAAAUCUCUCCUAAAGGAGUUGUAUCGAAGGAGAAAAUUGAGCUCGAAGGUGGCUGGUCGGCCAGCCUACUUUUUUGAAAAAAUUUCUGCAACCAGAAUUUUUUUUCCUUCUCUUGCCUUUUUCUCUCUUUUCUUUCUCGCCCUCCCCAGAUUUUUGUGCAGAAGACUUUCUUUACCUCCCCUUUCUCUCCAGAAACUCUUUCUCUCCUUUUUAAAUGAGAUUAAGUGGCAAAAACCCUCCUUUCAAGGGUGAGGAUGAGACGGGUUUUGUUGGCUCAUUUGAUAAGUUUUGACAGUUGUUUCCUUGCUAGAUUUUUUAUGAUUAGAUGUCCAAGUACUUAUUAAACUUGGAGGGAAAGAGAUAAAAAGCAAAAUUGAAUUUUGUUGUCUCAAAACCAGAUUCUGGUACUAUUUUGUUGUUGUCAUUCGUUGUUGCAAUUGCAGCAAUUUUUUUUUUUUUUAAGGAAAACAUAGGAAUGGGCUAAUGGGCCAUUUUUGUUUCCAUUUUCUUCCAAGCUUUUUGUGGGUUUUAUUUUGGGUUUUAAGGAAAUUUGGUUAGGUUAAAACCAAAGAUCCUCUACUAUUUUUCUAAUUUCAUAUUUCUUUUCUUUUCUUCAUUUUCCAAACAAAGCAAAAAAUGAUUUUACAAAAAAAUAAAAAUAAAUAAAUAAAUAAAUAAUCAAAAUUUUGGUGUCUAUAGUUUGCUCCUCUUUGUCUGAGUUUCGAAAAUUCUCAAGACAAAGACGUAGAUACCAAAUUAUUUAUCUGUCUGCUUUAGCUGCAACUGAAUCAAAACAAACAAAGUGAAUAAUUUUAAAACAAGAUUGAAAUUAGUGAAACUGGCAAGCGUUUGAAUUGAUCAGCGGAAUCUAACUCAGUCCCAAACAAGUAGUGAAAAUUUGUAAAAUUAUUUUGAAACUAAAUUAAUUGGUGGGAUAUAACCCAAGCCCCAAAUGAUUAGUAAAACCUAAUAGAUUAGUGGGAUAAAAUUCGAACCCAACAAAUGAAAGAUUGGUGGAUAAAAUCCAAACCCAACAAAUAAAUGAUUGGUGGGAUAAAAUCCAAAUCCAAUAAAAUAAAAUCCAAAUCCAACAAAAUAAACGGUUGGUGGGAUAAAUCCAAACCCAACAAAAUAAUUGGUUGGUGGGAUAAAACUCAAACACAACAAAAUAAACGGUUGGUUGGAUUAAAUCCAAACCUAAUAAAAUAAAUGGUUGGUAGGAUAAAAUUCAAACCUAACAAAAUAAAUAGUUGGUGGAAUAAAAUCCAAACCCAACAAAAUAAACGGUUAGUGGAAUAAAACUCAAAUCUAACAAAAUAAACGGUUGGUGGGAUAAAAUCCAACACCAACCCCAACAAAUAAACCGUUGUUUGGAUAAAAUUCAAAACCAACAAAAUAAAUGGUUGGUGGGAUAAAAUCUAAACUCAAAAAAUGAACGGUUGAUGAGAUAAAAUCCAAAUCCAAUAAAUAUGGUGGGAUAAAAUUCAAACCCAACAAAACAAAUGGUUAGUGGAAUAAAAUUCAAACCCAAUAAAAUGAACGAUUAGUGAGAUAAAAUCCAAACCCAACAAAUAACAGGUUUGUAGGAUAAAAUCCAAACCCAACAAAUAAAAUGUUGGUAGGAUAAAAGUCAAAUCCAACAAAUGAAAGAUUUGUAGGAUAAAACCCAAAUUCAACAAAAAAAAAUAGAGAAAUGAAAAUGCAUUCCAAUUAAAAGAAAAGGUGUGAAGCGAUUUUGCUAUUUCUCUAAUCAACUAUUGAACUCGCUUAUAGAAUCAGAUAUCACCUUUAUGAAAAAUUUGCCUAGCGUGGAUCAGAUUCAACUAAAAAAGUGUUGUUCUUUCUCUCCCUUCAAGUAGGCAUGCGUAAUUUAAUCCUACAAAAGAAAAUGAAAACAACUGCAAUGAAAUAUAAUGUCACCACCGUGUGAUCCCUCGAACCUUGAGGGCCAUGUAAACAUGAGUCUUUUAAAUAUCGAAAAAUUGUCCGAUUAAGAAAUAUUGUGCAAUCUGAUCCUGAUCUGUUAGCAUCUGUACUCAACCAACCAUACUUAUACCAUGAGACAUACAUGUCUAUACACUCAUUAUAAUAAAUUAUGAAACUUGUCUUUUGGCGAAACAUAUAAAAUAUUUUAAACAAAAUUGUUCCAUGCAAUGACAAAAAAUAGAGUAAAAAUGAUUUCAAUGAGAAAACGAUUCUUAUUAAGUUUAUGAAAAGUGACUUGAAGACUCAGAUACAAAUUUGAAUGGCCAGUCUAUGAUGAGAGAAAUGCUACAUUUGACGUCUUCUAAUUCACUUUUCUAAAAUUUAGUGUUGCCAGAAAAGUCUCAGUAUGAAGAGAAACCCAAAUAAACAUAGUCACCAGCUAUUCAACAAUCGACCCUCUAUUUUUCAUUCAUGGCUGUCUUUAUAUUUCAAAACCCUACUUUAGCGCGGUUUUUAGUUUUCAUUAAUGUUGUUCCUGCCCAUUUUUUUCUUUAUUUUUGCUUUCUCUUUAUUUUUUUUUCUUCUUUCCCUUUUUCUUUUUUUCUUUUCUUUUCUUUUUGAAGAGGCGGUCUUUUGGAUUUUCACCUAAUUAAAAAUUUAAUGACAACCUCUAUGAAUUCAGAAAUAAGUUUCAAAAUUGAUGGCAUCAAUGAGACAAUUAUUCCCUUGCAAAUUUGGUGAAUUUGUAUUUACAUCAUCUGCCAUUCGAUUAAGAAAUUUUCUAUUAAAAAUACUGUCAAAGGUGAAAGUCGGGAGCUUUUGGGCUAUUGUAAUGGGGGUCAGGUGGGAUUUUAAAAAAUUUUAAGGUUCGAAAGCAGAUUUUUUAAUGAUUUUUUAAAAUCAUGGGACCGCAUCCUAUAAAAAUUUGCCCCAAUAUAGGGUCAUUAAAACUAAAAAAUUAUCCCAGUUUGAAUUUUGACUGGGUUUUCUUCUCCUUUAUUUUGUAUGUUUUCACUCUUUUCCAUUCUUUUAAACCAGAUGGAAAAUAAAAUCUGCGGGUUUAUGAUCCUCAAGAAGCUACCAAAUGAAAGAGUAGAUCAUUUCGGAGUUUAAAGGGGAAAAGUAAGGGUAAAAUGUUUAAAGGGACAAGAAGAAGGUCAACCUUUUAGUCCACUCUAUGCAGUGUCUCAAAACGAAAACUUACAUAAUCAGAUCAAGAACUUUUUGCACAUAUCUGAAUUAAUUGGUUGAGGAAAAACUUGUCCGUCUAUCUCCGUAAGAAUAAGCGCUCCUUCGGGUAAUACCUUCUUAACAAUAAAAGAUUCUUACCAAUUUGGAGCAAAUUUUCCUUUAACUUUAUCUUGAACAGGGAGGAUUCGCUUCAGGACCUUGUCUCCUAUUUCGAAUAGGCGAGGUUUGACUUUUCUUAUUGUAAACACAAGUCAUUCGCCUUUAAUAACAUUGUCCAUGAUAAACAACAUUUAACCGUUUUUUGUGAGGACCCGUAAAUUUUCCUUAUUUUUAUAUUAUUUUAUUUUAUUUUCUUGUAUGCAUUUUCUUCAUUAUACCUUAUUAUAUUGAUUUUUUCAGACAUUUUAUAAGUGAGUAGAGUUUUUAAAUCAUUUUCCUAAUUUAAGUUAGUUCAUAUUCAGUUUGAAGCUUAUUAUGGAUAUGGGGCCCGCUAGUGCGCCAAGUGCAAUAAAUUUUUACCGAUUAAUUGAAGUUUUGUAUAAAGGAAUAUUACUGUACAAGGUGCUAGGAGACAAUUAGAGGUUAGCUAGAUAAAUUACUUUUGGUAGACAAAAGGAUAAAAUUAAAACCCUAAAGGACCAUUUGUCACAAAACCAUUGGACCUUGACUUUUGACCAAGACUUUUUUUUGAUCUUUAUCUUGGAAAAAUUGGACAAAAUUUCUUCAUUUCUUUCUUCCUCUUGGCCGACUUCCUUAGCUAGAAAAGAGAGAGAGAAAACCUCAACUUCAUCCUCCAUUCCAUGCUUGAAUCUUGAGUUUUAACCGUUAGUUUUGGAAACUACACCAUACAAGUGCUUAUUAAGGAGGAACAAAGGUCUUGGUGGAGUGAUUUUUGUAGAAGAAACCCUAAGCUAUCAUCUUUCCUCUAGUUUCAAGGUAAAUUCCCUAGAAAUUUCUUUUUACUUUUGAUAAUUGUCAAUUAGUGGAUUGGAGAGGUUAAAUAUGUAGUUUUGUGGACAAAUUUAUGGUUUGAAGUAGGGGCAUGGUGAAUUUCAGUUUUUAUAGUAAAUUUUCUGUCCUCAUAUGAUGAUUGAUGUUUAGCCAUGAUUUGGUAGUUUUUAUGAGUAAUUUUGAGCUUGAAAAUGCUAGUUUUGCUUGCCUUCAAAGAAUUUCAGCUAGAGUGCAUAAAUUUCAGUUUUAAGGUUUCCAAUUUGCCUUGUUCUGCACCAUAUUAGAAACCGAAUUAGGCUUAGCACAAAACAUGAAAGUUGUAGGAAAUGAUAUUUUAUAGCUGUCUAUAAAAUUUCAGCUUGAUCUGAGCACUGUAUCAUAUGAAAUGACCGAAAUACCCUUGACUGCCCAUAAGCCCUGUUUCGCGGACAGUUUUGUGUCUUCCUGGAGAUUUCAAUUUUUAACUUUGAAAAUGCAUGAUUUAGCUUUGGAGGCCUUCAUAAGAUAUGUAGGUAUAUGUCUUGGCUUCGAAACGCCAUAAGAUACACCUCAAUCGGACUUCGGUAGCCUGAGUUAUUGUCAUUUAAUCAUAGUGCGGUUAACUAGUCUGAUUGUGAGAUGCUAGUUCUGUAAUUUGAAAUUUUGACCUGGAUACACUACGAACUGGAUUGAGUGGUUUUCAUCAAAGUUGUAGUCUUUAUCUUAGCUUCGAAACGGUAUAAAUUGCUUCCCAAUCUGAUAAGCGUAGCUUUGGUUGUGUCUGUUCCGCUAAGCGACGUCAAAUCUGUCUUUUGUUUUCUGACUUAAACUUCAUUUCUGGACAUUUUCCUAGCUUGAAUUUGUACUUGUACGACUUUGAGCCUAUUGAACGGCUAUUGAAAUGAGAUUAUUUUGUGUGUGACUUUGGGAUUGAUUGAGGAAAACAAUGAAGCCAUAAAUGGCUGGAAAAUAGGUAAAUACAGAGAGCAUACUGCCCAAAAUUUUAGAGCUACACAAUUCCUUCAAGUUGAGUUGAUCUUGGUAAAAAUAAAGGGUUUUCGGAGUUGUUUGUAACCCUAGGACCAACUGUUAUCUUUUUGCUCAAAAGUCAUAUUCUAUUAUUUUGUACUAGUACUUAACCUAGGAAGGCAUACGACUUGUAGUCGAGCCUCAUUGAUGCUUUUCAUUUACUGGGUUUGUGGAUGUGCGAACUAUAAUUGUUUUAUCUUGAUUAUUUUAGGGUUUCUUGGCGAUUAAAGCCACUUUGGGUAAAAACUUUUGAAGUAUCUGUAUUGGAAUCGGUGAGUGUACCACUUCCCUCAUUUGUUGCUUAACUUGGUUUCUGCACCUGCAAUCUGUGAUUUGAAUGACUGUACUAUCUGUUUAUUCUGUUUGAGACAAGGGUAUACUUUAUCACUCGUUCUCUUGUCUGUCUAUAUGCCAAUUUACUGUGUGUAAUCUGUUAUCUGUAUUUGAAUCUGUUCGGACGUCAUUUGGAGGCUAGUAUCCAACGACCUUUCUGUGACUCUAAGCUCAACACCUGUGGCUAGUUACUCGAAUCGGGCCGACAAGGGCCUAGUCGAUUAGAUAACGAACCACGGUAUUCUGUUUCUGGGAAUCUUUGAGUAUUGAGACUCUUGAUUCCAGUAUACUCGAGUAUUACCACUUCUGUUUCUAUUGAGGUGUUCGGGUCCGGUAAGGGAUAUAUUUGGUGGACAGAAGUUGGUGUAAAGUGGGGUCUACGGACAUGGUUGUUCUUUAUACGUUGACGGAGAGUCAACGAGUUUGGUUCAAGUACGGCAAUGGGAAUUUUGGCUCCUAAGAGCCACCUGUAUCCUUUCUAUCUAAGGUGUCUGUUCAUUUCUCUAUGUGAUAUGCACAUGUGACUAAUUGAACUUGAAAUUCCAUGAUUCUUGACUGCUAUUAUUUUGGUACCUCAUUGAGCGUAAUCUCACCCCCUUCCCGUUAUCUUUGUUUUCCUUUCAGGGGCAAACUUUGAAUCCUUGAUUUUGGAAGAAAGGGUCGAGCUAGUGUAAAUAUUAUUUUGUUGAGCUCUUUUGUAACCGAAACCCGAAUUGUAUUUUUAAUUGUAUGAAUACUUUCGUUUGUACUUUAGUUUAGUUAAUUUGUUAAAGACUCCGAUGUAAAUAUAUGUAUAAGUGUUUAACCUAUUAAGUGUAUUCAUUUGAGAUAUUAAGAUUUUAUGAUUUGGUAAGCAUGUUUUCACCUUAGUAGUUUCCGAUUGUUCGUUUUCUUUGGAUCCUAUCACGCGUAUUAUUGGGUUUGUGUGAUUCAACUCCGUAGUCUUGGCGAGAAUUGGGCAGGCGGUUCGCCGAACCCUUUGGUUCGCCUUAGGGUGAGGUGGGGCUGUCACAGGUGGUAUUAGAGCCGCUUCGCGUGGUCUCUACGCGGAGUGAGUUUGGGCCAAGUGGUGUUAUGGUCCCGAUUGUGUGAAUAAGUAUAAAGGACUUAGUACUUUUUGUUGGGCGUAGGCUAUUAAUCGUGUCCGUUAUAAGUGUAAAUCCCUUAUUGUGGUACUUACAAAAGAUAGAUAUGUAUGUCGGGUAGGAAUCUUUAAUAGGAAUGAUUUACGCUUGGGACAGGCCGACUCGAGUUGUGAAUUAUCUUCUUUGGGAUUCUUGUACCCGGCUACUAAAGAGACGAGAGCCUAGGUUAGAAAGGACUUGGGCGAACUAGAAAUAUGAUUCUAUGAAACUUCGUGUGAUUUGUUCGGGUGUCAUUAAGUAUGAGUAACCCUAUCUAAGAUAGGAAUUGUGUUAUUCUCAUAGAGUAUGGAUGGAACCCUAGAGGGGGAAAGCUUUUCGUUAGUUGCUUUUCAACCUUUGGCCUAUUUGGUAUAUAGUACUUUUGAUGACCCUGAUACUUUCAUGGAAUUCCCUUUUGCUUGUAUCUAACUGACUACUACCGUGUGAUUUAUUUGAUAAAGUUGUGUUAGGUAUAUAUGUUUUUGAUCUGUGUGUACUUUUUGUUACUUACUUAUGUAUAUAAUUAUCUUUAAUGUUAUAUCCACGCUUCAACCCUAGAUUGGUUAGACAAAUUGAGGAUAUUCGUAGUGGACGAGGUCGCAGGCGCGGACGUAUGCAACCCUCGAAUGAAAGGGGUAAUCGGGAACCCACGCCUGAACCAAACCCUGAGUCUAGUAUUGACCCAAAUGCUCAGGUAGCCGUUGCUAUCCAGCGCAUGACCGAUCUGCUAGCCCAUAUAGUGGAACACUAGGGUCAAAACCCUAAUCCUCAACCUGGAAACCCUGGUAACAAUGUAGAUAAUGCAUACACGUUUGAAGUGGUUCUUUCAAAGGGAAGGAUUAAAUACCAAUAAAUAUGCAUGGAGAUUCUAGAAUAGCUAUAACCCCCACCCAAGAUGCAAAGCACGAUACAAGUAUAUAAAUAUAAGUAAAUAAAUAAAAGUAAAUGAACAAAUCAUUCAUUGCACACAUGGAGAGUGAGAGACAAUUGUGCGUGUGAAAUCCAAAAAAAAAAUCCUAAAAAAAGUAAAAGAAAAAUAAAAAUGCAAUUUAAAACAUCCCAAUGUAAUAUGUAAAAAAAAUUAGAAAAAGAAAAAAUCAACUAAAUCAAGUGUUUGGACUCACUAGAAUUUUCAGUGGAGUUGCCAAAGCUGUCGCGCCCCAAUUUUAAAAAAUAAAAGAGAAAGUGGUGCCAAAAAAUGAAUUUUUCAUUUUUAGAAAAUAAAGAAAAUGGGGCUAAAAUAGAACAUAGAAAAUGUGACGGUUUGAACCCAAAAUAAUAGUUUAAAAAAUGAGUUUUUAGAAAAAAGUGGAGCCGCCACUUGGUAUUAAAUUUAGGUGUAUCAAAUCACCCAAAAAUAUAUUUUAAAUAAAUAAAAAAUGACAAAUAAAAUUUUUUUUAGAUGACUCCAGAUCUUUGAAACCAAGAAAAAAGAGUUCAAGAGUUACGGUUGAAAUAAUGCGACGGUUUUUAGAUGACACCCUUUCAACCUAACCAAGAUUAGUUAUGAAAUUUAGUUGAAAAUUUUUCUAAUCUAACUUAUAAAACUUAUCACAUUAGAAUGUUUCUAUAUGGAUGCAAAUCUAGACCUAAGGGGUAUCGGGAGGGUCGGAAUGUCUUUUCAAAAUUUAAUUGGUACCAAUCACAUUAAUUGCAAUGUUCAAUAGUGAUUUUUUGAAGAGGUCACAAAUAUGCAAAAGAUGAUAUUCGAAAAAAAAGAAAAAUUAUAAUAUAUAAAUAUACAUGAUCUAAAAGAGAGGAAUGUAACAUAACGGGUAUGGAAGACUAAAAUUUGUGACACAAUUUUCCUUCUUAUAGAGAGGGAAAGAGCGUGUUAAGGUUAAGAAACCACACUUGUUCAUUUUCCAUAUUUAAAGAGUGACUCUUCUAAUCUAGUCAAACAAAUAGGCUAACCUAUUUCUAAUUUUCUAAAUGAGAUGCAAUUUUAACUGAUAUGGUCCAAACAUAUAGAGAGUAACGGAAUAAUAGUAGGGAAAAUAUCAUGCAACUGAAAAUAACCUAAAAAUAGGAAAAAUGUAUGAAAUUUAAUAAAUGUCACAUAAGGUAUGAAUCUAGCGCGAAAACAGUCUAAAGAAUCUAACAUUGGACUAACCCAUUUCUACAAAUCCUUACUAGCGUUAGACUAGUGAGAAAUCGAGAAAAAAGGCCAUAACUAGCAUUGGACUAGUGUGAUGUCGUCAUGCAUUUAUUAUAAAUAAAUAAAAUAUAUAAAACAUGAUUGAAACAAAUAAACACAUAAAACACAUAGAGUACACAACACAUAUGCAUAAUAUUUAGAUGCAAAAUUUUAGAGACAGUGAAUAAAUAUAUAAGCACACAAGCACAUAAGCAUGUAAGCAAAUAAAAACUAGUUAAAACAUUGAGGACCCUAACUAUAAUCUAGAAGGGAAAAUUUCGAAAAUAAUAAACCUAUCUAUUACAUUUAUCUAACUAAUUAUAUUUUUGACAAAAAUAAAAUAUAUCUAUUACGUGGUCUAACUAAAUAUAUUUUUUGGACACCUAUCUAUUACGAUUUGACAUUUAAAUGCCUCCUAAAUAAUCAUAAAAAAUUAAAUAAAAUAAAUAAAAACUUAAAAUAGAUACAAUGAGUAAAUAAAAGAAAAAGCAUUCAAAACAUGAAAUCACACAUAAAAAAAACACAUAGGAGCACAUAACAGAACUUAAAAUAAUAAUAGAAAAUACCUCCUUUAAAGAAGUGAUUAAAUGAGGUGGAAUUUGUCCUAUUUACACUCCAAAAUUAACAAAAUAGUCAAUAUACCAAUUUAAUUGACAAUUUAAAAGAAAAUGUAAACAUGUAGCAAAAUUCACUCUAUUAUUCUAAAGAAAUAUGAACAAACAUAAAAUUUCUAAAAUUCACCAAUUAAAUGCAUCUAAAUGAAGUAUGAUUAACAAUUAAAUGAGAUGAAUAAUUGUAAUUAAGAAAUAAUAAAGACCAGGGACCUAAUUACAAAUAAUUUUGAAAUUUUUUAGGGUCAAAUUAUAAUUUUUGAAAAAUUUAGGGGUCAAAAUUAUAUAAAAGAUAAAGUUUAGGGAUCAAAAUGCCAAUAAAUUAAGGACCUAAUUGAAAGAAAUCCAAAAUUUUAGGGUCAUAGUGAAAUUGUUCAAAACUUUAAGGGCUUAAUUGCAAAUUCUGUUCCUAGUUUCUCAACGCUAGAAGGCCUUUGGACCAUUUUCUUUCUCUUUCCUUCAUUUUGGUCUGGGCCGAAACACCUUGGCCCAGCAGACUAGUCCAUUCAUUUUAUCAAGGCCAAUCCAACACAAAAUGUUGGGUUUAAACUAUAAAGCCCAUACGUGAAGCCCAAUUUCUUGGCCCAGGUUCUUUUAGCCCAUAACAUAUUUCAUUAAACAUUUAUGACCUAAAUCGGAUCAAAUAUAAUAAAACAAAACAAGAAAAAUCGGAGGAAAAAUAGAAAGAAAAGAAAUCAAGAACAUUCCGACGGGUCGACCUGCUAGAAACUGAAAAAAUUCCUGCCGAAGUGGUCAGAAUCUCGCCGAAAACCUAUUUUUUAAGCUUUUAAAAAUUGAUCUUUACAUAUACACGAAGCUCAUGUCAUUUUGGAUUCAAAUAAACAUCAAAUAAGGUUCAAAAAUCACAUAAUCAUGGAAAAAUAUGGAUCAAAGUCUCUUGAACAUAAACUCUCAUAAACACACUCAAAUCUCUUGCAUGAAUGUCGAGUAAGGUAAGGAAAAGUCAUGGGAAUACUGAAAAUGAUUUUGGACGAGAUUAGAACAAGAACACGUGAGGGGAAUGAGAUUUCUUGAAACUUCAAAAAAUUUCGCAACAACACCGGUGAUGACGAACCUGAAACUUGAGGGCUCGAUUCGAAUGGUUUUCUAAUGUUUUUUAGGAAAACUUUCUAAAUGAAACCUUCUCUAAUGAUUCCCUAGAUUACCCCAAAACAAAAAUCUCUCCCAACGGAGUUGUAUUAAAGAAGAAAAUUGAGCUCGAAUGUGGCUGGUCAACCAGCCUGCUUUUUCCGAAAAAAUUUCUGCAACCAAAAUUUUUUUUCCUUCUCUUGCCUUUUUCUCUCUUUUCUUUCUCUUCCUCCCCAGAUUUUUGUGCAGUCAACUUUCCUUACCUCCCCCUUCUCUCUAGAAAUCCAUUCUCUCCUUUUUAAACGAGAUUAAGUGGCAAACACCCUCCUCUCAAGGGUGAGGAUGAGAUAGGUUUUGUUGGCUCAUUUUGGGCCAUUUGAUGAGUUUUGAUAGUUGUUUCCUUGCUAGAUUUUUGAUGAUUAGGUGUCCAAGUACUUGCUAAACUUGGAGGGAAAGAGAUAAGAAGCAAAAACAAAUUUUGUUGCCCCAAAACCAGAUUCUUGUACCAUUUUGUUGUUGCCAUUCAUUACUGCAAAUGGAGCAAAAAAUUUUUUUUAUUUUACAAAAAACAUAGGAAUGGGCUGAUGGGCCCUUUUGUUUCCUUUUUCUUCCAGGUUUUUUGUGGGUUUUAUUUUGGGCUUUGAGGAAAUUUGGUUGGGUUAAAACAAAAGAUCCUCUACUGUUUUUCUAAUUUUGAAAAUUCCAUGUUUCUUUUCUUUUCUUCAUUUUUCAAACAAAACAAAAAAUGAUUUUACUAAAAAUAAAAAAAAAUAAAUAAAUUAACAAAAUUUUGGUGUCUAUAGUGGAUAAGGAUUGAGAUUUACCACAACAAAGCCAAUACAUGUCAACACACAAAGGGAGUAUCUCUUGCUAAUUCUUGCCUCCUUCUAUAUUGAGAAAAAUGUGAAAUUUAAGUGUAGAGGAAAGGGCUUUGAAUUUGAAUUUGGUCCUUUCAUGCUUGUUGAUAUGGGUGUAUGUGUAAGGUAUUUUGAGAUUAUUAUUAUUAUUAUAUGUGCUAAAGAUUUUGAUUUUGGAAAACUUAAUGUUUUAUAAAGUAGAGUUUAUCAUGUCAAAAUUUUUUAAAAAAUUCAUGAAAUAUAUUAUCCAUGGUUUGAUGAUUUAAGUUGUAUGAUUAAUAUAAUUGAUGAAUAUCAGAUUUAGCUUAUGAUUAUCAUCUUAGUUCUAGUUUUCUUGCAAGGUACAAGUAAUGAGGUUUUUCUUUUCUCAAAAAAGAAAAGGAAAGUUUAUAUGAUUGAUGUGCUUAUAAGCAUCUACUCCACUGGUUCUAAGUACUUAGCAACUGGGGGUCUUCAUAUAAAAAUGUCAACUUUCGCAUAAAAUGGUACUAGAAUUAUGAGUAUGCAAAGCAAUGAGAGUUUGUGAUUUGAUUAAGUAAUUAUGAGCAUUCCUCUACCAAUGUUUGCUUUCAAAUCAAAAGGUAAGCUCACCUCUUGCAUAAGACUUAAAAAGAAAAGGGUAAAAUACACGGAACCCCCUUAUAGUUUCGUGAAAAGACGCCUUACCCCCCUAUCGUUUAGAAACCUCCACAUAAACAUCCUAAACUUCAUAACUAAAGUGGAAAUUGACCUAUAACUGGAUGUGCGACCUAGUGAUGAUGGGUAUGCGAGGUUCUUUUGAAAAAAUCUUGAGUUUCAUUCCCAAGCUACCCUUCAGUUGCUAUAUUGAAGUGACAUAUUAGGAUAGAAGAGAUUUGAAGCUAUCAAAGAGUGAAAGGAAAAAGGGAGCAGAUCUAAGGUAUAUUGAAGUCGCCAUGUCCACUUCUGCAAAUUUUGGAGGAGGUUUGACAGAUCUAAGGUAUGAAUGGUAUCAGUGCUUCUGCAAGAAAAGAGUAAAAAUCAAGAUCGUGGAAUCGAACAAACCCUCAAAAGGUAGGUUGUAUUACAUUUGUGAAGAUCAAUUCUGCUCCUUUUGGGCAUGGUGCAAUCCUGUAAGAAAGGAUGGAAUGGGCAAUGAACGUACUAGUCAAAGUCCAGAAACAAGAGUAGACGAAAGUUGUGGGUUCUCUCCAAGAGUGAACAGUAAUGAAGGUAUGCUGGCUGUGACCAAUGGUGACAUUUUGUUGGAGCUACAUGCAAAAUUGAACACGGUUAAAGGCACCGUGGGGAUGUUGAAAGUGAUAAUGAUUUUGUCCUUUAUUGUUUGUUGUUUAUCUCUACUUAUUGCUGCUUAUAGAAAUUAGUAAUUUGGUUAGUGGCAGCAUAUGAUGUGCCAAAUAAUGUAAUGAUUUUAGUUUAUGAAAAAAUUCCAAAUUUUGUCAUGGUUUGUAUUCCUUAAUGAAAGAAGAUAAUAACUAUACAACCUGUUUACUCAUGAACCAUUAGUAAUUUGGAUAGUUAUAAUAUGAUAACCACAAUCCAAUAUAUGGCAUUACAAAAAAGAGCAAUAAUGCCAAUAAUGUCAUUACAAAUAACUAAUAACGAUCCCAAUAAUGUUAAAGGAUUAAAAAGUUGCUUCACUUACAAAACAUGUUAAACCAUUACAACUUGUUUACAUCGACACAAGUUCUAAAAAUAAUAUCCAUAAAUUCCUGAUCCUAAUUUUUCGUAGAUCUUUUGGAUCGAGAAUUGGGUUGUUAUCACUAACUGCAGCAGUACUGCUUUGCUGAGAUAUUUGAUGCACUGGUACUUCUCUGGUUGGGGCUGAAGUGGAAGCUGUUGUUGCCCCUUGCAGGUUAUUGCUUGCUAGAUCCUGCAACCAAAUACAAAAUUUACUGCUGGAAUAAUUAUCAAGAGUACAUAGUGCUGAAAAAUUCAUGUACUUAAAUGUACCUUGUACAACUUGGAUUUGGGAUGAGGAGGUUCCUUUCAAGUUCUCCUAUUAUGGCCAGCUUUUAAACAUCUCUUACAGUAUAGUGUCAACGCCUUUUUGGAAGCUCUUUGUGGAUCUCUCGGUUCAUCAGGACCUCUUCUCCUAAGUUUUUUAGGUCUCCCAGGUUUUUUCUUCACAAAUGGUGGAUUUAAUAGCUGCAUUCCACUAUCAAUCCAGUGUUCUUUGGAUGGAACAGCUCCAAUGCUAUAAGCAUAUGCCCUCAAGUAUGCCUCUUUACUAUAGAACUCAUCGACAUAGUUUUCAACCUUCAUCCGCAUGCUUUGAAUGGCAAAAAUUGCAUGCACACAUGAAAUUCCAGUCAAUUGGAAUGCACCACAUGAACAGCUUCUAUGUUGCAAAUUCACAACAGAGGUUCUGUUGAAACCAUCAACCUCAAAGGAGUCAAUACCAUCAAAUACAGCAAUACAAUGCCUGCUUUUCUGUACACUUUUGGCUAGUUUCUCAAUAAUGUUUGGACAAAAUUUGCCUCCAUAUUUCUCCAUGCCUUGUCUCUUCAAUGUCAAUCGUUGCAUUACCUUUCUUCUGAAAAAUUCAAAAAGAGUCACAAUUGGCUCGUCUCUUGCUUUUGAAAUGUAGUUGUUGAAACUCUCAUUCAGGUUGUUGACUGAAAUAUCAGUCUUAACAGCUAUUCCAUAAUGUGCUCUAGACCACAAGUGAUAUGACAGCCUUUUUAACCAAGCAGCAGUAGUAAGGUUCUCUCCAUUUUGUAGCUGAGCUAUCUCCAAAGCAGUCAAUGCUCUCUUGAAAUCAUCAACAAUAGUUGUUGAUACAGUAGCCCAAAACAAUUCCCUCAGUUCACUGUCUUUGAACUUUGCCUUAAAAUUCUCAAGCAGAUGCUUAAGGCAAAAUCUGUGUUCUACACCAAGAAAUAGCUCCUCUAUAGCAUGUACUAGGCCUUUUUGCUUGUCAGAAAUGAAGAUAUAAGGCCCUACGUUGCCCCUUCCAAUAUGAGUAAUCAGCUCCUUCAAAAAUCAAGUUCAGUUAUUAUAGUUUUCUGCUUCAACAAUGGCAAUGGCUAUGGGAAACAUAUUGUCAUUCCCAUCCCUUCCAAGUGCUGCUAACAGUUGACCUCCAAAGGGACUCUUCAAAAAGCAGCCAUCUAGGCCAAUGAUUGAUCUACAACCUGCAAGAAAGCUCUUUUUAAGAGCACCCAAGCCAUAGAUCAGCCUUUGAAAUGUUGCCCUUUGCUCAAUAGACCUCCUAUCUAUUUGUAUAGCUAUAUGACUGUCUGGAUUUGACUAUCUAACCGUGGCAGCAUAAUCCCACAGUCGUUCAUAUUGCUCCAUAGCACAACCUUUGAUUGCCUCCCUGACCUUCCUCUUAGUCCUGUAUGCUUUUUUGCUACUUAUAUUAACCAUGAAUCUUCUUUUGGCAUCAUUAAUAAUGCCAUCCAAGCUGCAAUUAGGGUCAUCUCGAACCUUCUCUUGAAACUUUCUACUCAGAUAAGUUGAGGUUGCAUGCUUGUAAGUGUACUCUCUGCCGCAAUGGUGAUAUCCCUUUAGUGUUUUGAUUUGAAAAGUAUCAGUCCUAUUAACUCUGCUUACAUGAAUCCUCUAAGAUCAUCAUUUUGCACAUUUGGCAGUUAUCCUCCAACUGUCAUUAUUGACAUAUAAAACUUUAUAUCCCUCUCUAAUGUUCCAUUCCACAAGUGCUUCUCUAAAUUUUGUAAAAUGAGUGAAUUUCUUCCCAACCUUUAAUUCAAAUUUUGGCUUGUUAAACUCCACUACAGCAUUGAAUUAUGAGUAGUCAGGCCCAUUUUCAUCACUAGAAUAUAGGAAGUCUUCAUCUGCAGUCACAGGUUCAUUCCAUUCCUCAGUGUCAGGGCCAAUAGGUUGGUCUUCUCCAUGCUGAUGCUGUGCUGUGGACUCCUCACCUUCUGGUUCCUGAUGUUUUUGCUGCUACUCGUUCAAGUCAUCAGUUUGCUGAUUUGUUUGAGGUAUAGUUGAACCAGUAGUUGCAAAGAUGUCCUCAUCUUCUGCAAAUUCUAGACCCUCUCUCAACCAAUCCGGAUCAGGUUCUUCGUUUCCAUCACUGUGGUGCUAUUCUGUUGAUCUUGAUCCCUAUCUUUUGAUGUUUACAAAACAAAUAGAUGAUACUAAUAUCUCUUCAAGAUAUACUUUCAGUUAUGAAAUUAUUUGAUUCCAUGAACAAGUGCCAUUGAAAGAAGACAAAGGUUGCUGAAAGCUAUCGGACGCUCAAGAAGAGAGUACCGGACGUCCGAUAAUCAUUGCACAACUUCGGACGCAUGCUUCGGACGUCCAAUAGGAUCCUUCGAAGUCGACGAAUCUAUCGGACGCUGAAUAUGUCUCUACCGGACGUCCGAUAGAAACAAGAUAAUUUCUCAAAUCUCUUUGUUUGCUGUCGGACGCACAAAAAGCUUGCAUCGGACGUCCGAAAGAAUUGAAAAAAAUCUCUUAAACUCACUGCCUGCUGUCGGACGCAUAAAAUAGGGCUAUCGGACGUCCGACACUCCAACGGCUAGUUGACUCUUCAGCUACUUUCUAUCCGUUGGAAACAUUAAUGAGGCACUUUCUUGAUCCUAUAUAAAUAGUGAUUGGUCAGAUAUUUCAAACAACUUUUGCACACUAAAGAAACAAAAGAUCUAGAGUGAUUUUAGUGAGAAAAUACUCUUCAAAGAAGAUUUGUAGUCCUAGUAGUGUGAGGUUCAUUGUAAACUUUUCAUUUGUGAGUGAAUACUUCAUGAGUGUAGCUUUGUGAGGGUUGUCCUGAGGGAUAGUAAAACGUCCUGGCUUGACCGAGUGGAGUUCGGGGCAAGGAGAAGGUGAACCUUCCUUUGUACACAAGAGUGAUUGUAAUUCAUCAACUUGAAAUAGCUUGUUUGAAUUAACCUACAAGCUCAAAAGGAGGUGGAUAGUUAAUUGGUUUGCUAUUCUUUCCUUUUUAUUUAUUGUUACGUUUGAAAUCUGUACUUUGUUUAUCUCUUCUACUCACAAGCACUUGUACUUUCUCAUCAACUGCUCCAUUGUGUGGUCGCCUAGAAAAGUGGUUGUCUUCGGGCUUAACAAUUGGUAUCAGAGCUUGGUCUCCUAGAGAUUAAGCUCAAGCGGCUUAGGAGUAAAGAUGACAACCAACAAUUGAUACGAGUCAAGCUAUGCCAUCGGAUAAGGUUCAAGUCCCACUAGGACUGGUUACACGAGCUCGAGCAGUUCAUUCAGCUUCACCGCAGCAAAGACGUUAUAAGGCACAGACACGCUUUAUAAGGAUACGUCUUCUGCCAUUUAAUCGAUUCACCAUAGCAAAGUCAUUAUAAGGUGUGGGCACGCUUUAUAAGCUCAAGUCGUCUGCCCAUCUAGUCACAUUUGCUAUUUUAGUUAAGUCAUUGUAAUAAGGGCUUAAUGGUCCAUAGUCAUGCUUUAAUUACCUAAGCGAUGACCUCAUAAGGUUGUUUACCUAAGGGAUGACCUCAUAAGGUUGUUUACCUAAGGGAUGACCUCAUAAGGUUGUUUACCUAAGGGAUGACCUCAUAAGGUUUGGUCAAGCCUACAAUUGUUAGUCUUAGUCAAGACCACAACUCUAGACUAGUUCCACAUUUAGUUGUUCAUCUCUAUGUAAGGCUAUAAAUAGCCCACACUUCCAAUGGUUUUAGGCAUUCAAUCAAUAAAUCAGAUUUUGAGAGUUUUCUUGGUUUCUCCAAGGCUUCUUGAAUACCUUAGAAUUUCUCUAGGUGUUCGUGACUUAUCAAUCUAGAAUCGCACUAGGUUGUGGCGUCUUCUACCAUUAUACCAAGGUUCGUUAACCACGUGAUUAACGGGUUGAGGUCAUCCGCUCCAAACUUGGUGUCCUCUUGUCGAUCCUGAAUCUAAUCUUUUACGGGUUUCGUCACAAGGUUGGCGACGUUCGUAUCAGUUGGUAUCAGAGCUAGUUAAGAGGUAUCACGUUAUAUCCCUUUAUUUAUUUCCUUUCGAGUCAAGUUGUCCAAAAUUCUGUUUUCGUGUUCUAAGUUUGCUGUUCGCAAUUUCCAGAUUUGUUGCAUCGUGUUCUUGCGUUAUUUUUCCAGAUUUGUUGCAUCGUAAACUUGCGUCUAGUUGUUGUUAAUUGCUUUGGUUAGCCUUGUUUGGUCCAGCCUUUUUUUUGUGUCUUAUUCUUGAUUCUUUGUUUGUGUUUGUGUCUUGUUUCUAUCCUGUUAUAUCCAUUUAAUUCCAGUCUUUUGUUCUAUUUGAUCAUUCGAGGUUACUGUUCAUCCGAAAAAAAAAAAAUCAAUUUGUAGCAAGGGUUUUAGAGUCCUAUCUAGUUAUUACCUUGUGUUCUUGUUUACAUACAAAAAAAAAAAUAUAGCUAGCUAACCUUACAAAAAUUCCUGGAAAUCUGUCUUGAUCAAAACUUGGGUUUCUUGAAGUUCCUGAUUGUUUAAAACCACAAUCUUGAAGUUCUUGGAACUUUAGUUGGGAUUCUUGAAGCCAACCAAAAUCUGUCUUGAUCAAAUCGAGAAAUCUUGGAUUGUUUUGGGAGGAAAUCAUCUUCAAUUUUGUGUUUCUUGAAUUCUGGAAAUUAACAUCUUGAAUUCUUGAAAGAAUCUUGAAGUUUCUGGGUUUUGGGAACCAAAUCUUGGUAAACAACAAGGCUGCAAAAUUCCAGCUGCCAAAAUCCUUGUCGUUCUUUCUUUCUUGAUCAAUCUUCUUUAUUGAUCACCACAACAAUCUUCUUUCUUGAUCAAGAACAUUUAAGCCACAAAAUUUGACUCUUGAAAGCCUCCAGAAUUGACCAUUGAUAAGAAGAAGAAUGUUCAGCCAUGAAAUUUGACUCUUGAAAGCCAGCCUCCCUAAGCCACGAAAUUUGACUCUUGAAAGCUUCCAAAUUUGACCAUUGAUUGUGAUAAAUGCCUUCCUAAAAGCUGACCAUCAAAAAAAAAAAAGAAGAGCACCAAAACAACCAGCAACCCUACUCCAAUUCCAAGUUGGAUUUGAUUAGUUUAGUCCAACUUGAAUAAGGCUGUCCAGAUUUACUUCAAUUUCGUUUUUACAGCCUGUUAAAUCCUUUUUGGGAUAGGAAAAAGGGAUUAGUUCCGGAAUAAUCCAAAAAUUUCCACUAUCCAUUAUUUCCUAAAUUGCUGCAACAAGAGCAAGUGUUGGUGCACUCUUUAGGCAGUUGUUAUUGAGUCAAAUCUUUAUAGCUUUCUUGAAUCAGUUGUUCUGAUUAUUUUUUCCAGUAAUUUCCAGCCAGAGUAGUGUCCAAAUUUCCAGCUCUUGUAUAGCUAGUUUUUGUGUUGCAUAACUAGUAGUCCUUUUGUCGUGCAUCUACGCAUUUUUUUCCAACAAAUUCCAGCAGAUUAUUUUUUUUUCCAGUUCUUUUGAGUCAUUUUUGUCUUAUACCUCCUCAAAUUUCCAGCUUAUAACGAGCCACAUUUGAGUAGAUUCUUGUGCGAAGCUAGUUGAACUUUUCAGGGAAAUUUUCUACUUUCUUCAAGGGAAGCAAGCAGAACCUUGAGAACAUUAGAGUGUUUUAAACACUUGAGUGAUACACGAGUGACGAGUGUAAACAUGUGAGCUUGUGUGGUAAGGAAAAAUAUCUUUUGUUUCACUAAAUUUUUGCAGGUUUCCUCAUACAUCAUGGCGAAUACGAGGCAUUUAAAAGCUAGCUUACAACAUCUUCUUCCUGAUCCUAAGGGAGUCGAAGAAGUGGCAUUACGUGGUGUAAAUGAGCAGUUGGACAUCGUCAAAUCUCAGUUGCAUUGUUGGUUUUAUACUCGUUGUGGUGUCAAAGAUAAAACAUGCAGCUUGGCCAUUGAUAGGAGUUGUGAAGUCAAUCUUGCAAGCGCUAUCAUGGUUCACAAAUUAAAUCUUCCAACCAUUGAUCAUCUUCAACCGUAUAAGUUGUCGAGUGCUCAUGGUGAUGUUUGGGUUACUAAACACACACUUGUACCUAUUCAAAUUGGCAAAUAUGUGGAUGAGGUGUUGUGUGAUGUAGUCCCAAUUCAAGUGACACAUGUGUUGCUAGGUAAAGCGUGGAUGUUGAGGCGAGAAGUUAAAUAUGAUAGACAUACUAAUAAGUAUUCCUUCUUAUUUAAUGGUCGUCGUUCUGCACUUGUACCACUUAUUUAUGACUAAAUUUGUAUUGAUCUAGCAUACAUGAGAAGUGAACAUGAGCGUUAUAGUAUGAAGAAAGAGCUAGAUGAGGGAAUUGUGACUGAUGAGGUAAAAUCUGAGGGAGUUGAAAAGGAGAAAGAGGCUAAGAAUAAUGAGAGGAAAAAGACAGCUAUUGAGCAUGAGAAAGAGAUUGAAAAAUCCAAAGUGUUGACUGAGGAAGCGAAAGAAAGAAGGGAUAAUGCACUGAUUUUAAGUUUCAACAAAAAUGAGAGUGAGGGGACUUAUUGCCAUUCUAACAACCUUAACAUUGCUCUGUCUAGUGUUCCUUGUUUUGUGCAGGUUAAGCAAAGUGCAAUCGUUUUGAUCUUACAAUGUUCCAUCCCAAAGACGCUUGUGCAAUUUGCGAGUUUCCAUGGAGUUUGUCUUCUAGGAGUUAGAUCAAAUUGGUUCCCAUUCAUGGAAUCAGAUAAUUUCAAAACUGUUCACGUCUUUGGAGGAUCAAACUAUGUGUACCCUCAAGACCUUAGAACCGACCAUGUUCCACGAGUUUACACAAGGAGCGAGGUCUUCAAUGGUCACUACAAUACCUAUGCUCAUCUUGCACCUAGUCCACUUGAAGCUCCAACUUCACCAAGUCAGCUUCCAUACUUUGCAAGCUUAUUCAAGUUUGAGGAGUAUGAUUUCAUAGGAUCUACAUCGCAUCACUUUGAGCAUCCUUACCUCAUGAUCACAAGCGAUCAAGUUGGGCAUACAUUGAAACUGGUUCGUGAGAUUCAAGGUUCAACAAUGUUUACUUUCCAGCUUAGCAAGUGGUUUAUGCAUUGGAUGAAAAUUGUGGUAAUCAUAACAAAAUUGACUCGACGGCAUGUAACUCUUCUUAUCAUCAUUCAUGCUUCAAUUUGUGGGCAAAUUGCUUUCAAGAGAAAGGGAAUGAUAUGAGUCAAGCUAUGCCAUCGGAUAAGGUUCAAGUUUUUGGUCCAUCAUGCGUCCCAAUUCGCCUUUGAUUGCUUCUGUGAAAAGUUUAAGAUCAAAAGCUUGGGAGCUUGCUCCCCCCUCGUUAGCCAUGGUGAAGUAUAGGGUAAAAAAAUAACAAUGGAAAGAAGUAAAGUUUAUCUCGCACACUUCCUCACGUGUUUACUCUCGCUCUCAUGUUUGAACACUCUAAUGAACUCACCAAGGUAUUUUCAAGGCUCCUCGGUCAACUCCUCGAAGAAGUUAGAACUCAUUCUAGUGUGGAUCGACUUACCAACCAGGGUCACAAGAUUGUAGCACUUUGAACGAAAAAAGAACAAAAGAUGAAGGGACUGACCACGACUCAAUGAAUGACUCAAAGUUGAAUUUUAAGGAUCCUAGACAAAAUUCUACCCAAAACUGGAAUUUUGAGCUGCUGGUUGCUGCAUUUCUGGGCAGUGUUUUGGUAGAUAAAUGGACACUUAGAGGAUUCAGAAUGACACUUAAAACUGACCUAAUGAUACAUAAAAAUUCCCAGAAUUAAUGAUUGGACAGAAAUUCCCCAAUGGUUGCAAAGAUGGAAUCCGAAUGGAAGAUGAAUUUGUGUUGCGGUAGGACUGUUUUGGAAACCCAAGGCUGACUUUUCUUCCUUAAUCCUUUGGAAACAAGGAUUAGUCUUCCUAUUUGCUGGUUCCCACAAAUUCUAAGGUCAAGUUCAAGAUUGGAACUGAUUUGGUUGUUUUUGGGAACAAGGGUGGAAAAUUUAACUUGAACAGGUUGGAAAAUUUGACUUGAAUAGAUUGGGAAAUUUGACUCUUCUUGGCUGAUUAUAAAACAAAAACAAAGGAAGAAGACCUCAACCCGUUAAUCACGUGGUUAACGAACCUUGGUAUAAUGGUAGAAGACGCCACAACCUAGUGCGAUUCUAGAUUGAUAAGUCACGAACACCUAGAGAAAUUCUAAGGUAUUCAAGAAGCCUUGGAGAAACCAAGAAAACUCUCAAAAUCUGAUUUAUUGAUUGAAUGCCUAAAACCAUUGGAAGUGUGGGCUAUUUAUAGCCUUACAUAGAGAUGAACAACUAAAUGUGGAACUAGUCUAGAGUUGUGGUCUUGACUAAGACUAACAAUUGUAGGCUUGACCAAACCUUAUGAGGUCAUCCCUUAGGUAAACAACCUUAUGAGGUCAUCCCUUAGGUAAACAACCUUAUGAGGUCAUCGCUUAGGUAAUUAAAGCAUGACUAUAGACCAUUAAGCCCUUAUUACAAUGACUUAACUAAAAUAGCAAAUGUGACUAGAUGGGCAGACGACUUGAGCGUAUAAAGCGUGCCCACACCUUAUAAUGACUUUGCUAUGGUGAAUCGAUUAAAUGGCAGAAGACGUAUCCUUAUAAAGCGUGUCUGUGCCUUAUAACGUCUUUGCUGCGGUGAAGCUGAAUGAACUGCUCGAGCUCGUGUAACCAGUCCUAGUGGGACUUGAACCUUAUCCGAUGGCAUAGCUUGACUCGUAUCAUUCCCCUUCUCUUGAAAGCAAUUUGCCUACAAAUUGAAGCAUGAAUGAUGAUAAGAAGAGUUACAUGCCGUCGAGUCAAUUUUGUUAUGAUUACCACAAUUUUCAUCCAAUGCAUAGAAUUGAGCAUCAAAUUGACUUGGGUUUCCAAAAAAAAAAAUCCCACCGCAACACAAAUUCCUUUUCCAUUCGGAUUCCAUCUUUGUAACCGUUGGGGAAUUUCUAAUUCUGGAAAUUUUCGUGCAUCAUUAGGUCAGUUUUAAGUGUCAUUCUGAAUCCUCUAAGUGUCCAUUUACCUACCAAAACACUGACCAGAAAUGUAGCAACCAGUAGCUCAAAAUUCCAGUUUUGGGUAGAGUUUUGUCUAGGAUUCUUAAAAUUCAACUUUGAGUCAUUCAUUGAGUCGUAGUUAGUCCCUUCAUCUUUUGUUCUUUUUUCGUUCAAAGUGCUACAAUCUUGUGACCCUGGUUGGUAAGUCGAUCCAUACUAAAGGAGUUCUAACUUCUUCGAGGAGUUGACCGAGGAGCCUUGAAAACACCUUGGUAAGUUCAUUAGAGUGUUCAAACACGAGAGCGAGAGUAAACACGUGAGGAAGUGUGCGAGAUAAACUUUGUUUCUUUCCAUUAUUAUUUUUUUUAUACUUCACCAUGGCUAACGAGGGGGGAGCAAGCUCCCAAGCUUUUGAUUUUAAACUUUUCACAGAAGCAAUCAAAGGCGAAUUGGGACGCAUGAUGGACCAAAAACUUGAACUAAUGCACCAACGCAUUGACAGCUUAGAGUUGUCUCAUGGAAGCUCCAAAGGCAGCCGUGGAAAGGCUUAUGCACAUGAGUCUACCGACUCUAACUCAGACAACAACUAUGAGCAUAAGCAAAGUAGGUCCAAGCGUGAAGCUAGGCCUUCAAAUGACCCAGAUUUCUCAGGUAUUUAUGACUCUUGUGGUUCAGCAACUCAAGGUAAAUUCUACAUCCUUGAUGGAUUUCUUUUCUGCCUCAAUCGACUAUGUAUACCUAACUGCUCUAUUCGCUCUCUACUUGUUAGGGAAGCACACGGAGGUGGCUUGAUGGGACACUUUGGCGUAGCUAAAACCUUAGCUAUCCUUCAGGAGCACUUCCAUUGGCCAAGGAUGAAACGAGAUGUGGAGCGAAUGGUGGCUAAAUGCAUUACUUGCCACAAAGCUAAGUCUAAACUUCAACCCUAUGGCCUUUAUAGUCCUUUACCUGUACCUAAGGAACCUUGGACCGACAUUUCCAUGGAUUUUGUUUUAGGGUUGCCUAGGUCAAAGAGGGGAAAUGAUAGCAUCUUUGUUAUUGUUGACAGAUUUUCAAAAAUGGCACAUUUUAUACCAUGUCACAAAACAGAUGAUGCAUCGUACAUUGCUGAUUUGUUUUUCAAAGAAAUCAUUAGAUUGCAUGGCAUGCCUAGGACAAUUGUCUCUGAUAGGGAUGUCAAAUUUUUGAAUUACUUUUGGAAAACUUUGUGGGGAAAAUUGGGUACCAAAUUGCUAUUUUCUACUACUAGUCACCCACAAACUGAUGGCCAAACUGAGGUUGUCAAUCGUACACUAUCUACACUCUUGCGUGCCAUCAUUAGAAAAAACAUUAGAACCUGGGAAGAGUGUUUACCCCAUGUUGAGUUUGCAUACAAUCGCACGGUGCAUAGUUCUACUCAUUUUUCACCAUUUGAAAUAGUCUAUGGUUUUAACCCUUUAACACCACUAGACUUAUCACCUUUACCUUCUUCUGAGCACAUUAACAUGGAUGGUGCUACACGAGCAGAUUUUGUCAAGAAAUUACACGAGCAGGUACGCCUAAACAUUGAGCGAAGGAUGGACCAAGUUGCUCAACGGGUUAACAAGGGACACCAACGCGUUGUGUUUGAACCUGGUGACUGGGUGUGGUUACAUCUACGCAAGGAAAGGUUCCCAGUCCAAAGGCGCAAUAAAUUACUUCCCCGAGGAGAUGGGCCGUUCCAAGUCAUCAAGCGCAUCAAUGACAAUGCUUACAAACUGGACCUACCCGGUGAGUACAAUGUGAGCGCUACAUUCAAUGUCUCUGAUCUAUCUCCUUUUCUUGCAGACGAUGAAGCUGAUUUGAGGACAAAUCCUUUUGAAGAGGAAGGGGAUGAUACGAACCAAGAGACACCAUUGCGAACUAUUCGAGUUCCCCUAGGACCCGUAACUCGAGCACGAGCUAAGAAGAUGAGGGAGGAACUCCAAGGACUUGUUCAUGAGAUACAAGGCCAAGAAAUUGUCCCCAAGGUCAUUGAGGGACUUGAGCAUGAAGGAAUGAAAGCCAUCCAUGUAGUGCACGUCAAAGAGAACCAUGUGUGACCCUUCUCUAGUCACAUUUGCUGUUUUAAUUAAGUCAUUGUAAUAAGGGCUUAAUGGUCCAUAGCAUUGCUUAUUUACCUAAGCGAUGACCUCAUAAGGUUAUUUACCUAAGCGAUGACCUCAUAAGAUUGUUUACCUAAGGGAUGACCUCAUAAGGUUUGGUCAAGCCCACAAUUCUUAGUCUUAUGGAAAUAGUCAAGCCUACAAUUGUUAGUCUUAGUCAAGACCACAACUCUAGACUAGUUCCACAUUUAGUUGUUCAUCUCUAUGUAAGGCUAUAAAUAGCCUACACUUCCAAUGGUUUUGGCAUUCAAUCAAUAAAUCAGAUUUUGAGAGUUUUCUUGGUUUCUCCAAAGCUUCUUGAAUACCUUAGAAUUUCUCUAGGUGUUCGUGACUUAUCAAUCUAGAAUCGCACUAGGUUGUGGCGUCUUCUACCAUUAUACCAAGGUUCGUUAACCACGUGAUUAACGGGUUGAGGUCAUCCGCUCCAAACUUGGUGUCCUCUUGUCGAUCCUGAAUCUAAUCUUUUACGGGUUUCGUCACAAGGUUGGCGACGUUCGUAUCAGUUGGUAUCAUGUUCGUAUCAUGUUGACACCACAACGUACUUGGCUAAUCUUUUACGGGUUUCGUCACAAGGUUGGCGACGUUCGUAUCAACAAUGCUAUGUUUUUUAAAGGACAUUGUGUCAUUAGAUCACCUAUGUUUAAUGGGUCAAAUUAUGUGAGUUGGAAAGAAAGAUUGAUUAUUUUUUUGCAAUCUAUUGAUAUUGAAUUGUGGUUUAUUAUUAGUGAAGGUCCAUAUGAUGUCUCUCUUAUAGAUGAAAAUACUCAUAGAUCUAGACCAAAAAUAAGAAGUGAACUGACUGCUAUGGAUAGAGCUCAUCUCACCUUAAAUGCAAAAGUCAUGAAUGUGUUACAUUGUACUUUAGACUCAAAUGAAUCUAUUAGAGUCAAAGGCUACAAGUCAGCCAAGGAAAUUUGGGAUAAAUUGAGAGAAAUUCAUGAAGAUAGUGAGAAUGUUAGAGAACAAAAGAAAUCCAUUCUAGUUACCAAGUAUGAAUCGUUCAAUAUGGAACCUCAUGAAAACAUUGAUGAGAUGUACUGUAGAUUCAAUGACCUCAUUAAGGACUUAGAGGUACUGGAAAAAGAAUAUUCUCUAGGUGAGAAAAAUUGAAAAAUCCUGAAUGCCUUGUCCUGCUAUUGGGAAAAUAAAGUGACUGCCUAUUGAAUCUCUUAUUAAUUCUCUAACCUCUUAUGAGUUGAAACUUAAAUCCAAAGUGCAAGAGGAGAAGGAUGCGAAAGUAAGAAGGAGCAUUGCUCUAAAGGCAUCUCAAGAUGAAGAUGAUUCUGCCUCCCUAGAUGAAGAAGAUGUGGAAGUUGAUGACAGUGAUCUUGUGACGCCCCGAAAAGUAUGAGUGUGAGAGCCCGAAAAUUUUCUAAUUUUCUAGAGUUUAUUUUAUUUAAUCGCCCGUCUUUUCUACAGUUUCUUUAUUAGAAAAAUUCCCCAGAUAAAGUUUAUGAGUAAAGAUAGUUUUAAAAUAAUUUUUCUAGUAUCGGUUAGUUUUUGAAAAAUUAAGAGCGUAUUUUGAACGUGGGACCCGCAAGUGCGGUAAAUGCAUUAUAUUUUUUGACAACUUGUUGGAAUUUUGUAUUAAAUGAUAUUAUUUUACAAGGUGUUAAGAUAUUUGUAUUGGAGAGACAAAAAGAUAAGUUUUAAAACCAAAAGGUGACAUGUGUCACCUUCUUAUUCAAAGUUGGACUUUGACUAAUUUGCAUCACCUUUACUAAACCUCAAAAAUUGACCAAUUUCUCUCCAUUUUAAACUUGUCUUGGUCGAACCUCUUGGAGCAAAAAUACAAGAGAAGCCUUUCUUGUCUACUUCAAUUUCUUGCUCAAUCUUGUGAUUCAACCGAUUAAAUUUCAAAUUUUUCCACAAAAGUGAGUUGCUAAGUUAGUUUAAGGUGUUGAGUGGAGCCAUUUGUGAAGAACAAGCUCUAGUUGUCUUGUUUCUUGGAGUUGCAAAGGUGAGGUGUUAAAUCUCUUCCCUCUCAUGCUAAUAAUGAUCAAUUAAGGAUUUCUAAUGGUAGAGCAUGUCAUUUUAUGGAUGAUUUCAUGACCUAUGGGUGAGAUUGAUGGAUUUUUCUUUUGUUCAUGAAUUUUUCUGAUUUCAUAUGAUUGUGAUGGUGUGACUAUCUAUGGUGAUUGGAAAUGAUAUAGAAUGAAGCUAGAAGGUGUAUUUGGUGGUUAAUUGCAAACAAUUUCUGUUUUGGAAGAAAUCUGGAAAAUUAGGGUUCUAAUGUUUACAUUCUGCCCGAAUUUAUAGCUCAUAGAUAGAGGACGAAUUGGCCUUGUCUUAAAAAAUGAAAGUUGUAGGGAAUGACAUUUUAGAGGUACCUCCAAAAUUUCAGGUCAAUCGGAGUAGCGUAACUUGUGAAAAGUCGAAAUUACUAUUGCUGUUCUGGUUUUACCUGAAUGUAAGAAUUGCGCCUGUAAUUGGUUGUUUUGGCUGGAAUUGCUUCCGAAUUGGUUGUUGAGGUCUUCUGAUAAAAUUUAUCCCUAUUUCUUAGCUUUCAGCUGGUUUUGGAAUUUCUGGAUUUGGACUUGGAUAGCCUGCUUUAUGAUGUUUCCGCUAGAAUGCGUUCUGUGAAUCUGUUUUUGUGAUUCUGGUAUGGUAUCUUGCAUGUUUGACCUGGUUACACUCGAAAAUGGGUUGAGUGACCUUCUGCAAUGUUGUAGCCCUGUCUUUUAACUUAGAAACGGUGUAUCUUGUACCUUCAUCCGACAAUCGUAGCGCCUUUGGUGCCAUUACCGUAAAAUGACGUCAAAACUGUUUUUCCGGUUUUGAGCUUAACUUUCAUUUCCGGACUUUUCCCUAGCUUGACUUGUACUAGCUACUUGGAGCUUGCUGAAUGGCUAUUGGAUGAACUUGUUGUUGUGUGUGUACCUUUGGGUUGGAAUGAGGAAAUAAUGAAGCCUUGAUGGCUGGAAAAGUAAAGAAAGAUAAGAGGAAGUGCUGUCCGAAUUUUGAAAGGAUUUGUUUGCAUUGAGUUUGUGAACUAAGACUUGGAUUUGAGCAAGGCAAUGAUAUAUGAUGGAUGGUUCCUGAGCCAUGGAGGUGAGUGACCCCAAACUAUUGUUAAAGCUUCUUAUGAAAUGUUUCUUGCAUUAUUUACUCGACUGCAUCUCAUGCGUGCUUGCAUGUGAGUUCAUGACAUGAUUUGGCUUCAAUGAGUUCUGGGAAAGUCUUGUGCUGGACACCAACGUCUCCACUCUGUUUAUGGUUCAUGUUCAUGUUUAUCUGGAGCUCAAGAAGGGGCUCCCUCUGAAUGUUAAUGUUAAUGUUAAAUGAUCUAUUUGAGCGUUGGGUGUUCAAGUGCUAUGAUUUCCCUGGCUCACGAGAGCACUAAACGAACAUUUGAUCUCUGAAUCAUGACAUCAUCGAAAUGAUCGAAAUGCAACAUUGUGAAAUAUAUUUGUUUAAUGAUUUUACUGGUUAUUCGCUGAGCUUCUAGCUCACCCCAAAAAUAUUUUAUUCCCCUCCACAGGACUCAAAGCGAAGGAAGGACUUGUUGUGCUUAUUCACAUGUCUGGAUGGCCUAUAUCUUGUACAGUUUGGAUUUGGGAAUCAUUUUAUGUAUAGUUGGGAAUUGUUUCCCCUUCGCUUAUAACAUGUAAUUUUUGGAGAAUUUGAUGUAUAUUGGAGAUUUAGAUUGUAAUAUUUGAGGUUUAUUCUUGUAAUUCAUUUGAGGAUUGUAGUGAACGACUGAGUCCCGGCAAGAGUUGGGCAAGCGACCCGCCGAACCUUCUGGUUCGCCUUAGGGGGAGGUGGGGCUAUCACAGAUCUUACUCUCAUCACAAGAAAUUUCAAGAGGAUUCUCAAUAAAAAGAGAUUUAGAGGAGGAGGACCUAGCAAUUCAGAUUCUAAUCAAUUCAACAAUGCCAAUGUUUUAAAAACCCGACCGUUAAUUGAACCGGUGAAGUGAAAGGGUCGAGGUUCAACCGGUCGGACCGGUUCAACCCCGGUUCAAUAAAUUUUUUAAAAAAUAAUUUAUAUAAAUAUAUAUAUGCACAAAAUAAGACAUGUAAUGGAUUAAUUUAAUACUUUAUAUGAUGAAAAGUUUACUAUUUUUUAAUAAUUUGGAUUUUUAAAAAUAAAAAUUUUAAAUUAUAAGUUAAAACAAAUAAAUUUCAUUUCAAUUUCAAUUAUAUCUAAAUCCAACCCAAAAAUAUCACAAUAUUUUGAAAUUAUGCAAAAUUCACGUCUAUGAGAAUUUAGACAUUGUGAAAUUAAAUUUUAAUUUACGCUUUGGGAUUUAUAGAUUGCAAUUUAAAAAAGAAAGUUUGGAGUUCGAAGGAAGUCAAGGGAAUCGAAAAUAAAAAUGUAAACUUAAUAAGAAACAAAAAAUGAGAUAAAGUGAGUGGUUGUGACAUUAAAUAAUUUGGAUUAAAGAAAAAUAAUUCUUUUUUAACUUUUUUCAAUUUAAUGGACAAAAACAAAAUUAAAAGAUGGAAGAAAACAUCAAUAAAUUAAAAAUAAAGAGGUUUGAUUAAAAAGGGAGUGACAAAAGAAAAGAGGAUAGCGAGAAAGAGAGAGAGACUUGAAAAUAAAAAAGAAAGAGCCAUGAGAGGAUGAGAUUUUGUAAGAAAAAUAAAAAAAAAGAAAUAUGAGUAUUUGAAAUAUGAAGAAAAAUUUUUUUUUAAAAAAAAUCAAGAUGCGAACUGGAGAAGCCGAGAGUGAGAAACGGAGGAAGUGAAAUUGAAAUGAAAUGUGCCGUUUGCACUUUCUUAAUGCUAGGGUUUUUUUAUUUAAUCUGAUUUUAUUUUUUAGUUAAGUAUAAUUCUACACAACAAUACCUCGUCCUUGGGCUGUGGUGUAGUGGCAGCCGUACCUUAUUGUUGGCUCAGAGACCCGAGUUCGAAUCUGACAGUCUCCAUUCUUGCUAUUAUUUUGAAUUUGAGGUUAUAUUGUUAGAAAAUUUGAGAACCGCCGGUUCGCGGUUCAUACGGGUUUUAGCGGUUCGUCCGGUUCGCGCAGUUCGUAACGGGUUUCCAUUACCAUCCGGGUUUGAUAUUGGACCGGACCGGUAGCAUGGCCGAUUCGCGGUAGGACCGGCCGGUCCGGUCCGGUUCUGAAAACAUUGAACAAUGCAAGAAAUAAAGGAAUAUAUGAGCCCAACAAAAAGCAAGGUGACAAGUGCUUUGAAUGCGGCCAACCUGGACACUAUGCAAGUGAGUGUCCAGUGAAGAAGAGAAAAUGUGAAAGAAAACCCAGAUUCAAUAACUUCCAGUUCACAUGGAAUGAAUGCAAUUUCGAUGGUGAAAUUGAAGAGAAAGAAGAAUCUGCUCAAUUGGCUUUCAUGGCCAUUGGAGAUGAUGAGGUAACAACUUAUAACUCUCAAUUUGAAAGUGAUGAUGAAACUGAUGAUGAUCUUGAAUCUUUCAUUAUAAAAUUACAUGAUAGUUUGAAAGAAUCUUAUGCUAGAAACAAAGAGUUAAAACAGAAAAUUAGUUUUUUACUUCGAGAUAAUGCAAAUCUUUUUCAACAAAAUAAAAAGUUGAUUGCUGAAAAUGAUUUCUUCAAAAAGAGUGAGACUGCUUUACACUUUAAAUUUGAUAGAAAAACAAAGCUUUGUGAAUUGUUUAAAAAGGAACAAGAUGAUUUGAAAAGAAGAAUGGAUGGUUUAAAUGAGUUGCUCCAAUAUAAAAAAUAAGACUGUUUUCAAAGUAAUAAAUCAAAACCUCAUUUUGGCACUCAUCAGAUAAGACUGAAUCAAAAUGCAAAUGAGUUUGCUAUCCAUAGGAAAAAGCAAGUCAGAUUUAUUAAACUCGUUCAUGUGAAUAACUCUUUGGUUAUGUGUAAUUUUUGUUGUCAAAAAGGUCACAUGAAAAGUGAUUGUUAUGUGAGGAAAAACAUGAGAAGAGGCAUGAAAUGCAUGUGGAUAGUUAAAUAUGAUGCUAACUCUAACAAGUAGGAGAUAUUGGUAAGAUUGAUGAGACUCCUGUUAAUAAUGCUUUUCUGUAAUUCUUUUUGAAGUUUCUGAUGCUUAGAACUGUUUUUUUUUUUUAUGUUUUUGAAUAUUACUGAAUUUAUAUGAUGUCAAAAAGAGAGAAAAAAGAAUAAUGCUGAUCUCAUGAUGAUUUGCUGUCAUUUCUCUGUUUUUACUUGAAAUAUUAGAUUCUUUGUUAUUGUUGUUGGAUUACAAUAGCUUAUUUUUACUCUCAUCUUAUGAUGACAAAAAGGGGGAGAAAUGGAUGCAAUGUGUAAGGGGGAGUUAUUCUGAAAUUAUGAGUUUGGCUCUUGAAAGUUUUGGAUGCAAUGAUUGAGGGGGAGCUUAUACUUAUUUUUUUGUUUCUUUCCAUCCAUUGUUUUGUCAUCAUCAAAAAGGGGGAGAAUGUUGAUCUUGAUUCCUAUCUUUUGAUGUUUACAAAACAAAUGGAUGAUACUAAUAUCUCUUCAAGAUAUACUUUCAGUUAUGAAAUUAUUUGAUUCCAUGAACAAGUGCAAUUGAAAGAAGACAAAGAUUACUGAAAGCUAUCGGACGCUCAAGAAGACAGUACCGGACAUCCGAUAAUCAUUGCACAACUUCGGACACAUGCUUCGGACGUCCAAUAGGAUCCUUCGAAAUCGACGAAUCUAUCGGACGCUGAAUAUGUCUCUACCGGACGUCCGAUAGAAACAAGAUAAUUUCUCAAAUCUCUUUGUUUGCUGUCGGACGCACAAAAAGCUUGCAUCGGACGUCCGAAAGAAUUGAAGAAAAUCUCUUAAACUCACUGCCUGCUGUCGGACGCAUAAAACAGGGCUAUCGGACGUCCGACACUCCAACGGCUAGUUGACUCUUCAACUACUUUCUAUCCGUUGGAAACAUUAAUGAGGCACUUUCUUGAUCCUAUAUAAAUAGUGGUUGGUCAGAUAUUUCAAACAAUUUUUGCACACUAAAGAUACAAAAGAUUUAGAGUGAUUUUAGUGAGAAAAUACUCUUCAAAGAAGAUUUGUAGUCCUACUGGUGUGAGGUUCAUUGUAAACUUUUCAUUUGUGAGUGAAUACUUCAUGAGUGUAGCUCUGUGAGGGUUGUCCUGAGGGAUAGUAAAACGUCCUGACUUGACCGAGUGGAGUUCGGGGCAAGGAGGAGGUGAACCUUCCUUUGUACACAAGAGUGAUUGUAAUUCAUCAACUUGAAGUAGCUUGUUUGAAUUAACCUACAAGCUCAAGAGGAGGUGGGUAGUUAAUUGGUUUGCUAUUCUUUCCUUUUUAUUUAUUGUUACGUUUGAAAUCUGUACUUUGUUUAUCUCUUCUACUCACAAGCACUUGUGCUUUCUCAUCAACUACUCCAUUGUGUGGUCGCCUAGAAAAGUGGUUGUCUUCGGGCUUAACAUGUUCUCUGUUGACUUGAUUUGGUUCUCUGUCAGAAUUACCUUGCUACUCUUCUCUAUUGACUAUGUCUGCUUCUCUGUCAAAGUUACUUUCAUUUUCACAUUCUUCUGCACUUUGGUUCACUGAAGAAACCUCUUGCUGGCUGUCGACAACAUCUAUUCUGGUAUUCUGUUGAAAUAAUUUUCUUACAGAUUUUCUAGCUGCUCUCUUCACAGGUUGCACCACAGUUUGUCUCUUCCUCACUGGAGUUUUACCACCAUUUCUUUUGCUUUUCUUAGUUGUUUCGAAGGGAUUUUUUGUGCCAUCAUUAACUUCUACAUCAGUUGUGUCAUCUAAGUCAUUUUCUUGCCUACUUGUAUCACCAACAUAUGGUUCAAAACCAGUCAGAUCAACAAGAUUUUGUGAAGCUCCAGCACGAUUUCUAGUCAAAUCUGAAUUAAUUUCUGAAGAACCUUCAUUAUAUGAUAAAGCAAGUGGACCAUCAUUCGUCACUCUUUUGAAUAAGACCUUGCCAUCCGGUGAGACAAUUUUGACAGGGGUCUGACCUGCCUCUACAUAUAUAUGCAUAUAAGGAAGCCCUUCAUAACAAGUAGUCAACAAUUCUAUGUCCACGUCAUCAUUUAUUGGGAUAACACCUACAUCCACAUCAUGGUCCGGAAUGGAAUACCAAAAUUUUGCACGUGCCACUUUUUUUUCAAUUUUGGAGUACAGGUUCAAUAAUGAAAAUGCUGAUAAUUCAUCAGGGUCACAUUUGUAAAACACUCUCACUAAAUCACUUGUAUACCUAAUCUUGCGAUGAUGUAUAAACCGCCCACCAUAGUGCAUGUGGAUAUCCACUGUCCUAAAAGGAUUUGACAUGGUCCCCAACCUAAAUUAUUUAAUCAACACUUUCAAAAUUCAAAUAUAGAUUAAUAAACUAUAUCAAACUACAUCACACUUUCAGAUUAUAACAACAAUUAGUUAGACCCGACACAUAUUAUUUAAUCAACACUUUCAGAUUAUAUAGUGAAAUCUAAUUUAGUAGUCAAAUCCAGACCCGACACAUAUUAUUUUCUCCUGACAUCAACCACAUACUCCAAAAAAGACCCACAUACUCCAAAAAAGCUAAAAAAGUUAAGAACUUGACACUUUUAAACCCCAUUUUCUCUGAUAAACCGCAUAAUUAAGCCCUAAUAUAUACUGGAAAAGGAAUUCACAAAUUGGAAAAAGAAUACAAAUCCUAAACAUCAAAUGGACUGAAUAUUGAACAAUAAGUUCUGAUUCUUACUUAGAAAUGUUAAACAAGUUUCACGAUCAGAUACAACCACCAAUCUGACCUUCCCUUCUUCGUCACCGAAUGCAGCCACGCCAUUUUCAACUCAGAUUCACGAUAUUUCAGUAACAAUUUAGUAGUCAAAUCCCUUGUUUUAGGGUUUUUUUUCUUACACAGGAUGAACGAGAGAGAGUCAGUUCUUGAUUCUCUCUCCCUCUCAUUUAUAAAUAAGGGUAUUUUGGAUAUUCGACAUGCAGCUGGUAACUCAGCCGGUUCAAAAGUCAAUUUCCACUUUAGUUAUGAAGUUUAGAGUGUUUAUGUGGAGAUUUCUAAAUGAUAGGAGGGUAAAGUGUCUUUUCGCUAAAUCAUAAGGGGGUUCCCUGUAUUUUACCCAAAAGAAAAAGAAAGAAAAGAAAGAGAAAAAAAAAUGUGAUCCAAAUAUGAAAGUUCUCCUAGUUUCCUAUCCUUGUUUAUGCUAGCUCUAAAGGAUGGUUUUGAGUCAAGUUUUUGCAUUUAUUAAUUAUGCUAAUUACAUGGCAAGCAUGAAUAAACUAAGGAUGAUACAUGACAAUGGAUUUGAUUGAAUGGUGACAUGAUAAGCUUUUCUUUAUUAAAUAUUAUGAAUUAAUAGAAUUGGAAUUUAAAACUUGCAUUGUGAUCAUCUACUUUGUGCCUUAUACACAAGUUUGUUCACACUCCAUAUGUUGAGUCCUUUUUUCGUUUCCCUUCACACCCAGAGUGGUCAUUCACUAUCCCAAUUUUCUAAUGUUUACUUUGCUCUCCCACCCUUUUCUCCAAGCUCUAGCUAAUCCCUUCUAAAAGGUUCCCUUUUUGUCUAUUCCCUUUGCCCUCUCCUGCCCACCGUGGAGGCCUCUGAUAGACUAACAUUCUAUUGUGUAUAUGAAAAAUUCUUUAUUGUCAACGUGGAAAUUUAAUGAAAAGAAAGCUUAAGGAGCAAGGGGUAGAACAUAAUGCCAAAUUAGUAUUUGACUGAUGGGUAUUUGGCAUACGAUAAAGUUGAAGAUGAGUUAAAGUGGAUAAGAAAUUGGGAUCUCAAAGUUGUAAGGGGCUAACAGAGACAAGGGCAUAAUUGUCCCUUUGCAGAGAAGUGUGAGGAUUUUUUUGAAGUGUCAAAAUCAUCAACCUUGACUUUUGCCAAUUAUACGAAGAUACUUGAGUCUAAGACCAAGACUGAGCACCUAUAUCUUAGAGGUGGCAAUUCUCGAUACAACCAAUAAACACGACUCAAAUCUAACAUGAAAUUGGCAGGUAUGGAUUCACUCUUCAUGAGUUCAAUUCAAAAUCAGGUCAGACUAGAAAAACUUGUCAACCAAACAGGUCUAAAUCAAGUCAACCGCAGGUUGACCCAUUUAAUAUGUAAGUUUAUAAUUUAAUAAAUAAAUCGGGGCAUAAAGUAAAUUAAAAAAACUAACCAAGGUUAUCAAUUAGUAUAACAAGAACGCAAUCAUGAAUAUUGUGUGAGCAAAAGAUUUUAUUUGUGAAAGCGUCAUAGUUUUGUUUUUUUCAUGAUUUAUUUUAUACAAAAAGGAAAACCAAAAAAUUACUGUAAGAAAAAUAUACAAAAUAUAGGAUUGGGCUACAAUUUUCUAUAUUUUUAUGGAAACUCCAUUGUACACAAGUCAACUAUAUUAUCAAGGUGAAAAGCUCCCAAAAAAAGAAAAUGAAAGUUAAGAAAAAAGGUUAUUUAGAUCGAGUUCGGUUAAUCAAUAAAACUAGCUAGUCAUGUUUGGAUUAAAGAGGUUGGCCCAUUUAAUUUUUUGAGUCAUUUUUGGAUUGAUGUAUGGGCACUUGGAUCUCAGCCCAAUUUGCCAACUUGCGACAUCGAUCUAAUUGCCAUCUCGAGCAUAGCUGACCUCUCAAAUUUAUUACUUUUGCAAGGCUUGACAGAUAAGGUUUCUAAUUUUUGUUUCCAAGACAAGAAGUUCUUCUCUACAAGUUGUAUAGGUGAUCAAUGCACCAAAAAUUCAAUAUCUAGUGAGACUUCCAGCUUUGAAUUCCAUUUUCCCUAGGUAAUAGCAGCCUCAUAAAAUCUUAUUAUAGUUUGUUCUUGUUUGUUAGAUUUGUUUUCUUUAUUAAAUAUUCAGUCCCUUCCUUUGUCUUUUUUGUAGAAUUUGUUUCUUAUUCUAGUUUUUAAAUUUUUUUUUAACAAAAUCCCAAUUUCAUUAUAAUAUCUCCACUAUUGACAUAAUGUAUAUCAAAGCAUGGCAUAAAAACGUACAUAUCUAAAAGUUAAUCGAGACAACAAAUUUGGAAAAAAAAACUUUAAAAAUUAAUCGAGACAAAAAAUUUAGAACAAAAAAAAAUUCUUUCAUUUGGGUGAACCAUAGCAACCCAGUAGAUUUGUACAUGUCUUCUAACAAUCGGAUUUAAUAAAAAUUGUUUCAAGUUCCAAAAGAAAUUUAGAUCUGGCAUGAUAGCGUGAGAAGUUCAAGAUCUGAGAAACUAAAUAUAUGAAAUCUCUCAAAUUUCACUAAGAAUUAACAAAAAAUAAAGAAACUCUCAUAAAAAAUUGUAAGAGAGAAUAAAACUCUCACUACAAAAAUUUAGGAUAAAAAAAACUCUUACUAAGAUAUUUUAGAUAUUUUAGAAGAAUCUCUCACUAGAAAACUCUAUCAGAGAAUCUACUUAACUUAAAAAAAACCUAGAAAGAUGUCAUCUCUCAUAAGAGAGUUGGAGUAAAUUUUGACUAAAGGAUUUCUAGAGAGAAGAAGAGAAUGAGUCUAGAGAGAGAAGGAGGGGUCGUCCACUUUAGAAUAGUUUUCUUUUGUUUUAUUAAAAGUAUGAAAAUGUAAAAUCUUUUUGGAAACUCUUUUUCAUUUCUAAUUUUACUUUUGGUUCUUAGAAAUGGUUGGAUAGGCAAUAUGGUAGCUAAUGCAUUGGAAGAAUUGGCUAAUAGGAAGUUCUCUCCUAUCACAUAAAAUACGAUACAGAUUUCAUUACAACUUUAGAAUUUUGUACCCCUGAAAAUUCUAUAAUUAUUGUAAGAUGUAUUCAAAAAUUCUACUAGUAGACUUCAAGCCUUUUGUCAUGCUUCUAGCCCACACAUGCCAAGUACGAGACAUUUGUCGUAUCCUCAAGACUUGAGAACACAAGGCAACCAUAACAUUCUAAAAUUACUACUUUAAUUACUCAAUAAUAAGACUACUUAAAAGUGUGGUACAUAACUAGCAACAAGAAAAAACAUAACAUCCAUUUAGCGCCCGUACGCCCAAUCAACUAACAGAAAUGUAAAUUCAAAAGUAUUCUGGUACAUAACCAAUACUAUAUGACAUUUAAAUCCUAAUGCUAAAAUCCAUUUCUCAAACUGCAAGUAAGUAGUAGAAGUCAUCUUUUGGGUUCUCAAUAUAUACAACCUCAUAGUUUUUGAGAUUUACAAAAAUAGUAAAAGAGAAUGGAUUGAGUGACACGAUACUCAAUAGGUAACAUUUAAUUCUUUGUUGGAUCAUGUAGCUGAUAUAUACAUAUUUAUUAUACUGUUGUAACACUUGUCAACCAUAUCACAUUUAUAGUUUUUUAAAAACAAUUGCAAUAUCAAUUAAGAUACAUAAACAUAUAAUACCAAGUUGGGUGGCAUCGAAUCACAUAAUAUAACAUGAGCAUAUUCAUAGCAUAGCUUGAUAUUAAUAAAACAUUUUAAACAUAUCAUCUCAUUUCAUAACAUAGUUCAUAAACAAGUACAUGCAAUGUUCGACUUCUAAGUGCUCAACCUAGAAUUUAACCCCUUCAAGGAGGGCGGUAGAUCAAGCAUUUUCCUUGACCUUCACUUGAUCUACCCAUACAUGAGUCAAUUGGUUGGGUACAAUGGCUACCAUGACUAUUCAUAACCAAUCAAGUAUUUUCCCUAGUCUUCACUUGAUUGUUAUAUAUGAUGGGACUAUAGACCCUACCGUCUAUCUAAUAACCAUUUAAAACUCUCUGUAAUAUAAAAUCAUUUCACACAUCACAUGCACUUUUCUUUCAUUUCAUAAGAAUAUGCCACUCAUUUCAUAAAAUACAGUAUAUCAAAAUAUUUCAAAUAGGCAUACAUGAUCCAUCUUUCAUAUACUAAUAUAAAGCAUUUACUUGAGAAAAUUCAUAUAUAACAUUUUGAAAAUAUAAAGGGAUAAACACCACCUAUCUUGAACUGCUUGAGUGAGAUACUCCUAAUGCUCCUUACCCUUACUUUGCACCUACAGUAGAUACAUGUUCGUUUUAAUUAGUUUACAAUCCUAAUUCACAAGGUACAUUUCUUUGUUCUAAGUAUCCUACUAUUCAUGUCUAGACAAUCUAUAAGAAGUACUUAAAAGUUUCUAUUUAAAAGUUUCCUAAAAUAGAAACUUUCAAUUUUUGGAGAGUCUACUAAUGUAAGAAAUUUCUCUUUUUAGAAGGGUUCUUGACUUAAGAAAUUUUCCUAUCAUAGAAGAUGGAUAUUAAUUAAUUUCCAAGAUAUGAAAAUUUUAAAUAAUUUCUUAUAAAUGGCCCAAAAGAGUUUGGGCUCAAAUUUGCUUUGGGCUAGGCUCAAAAGCUAGGCCCAUCUAAUAGUUGGACUUUAAUUCAUUUGAAUUUGGGCCUAAUAGCAUUAAUAUUUUAUUUGGGCUUUCGAAAUGUGUCCUUGGCUUAAUUAAUAAUAGGUGAAUAUAAUCAAGUUUGACAUUAUAAAUAUAUUUUGAUGUCGAUCAAAGCAUUAUGGGCCUUGGUGAAAAAUGUUUUGAUUUUUAUAACAAAGAAGUUGUAUUGGGCCUUUAUAGUUCAAUUGCCACAAAAAAAUUCACAUUUUAAUUAGUAGAGUUGUUAAGUAAAUUCAUUUAAAUUUUUGUAUACUUUUUAGACCCAAAUCAACUAAAUUUGGCCCAAGCUAUAGAACCUUAUUAGUGAAAAGACAAAUUAAAAAUACCGGCCCACUUGGAUUCUUUAGAUAGCCAACCUAUCUACUAGCCCAACAUUUUAAUUAAACAGCCCGCUUAAAUAUUCAGCUAUUGUUUGGCCUAAAUUGAAUAAGUGCGUCUGACCUAACUCAUUGAAAUCGGUUGACCCAAAACCAACAACCCGACCAUUUUCCAAAUGGGUCCUUUCUUCCACAAUUCACAACCUUAAUUUCAUUCCUCUUCGAAACCCUAAACCAACCACUGCUGACAACAUCUUUCCCACCAGCACCAUCUCCACCAUUGCUGGUGGCUCUCAUCAAAUGGCAACACUAGAAGCGAUGGUCGCUGCUACUAGUUGCUGCAAAGACGCAGUCAUUAAACUACGGCUGCUAGUGGCCACUACCAUGGUAGCCACGAUUACCACCAGCUUUCGCCAGACAUGGCCGGCCAUUAUCCAGGAGGUGAGUUACUGGCCUUUUGUGGCAGAGGAGGUUCAUCCGACCUUCCCUCUUAUUCCCCGAUCUUCUGCUACUUUCUUUUCCUUAUUUCCUAUAUUUUUCCUGAUUUUCUUUUUCUUUUCUGAAAUUCACCCUACCAUUAAAGGAUGCUUCUACUCUGACCCUAACUUUUAAAGUUUUUCUGUAGAUUUGUUCCAAGUGUCAUAAUUUGCAACCGAAUGAAAUUUUCCUUCGUAAAAUUCUUCAAAGCAUGUUCAUCAAUAUCAAUCCAAACAUGACCAAAAUGAUACUUUAUAUAAUGAUCUUAUACUAACGAUUCACAAGUAACUAAUAAAUAAUAUAGGAAUAAAUUUUGAAGCAAGUAAAAUAAAAGAUAACAGUAGAUUAGGUACUUACUUGUUUAGGUUUCUGAAGAGGUGUAUUCUAAUUGGGAUUCCAAGUGAUCUUCAGAGUCUUUUCCCUAUUCACCGAAAUUCCUAUUGUCUGAUAUUGAGAGACAAUGAAAGAGAUGGAAAGUGUCAUAGUUCCAUUUGAUAAGUAGUAAUAUAGGUAUUUUCUUUACAAAGUUUAGUUUUCCUUCUAGUAACCACCUUUCCACUAUUAGACCAACUUCCCCAUUUUUCUAUCCACUAUUGCAAUAAUUUCUUUUAAGCUAAUAACUUUUUGUUAUUCCUGAAUUAUUGUUAUUGUUAUUGUUGUUGUUGUUGUUGUUAUAGAUUGGAGAAAAAAUAUUUUGGGUUCAACAUUCUACCCACUUUCAACAAAAUUUCAUCCUCUAAACUUACGUACCUUGUUAAAAAAGGUAAGGGUAUUUGCUCUACAUAUCCUCUUCCAACUCCUACGUUGCUUUUCAUGAGAUAUGAUUUGUCCAUUACGUCUUGACAUAAGGUAUUGUUCUUCUUUUUAGUACUUGGUUCUUGCAGUCCACGAUUCUCAAUAGAAUUUCUUCUAUUGGUAGAUUUUCCUUUACCUCAAUGGGUUGGUCUUCCAACACAUAACUUGGGUCAGGCCCGUAUUUUCGUAAUUGAGAAACAUGAAAGAUUUUAUGCACCCUUGAUAAUGAAGGUAGAAGGACCAACUGAUAAGUUAGAGUCACAACCCUUUCAAGUAUUUUGUAGGGUCCUAUGUAUCUAGGACUCAACUUGCUACUCCUUCCGAAUCUCAGCACCUUUUUCAUAGGAGAUAUCCUAAGAUAUACAUUUUCUCUUGGUUGAAAUUCCAGCGACCUUCUCUUCAAAUUUGCCCAACUCUUGUUUCGAUCCUACGUCGUUUUAAGUCUCUCAUGAAUAAUAUUCAUCUUCUCAAGAGUUCUUUCAACUAGAUUAGGAUCAGUGAUAAGUUUUUCACCCACUUUAUCCUAAUACAGUGAAGAUCUACACUUUCACUCAUACAAUGUCUUAAAUAAAGCCAUGCCAAUUCAGUUAUGAUAACUACUAUUGUAAGAGAACUCUAUCAACUUUACUAGUUUGUCCCAACUAUCCAAGAAAUCUAAAGCACAAGCUUGUUAACCAUACCUGCAAGUUAAUCUCAAAUCUGUUCCCAUACCUGCAAGUUAACCAAAACCUAGAGGUAAACCUUGAGCCUCGAUCCAUGACUAUACUUGAUGGACCCCUAUGAAGGCAAACAAUUUCUGAUACAUAUAUAUAUCCACCAAUCUUUCCAUAGCCAAUCCUUUUGGCAUUGGCAAUAAAUAGGUUGAUUUUGUCAAUCGAUCAACUAUAACCCAAAUAGCAUCAUUAUUAAAGUCCAUCGUCUCAUGUUCCUAUUUUCACUGUAGAAUCUCUAAAGGUUACUAUAAGCUGGUAGUUCUCCGAUGCUCGACUUUAACUUAUUGACACACUAAAUACUUAGCUACAUAUUUGGCUGUUUUUUGCUUCAUUCAUAAAAAAUUUUUCUUCAAAUCUUGGUACAUCUUAGUGUUAGGAUUGGCCCAGGAAUAAACAAACUAAAGUUAGAACAAAAUAGACAGUAUAACCGACCAUAUAACGAUUAGGCUGGAGACACCAGCCAUAUAAUAAUUAGGCGGUAAAACCGACCAUAUAAAAAAGGGUUGUGGCAAUCCAAUAAAGACAAACAAUAAAGCAAAUAAAAGACAUAGAAGAUUUACGUGGUUCGGUCAAAUUGACCUACGUCCACAGGCGAGGGAGGAGCAAUAUUUCUACUAUGAACAAGAAAUACAAAAACCGUAGGAAAGUGGUUCCUAGGCCAAUAAGGCAUUUACAAAAGAGUUUAGAAAAUAUUCCUAAACUCAAAACAAGAAAGCCUAAAAUAUUUGACUAAAUGGGCUAAAUGACUCAAGAAACUAAUAGCCCAUAUAACUCUCUUGAAUGGUGCAAUUGAAACUAACCCAAGGCCCCUAUAUUUAUAGCCUUCAGCAGCCGACUUCUCCUUGGCAUUGUUCGAUGUGGGACGAAGCAAAAUUCUUUGGUCAACAAUUGCGGCUUCAACAAAUCUCCACCUUGGUGAGUCCCUAACAUCGAUAAUAAUAAAACUGCUCCACCUUCUCCACAUAAGCCCCAAUGGGCCUAAAUCACAAACAACGAACACCAACCAAGUCCAAGCACUGCUUGAACUUGUAAACUGGAAGAGGCUUCGUAAACAUGUCAGUUGGAUUGUCCUUGGUAUUGAUUUUCUGAAUAAGGACCUUUCCUUCAGCAAUGAUAUCUCGAAUGAAGUGAUACUUCACAUAAUGUAUCAUUGUGAUAGUCAAAGUGCCAUACACUUGACUCAACAUCAAAAUAUAGUCAAGUGUAUUCACUGUGAUAGUCAAGUGUAUGGCACUUUUUAUCCAUCUCAGCAAAAUUUGCAUCUGUCACAUCCUCUGACUUUUUCUCGAUUCCGUAUAUUGCUAGAUCAACUCCGUCUUGAACCAAAAUUGCCUCCAUUUUGAGUUGCCACAUCCCGAAGUUGACAUUCCUGUCGAAUUUUUCGACAACUGUCUUUGUUAUCGUCAUUAUUGCCAUAAAAUUUAUAACUUGAAGCUUGUCUAAAAAAACUGAUCAAACAAAUAUGCAAGUCUCGUGAGCAGGCCCCACAGGGUGAGCGGCCCCACGGGGAUGAACGGACCCACUUAUCCUGUGGGGUCUGUUUAUCUGUGGUAGUCAAAGUGCCAUACAUUAUGUGAAGUAUCAUUUUAUUCGGGAUAUCAUUGUUGAAGGAAAGGUCCUUAUUCAGAAAAUCAAUACCAAGGACAAUCCAGCUGACAUGUUUACAAAGCCUCUUCCAGUUUACAAGUUCAAGCAGUGCUUGGACUUAGUUGGUGUUCAUUGUUUGUGAUUUAGGCCCAUUGGGGCUUAUGUGGAGAAGAUGGAGCAGUUUUAUUAUUAUUGAUGUUGGGGACUCAUCAAGGUGGAGAUUUGUUGAAGCCGCAAUUGUUGACCAAAGAAUUUUGCUUCGUCCCACAUCGAACAAUGCCAAGGAAAAGUCGGCUGCUGAAGGCUAUAAAUAUAGGAGUCUUGGGUUAGUUUCAAUUGCGCCAUUCAAGAGAGUUAUAUGGGCUAUUAGCUUCUUGAGUUAUUUAGCCCAUUUAGUCAAAUAUUUUAGGCUCUCUUGUUUUGAGUUUAGGAAUAUUUUCUAAACUCUUUUGUAAGUGCCUUAUUGGCCUAGGAACCGCUUUCCUACGGCUUUUGUAUUUCUUUUUCAUAGUAGAAAUAUUGUUCCUCCCUCGCUCGUAGACGUAGGUCAAUUUGACCGAAUCACGUAAAUCUUCUGUGUCUUUUAUUUGCUUUAUUAUUGGGUUGUCACAACCCUUUUUUAUAUGGUCGGUUUUACCGCCUAAUUAUUAUAUGGCUGGUGUCUACCGCCUAAUCAUUAUAUGGUCGGUUAUACCGCCUAUUUUGUUCUAAGUUUAGUUUGUUUAUUCCUGAACCAAUCCUAACACUUAGUUCUACUGAUAUAAAUUAAAAACCUUGAGUUGUCUACUUCCUUUAAUACUUGUUGCUUCAACUCUUCGUCUCUUGGCAUACACAAUCUACCUCUCGUCCUCAAACUACCAUCAUUUUUCAGUUCAAAUCCAUCAAAGGGUUCCACUUUAACCUUCUCCUUGAUCUUGACAAUCUUGGUAUCUGAGUUCUGUCCCUCUCUAAUUUAUCUAUCAAAGUGGGUGCAAGUACUAGGGCAGCUAGCACCUCAGCAGUAGAGCUCUCCAUUUUUCUUACUCAAAAUCCUCCAUCUAUUCUUCCAUUAAGGGUUCCCUUAUGGUUUUUGACUUCCUACUCGGAGCAUUAGCUACCUUAUUUGCCUUGUUUGGGUGGUAACUAAUCUUCAAAUCAUAAUCCUUAAUUACCUCUAGCCACCUCUUUUAUUUCAUAUUCAACUCCUUUUAUGUGAAAAGAUACUUAAGGCUCUUAUGAUCCCUAAAAACCUUGUAUUGCACCCUAUAUAGGUAAUGCCUCCAUAUUAUUAGAGUAAAAACUAUAAGGAAACACUCAGUGGAAGAACAUGUGGAGGAUUUUGAGUUAGAAAUGGUGAACUCUAUUGUGACUUAUCUACUUAGUCUAGUGUUGGCUGUAUUCAAGGAAAUUCUUUACAUAAAAAUAUCUUAUGUAUUGAUUGGUUACUAUGGAACAACAAUUCUAUGGCAUGUAAACCAUUUUGGUUAAAGUUGAAGUUGGCUGUAAGUGGGAUAUCUGAUGUUCAAAGGCUGAAUUCUGUUUGGGUUUUAAAGUUGAUUUGUGAAUCAUAAAAUGGACCCUUCAUCUAUGAGUAAUUUGUACUAAACUCGGACCGAUAUUGCUUUGUCUAAAGUGCUAUUUAAAUUGGACUUCAAAAUGGUUCAAUUUAAUUAGUCAAUGUGUUUUACUAAUAAGAUCUCAAAUGUAGGCGAAUGAACAAUUGUGUUGAAAAAGCCCCUAUUUAACCUUACUAAGCUGGUACCUUUAGAAAUGCUUAUGCAAUUACUAAAUUGUGAUUGAUCAAGUUAAUACGAGGACAACCUUUGUAAUUGUAUAACCAAAGUCCAGAUUUUAUGACGACAUUCAUUAUCAAUAAAAGGACUAUCUUUACAAAGCACAAGAGUUAAGAAAUGAUCCCUAAAGUUCUAAAAUAAUCAUGAUAAAGCAAUUAAAGUAUUUUAAAAUUUCUUUAUGGCCCAAAAGGUUUAACAAUUGACCGGUCUUGUAUGAACUAGUUCUAUUGGUUAAAUUGAGUCCAUCGUGUUUAGAAUUAACCCAAUGAAAUAUAAUAAUGUAUUGAAAUGCCCAAAUCAAUUAGAGCAAGUCAUUUUCAUAAAUUAGACUAUUUUGAAAGCCCAACUCUGCUGUAAUGACCCAAACUUAAUUAGACUCCUUAAAGAAUUUUUUAUUUUAAAUGUCCAACAUUAUCAUAAACAUCAAGUUUUCAUGUAAAUUAUGGUGGCAGUUUCGUCAAAGGAAUUCACUCUGGGCUUCUUUUAUGUAUGAUCACUAUUUGAAGAAUUGUCAUCCGAAUACAUUUGUUGUUUGUAAUAAUGUGUCGUCUUUAUGCCAUCGUGUUUUUUUAGUUUGGGCAGAGAUGCAGUUUGCGAUCAAAUAGGAUGUUUGUUUGGGGGAUUGUUCUUUUUGGUGGGAUAAUUGGUCGAGUUUGGGUCCGUUGGCUUGGUUGGUUGAUCACCAUGAGGAGGAUUUUCAGGUUCAUAAUGUUUUUAGUACUGAAAUCAUUGAUUUGGAUGUUUUAUCAAUAUUGCUUCCAAAGGACAUUAUUGUGCAUUUGUGAUCUGGUUUUUUCUCUUCUGGGUGGUCCAGAUGUAAUGACUUGGACUUCAUCAAGUUCGGGUAAUUUUACCAUGAGCACAGUAUAUCAUUUGGUAAGGAUUUCCACCGUAUGGUCGUAUGAUUUUUCACAUAUUUAGAGUGCCACAUUCCCGUUAAGUUUUAUUUCUUUAUGUGGUGUUUUCUUUAGUUUAAGCUACCUUGGGCAAUAUUCUUACUCGGUUUCAUGUUUUUGGACCAUCUAAGUGUCUUUAUUGUUAUGAUCCGAUCGUCGAGACGUUGGAUCAUGUGUUUGUUUCGUGAUGUUUGGCAAUCCAGGUAUGGGAAUAUGUUGCAAAGGCUUUAGGUAUUCAUAUGGCUUUUAUUUUGGUUAGUGAAUUAUGUCAGGCUUGGUGGUUUAUGAAGGUGGAGGGGGCUGCUAUUAGAUGGUUGAUGCAGGUUACACCUCUACUUAUUUUUUGGCAUCUAUGGAAAGCACGGAAUAAGGCCAAGUUCGAGGGAAUUUGUAUAGAUUCUUCUUGGGUUAGUGGAGGUAUGGUUUAUGAGGCGCGACUGCUUUGUUCUGUUUUGUUUCCAGGCAAGUUUUUCCUUUUGUCUUGGAUGGAUAUAGUUAGUCAGCUUUCUAAUUCUCCAGUUAAUUUGGUAGCGCGGCUGGUGAGAUGGAAUUUUCCGGAUGAAGAUUGGAUUAAAUUAAAUUUUGAUGGUUCCUCAGAUUUGGUAGCUGGGAUUAGUGGUGGAGGAGGUGUGGCACGGGAUUGUACUGGUGGUUUGUUGUUUGCUUUUUCAGAUUCUUUUGGUAAUUUUGAUGCUUUGCGUGCCUGCUUUGGCUUUGUUGCGAGGGUAACAACUUUAAAAGAAAAGGCUGGUUUUGAAAUUUUGUGAGUGGAAAUGGAUUCUAUGAUCAUGGUAAAUAUAUUAGCUAAAGGCAUGGCUGUACCGGCUAGAUUACGUCCGAUUUAUAGAGAGAUUUGUAAGGCUUUACCUACUUCUGCUCAAUUUACACAUUGCUUUCAUUAUUGCGGAUUCGCUGGCUGGAUUUGGAGCUCGGACUUCAGCUUUUUAUUUUUUUUCUCUUCUUUAGCUGCCUGCCUGACAGUUACUAAGGGCUUGUUUAGCAUGGAGAUAAAGGCUCUCAUCCCUCUCUUGCGUUGUAUUAUUUCUACAAUAUUUAAUAAAAUGGAUAGCCAAAUCUACCCACCAGAGAUGAUUGGCGGUUUAGGAAAAAAAAUUAAUUCAAAAACUCUUUUUAAGUGCCCAAGUAAAUUGUGAACCCAAAUACAAAUUUAAACAAGACUUUUUCAUGUAUUUCUACAAUAUUUAAUAAAAUGGAUAGCCAAAUCCACCCACUAGAGAUGAUUGGAUUUAACUCUAAGGUCAAGUCUAAACUCAAAUUCGGUCCGAGCUAAUGUAGGGCCGUUAUAUACUAGAAUAGAAUGUUUCCUUAUGAAUAUAUGAAUUAAGGCAAUUUCUAAAAUAAAAAAAAGGACAAGUUUUCAAAUCAGGACCCUUUUAAAAAAACUUUCUAAAUUAGAAUACUUUUGGGGAAAAAGGUAUAACUCUUCAAAUUGGAAAACCUUCCAAAGAGGGAAACUUUCUAAAUUAGAAAACUUUCUGAAAAAGGAAACAUUCCAUUUUAGAAAACUUGUCACUUUCUUUUUAUAAAGGUUCAAACAUGUUUUCUAAGGUUAUCCAAGAUAGAAAUGAGCAUUUUAAGAAUAGAGCAUAUGGACUAAUUAAGGUACAUAUGACACUAGUUAUAUGUUAGAAACGAGUUCAAGGGCACGUUAAAGCUCUUUAUUUUAUAAAAUGAAAUGAUAUGAUUGAUAUGUUUUAUGAUUUUCAAGAAUUUUCUAUAAAUGUGUUCAUAUCAUGUUAUGUGUUUCCGUGCCACGUUUGGCAGGGUCCACCUCUAGACCCUAUGGAAUUAAGUGUUACGAUGGCCGAAAUCUACUUAAGUGUAUACAAAUCACUCUCAACGAAAUAUAUAUAUAUAUAUGUAUAUAUGUAAUAGAUGAAAAAUAUGCCUACUGUCUUUAUUUAAUGUAUGCAUGUGGUAUAGUGUGACCAAAUUUGCAAAUGUAUACCAUACGUAUAUAGUUAUAUGAUUCGAUAGGGGAGUGAGUUUUAUUUACUGGGCGGUCAUCGUUCAAUCCUCAUUCAUUAUUUUCUUCCAGAUCAAGAAAGCAAGAUUAUCUACGUUUAGAAGAUAAGAGCAAAGUAAAAAGAUAAGACAUUUUCAUUCUGGAAGUAUAGUGUAAGGUGUUGAGUAGAUGUAUGAAUUCGAAUAUAGCAUGUAUUUCUUUAGUAUUUUCAAGUUUUAAGUUUUAUUAAAUUUUUAUAAGUUAUGAGCAUGAUAUCUUGUAUUUGUGAGAGUAAGGUCUCAUCGAUACUGUGUGCAACAUCACAAAUCCGAUCCAGAAACCCAAAUUUGAUGCGUGACACCUUUGCCCUCCAAGUAUUGGGGGAAAAAGAAAGAGACUUAUGCGAUCACAUCCUAGUAGCAAAAAAGUCCGUCUGGGCAUGACAUAUUAGGGGUGAGCAAAUUCGGUACGUACCGAAUUCAAAUUCAAUUUGGUAAUUUGAAAUUGGGUAUUUGGUAAUUUGGUACAAAAGCAGUAUUCACCGAAUUCACCAAAUUCUAAUAUGGUAUGAAAUAAGUAAUGAAUUUAUGAAUUUGGUAAUAAUUGAUUUCGAAUUUAAAUUCGAUAAAAUGAAAUAGGAUACCGUAUUACCGCAUUCGAAUGCCAAAUUAGUUUAUAAAAUUAUAUAAUAUAUAGAUAAAUGUUAUUUAGUAUUAGUAUAUACUACUUAUAUAUUAUUAUAUUAUAUAAGUAAAUGCUAUUAAUAACAAUUAGUAUAUGGUAUUAUCAUGUAUUUAUGAUAACAAUAAUAUAUAAUGAUGUACAAUAUACUAUUUUAGUAUUUGUUAAUUGUUAUAUGACUAUAAUAAUACAAAUAUACAACAAUACAUAACAUAACUAUAAUACUUAUUAUUUUAUACAUGACUAGAAUUAGAUAAUAAUUAAUAAGUAGAGGUAUAAUACUAAAUAUUAAACAAUAAACAUAAUUAGUAAUUAGAAUUUAGAUAUUGGUAAUUUGGUAUAUCACUCAUGUAUUGUAUAUUGGCAUUCCAGAUUUCUAUUUGAUGAAUUUUGGCAUUGGUAAUGUGUGUGUAAUAAUUUGGAUGUUGAUUUCCUUUGAAUUGGUGUUGUAGCCUGUAAGUUUGUAAUUAGAUUGAUUACAAUAGCAGCGUAGCUAUUAAACUUGAUAACAAGGUUAAUUAGGCCGGAAAUUGCAAUUAAAGGAUUCAGUAGAAUUUUUAUAUAUUUUUUAAUGAAUUCAGUUAUUACGGUUUCGAAUUCAAAUUCGGAAUUGAAAUGAAUUCGGGUAUCUCCAAUGCGAAUUUGAAAGCGGUUUAAAUUUCUGUAAGUUCAAUAACCAAAUUUACCAAAUUCAUGUACCCGAAUUACCGAAUAUGCACUGUUUGCUCAUCCCUACGACAUAUCCAAUUCUCAUCACACAAUAUCAAUCAGUGAUCAACUUGAGGACCUCCCUUCAUUUGAUUGUCUAGAGACUUGUGAGAAACCAAUCUACCAUCGAGAAAAUUGGGGAUCCAUUUGUCUUCCUAGAUACAAAAUGAUCUUGCGCUCUCGCUCUCAAUUUUACCCUAGAUAUUUUGAAUACCAUGAAGUGAUAAGUUUGAACUGUUUCAAAAUCCAAAAGCUUUAGCCUUUUUUUACCCUUCCUUUAGGGGAGACUAGGAAGCCAGCUACACACUCCUUUAGUUAGGUUUCAUUUGGUUCUUCCUGCUACUCCUUUCCAUUUCUAUUAAUUGUACUGUUGUUUUUUGUCCCAUUUACUGCAUCAUUUUUUAUGUUCCAUAAAGUUUUUCAAAUUUAUUUGACCAUGAUAAUGUUUUUCAAUUGUAAAAAUUAAGCUAAGUUCCAGUAAUUUUUCAAUUACUCUUUUUGUCGUUCAAAACUGUACAAAAGAAGUUUUAAUCAGAAUAUAUUUCUUUUUUUUUUUGGCCUUUCGGUUACUUUUUCAAACUUUGAAAACUUUUUUGGUACUAAUCAGCAUUGUUCAAAGUUGAUGGGGUUAUUAUCAGACGCAGCAAAAGUUCAAGGGCCCAAAUAACAUUUGAACCUUCCAUCUUAUAAGUCACCCGUUCCCUUUUUACUCCAUUAACUGAUACGAAAAUCCUUUUACAACCACAGGCGUCUCUGAUAUGGGACUCUCAGCUUCUAAACGAGUCAACCAAACCCUCACAAACUCAUCCGAUUUCAACUCAGCUUGCGACUCAGUCUACGAGUCCUCACUCGCUCUUGCCCAACACGCCUUUCCAGGAAUCAGACCUUACCAACUCUUCUCUUCGAUCGAACGCCUUCAUCAAUCUCUCUCCAUUCCUCUGAUUACCAAAUGGGUCCCGUCUCCUCCAACCAGGGAGCAAGUUGACCGGGCUUUUAAGGUCGUUAUUAACCGUCGCAGCCGGCCUGGCCUGAGUCAAGAAGAAGAAAACGAAGACGACGUGAUCGGAAAGGAGGAAUUUAAAGAGGUCGCCCUCGAGGUUUUCACUGACGGCGUCGUUUCCAACGCGCGUAAAGAGGUAUUGAAGAGGGUUCCUGUUGGGGUUGCGGGAAUCGCUGGAGUGGGGAUGUUGGUUCGGCCUGGGAAAGAAGUUGUUGGCACGGUGAUGGGUGUGUACGCGCUUGGUGUUGCUACUGCUGUUUAUCUUAGUUUGGCUGGCUGAUUGCCGAUUACCUCGAUGUAUUGAUUUUUUUUUAUUUAUUUUUUUACCCUCCCAACCCGUGAGUUAGAAUCACUGAGUUUGUUUGGAUAUAGAGAAUUUGGUUUGCUUAAUUUAUUCUCACAAAUCCCAAUCACCUUUUUAUUUUCCCAAUAACCUUUUUAUCUCACAUACAUCACAUCACAAAAAGUGCUACAGUAAAUAUCUCAAAUAAAUCAUCUAAAUAAACUCUUAUCCAAACAAACUCACUAUGUAAUGUAUUAUUAGUUGUGUAUAUAUUUGAACAGUUUUUUUUUUUUUUUUCUAAUUGUGAGUUUUGUGUCUCAAAAUCUAUUUUUCUUUUUUUUUUUCUUUUACAAAUUUUGUUGUGGUUCAUGUAUGUUCUUCUUUUUCUUGCUGUAUGAAAUAAUGAAUACAACAUCGAAAAUUAUAAUUACAAAAGGGAAAAUGAAAUAGUUAAUUCAUUCAAUCCCUCUUGUGAAUCAGUAGAAAAAUCAAUUGUGAGUAUCUCUAGAAAAAUUUCAGCUUCCAGCGUUUUCGAGAGUCGAGAAAGGCAGAAAAGGUAAGGUAAGAAUUAAAGCUGGAAGGUCUUAAAAUGGAUUGGCGCAAAGGUAGAUAGAAAGUAAAUUCCUUGGCCAAAGGGGAAAAUGAUGUUCUUCAUUUCUCUGGCAAUUCGAUGCCCAAACUAAAUGGAGAAGAUACCAGUGUGACGUAUGCCUUGUUUGGCAAGUAAGUUUUUUGGUCCAGUUUGAAAUGUGAGUUUUUUGGGUGUUUAUAUAAAACUUUACUGUAAAUUACGGUAGAAGUUGUAAAAAAAUUUUUGUAAGAUGAAAUUUUUUUUUUCUUUUCCUUUUUCUUUCUUUCUUUUUCUUUGUUCUUUUUCUUUCUUUCUUUCUUUCUUUUGUCUUUUCUUUCCUCCCUUUCCCCUUCUUCUCCCUUCCCCUUCCUCCUCUCCUAUUCCCUCUCCCGCAACUGCCUCUGCAAACACAUACAAACUUUUUUUUUUUUUGCUUUUCUCCUUUCCCCCUUCCUCUCCCUUUCCUGUCACCCCUUUCCUCCUGUGAGAACCCUAAAAAUUUUCACAUUUUCUUAGCCUUUUUGUUUAUUCUCACUUCCAGUGUUUUAUUAAAAUGACACUUUGCUCGCCAUGUUUCUAAGGGGAAUUUUCAUUAUAAAUGUAAGUAUGUGGCUGUGUGUAUUACGUGUAUUUGUGUGAAAUUAUGUAAGUAUAUCCUUGUUGGACAUACGGAUGAACGCGACGUGUGAGUUUGGAAAAGAAAAUUUUUGCUGAAAGUGCUUGGUACCAAAUCCGGCCAGUUCUUGGUCGGAUUGUUGGCUGGAUUGCUUGAGGGAUUUGAAAAAAAAAAUUGGAUCCGCCACUGCCUUGAAUCCGGCCGGAUUGUGACAUGGUAGGUCCGGCAGCCAAGUUUGACCGGUUGUUUCCUUCCUUUUUAUUCCACUUUUUGACCAAAAUAUCUUCAUUUCCUCUUCUUGUUCAACCGUGCACCUUGAGAGAAAAGCAAGAAAAGCUCUUCAUUUUCCAACUUCAAUUUUUACUUGAAUCUUGCGAUUUCACCGAUGGUUUUGGACAAUACUUCAUACAAGUGUGUACUAAGGAGGGUUAAAGCUUUUGAUGGAUUGAUUUUGGAAGAGAAGCUUUAAGUUGAUAGCUUUCUUGAAUUUGAGGUAAGUUGGAUAAACAAGUUCCCUUUUGUUCUAAUAUUGGUUAAUUAAUGGUUGUGGUGGUUAAGUAUGUUAUAUUGUGGAGUAUUUCAUGGGUUGAAGGAAUUUAUGGUGAAUUUUUGAUUUAUUAGGGGAUUUUCUGAUUUUAUAUUAUAAUCAUGGAUUGGUCUUGAAUUGAUGGAUUGUUAUGGUGUUAAACGGACUCUUUAUAAGUUAAUUGCGGUUGAUUGCGAAAAAUUUACGCUUGAGGGGAUGAAUUCCGAUUUCUAGGGUUUAAUUUGGGGGUUUUUCUAAUGGUUGGCUUUUGAGUCUCUAAAUGGCUUGGAUUGAGGGGUUUUGUGCCCUAAUUAGGCAUGUUUUAUUAUCUAUGGACCAUAUGUGUGAUUGUAACUAAUGGUAUGAGAAUGGGCUUUUUAUUUGUAGAGUGAAAGUGAAGUAAAUUAGGGGAAAUGCUGUCCGUUUCUUUUCUUGUUUUGUAAAUGAGUUAAAGUGGUUUUGCAAAUGUGUUUUGUGUCGAGUUGGAUGUAUUUCCUUGAAAAUUGCAUCGGUUCUUUCAAAAGGUGGUCGAGAGCUAAGUUUCUAUUUGAACUUGUAUAUUUUCGUUUGGCAAAUAAUGUGACCGUUUUACCAUUUUAAAACAUGAUACCUUUUCCGUUUGAACCUUCAAAUGUUUAUUUACUACGUCAUACCAAAAUAUAGAGGUAUGACUUAGGGUUUUCUCGGCCACGAAAGAACAACUUUUAAGUGAAGUUUUAAGUGUAAAAGUAAGGUUUGAAGUGUCCUCCUCUUCCAUAUGAUCUUCAUUAAGGCCUUUGCUAUAGAACCUCUACUUGAAUAUAUAUUGACUUUUAGCCACACAAACGAUUUAGAAAGAAUAUUUCCUUAACCUAUCUAUUUGGAUUUUGAUUUGUCCUCGAUCAAAUGUUUUCCGUUGGAAUUUUAUAACCCUUUUGAGUUUGGUUUCGCGGUUGGUUUAUGAAACCCUAGUUACUCCCGUUCACGGAUCCAAAUGUCCUCUUUUCACUUUAAAUCCAUCUUUAUACGUUUUACUCGUAAUUAGUCAGAUUUUCUUCAAUUUAACCUAAUUGUUGUGCUAGAUGAACUAUAAUAUUUUCUCUUGUUUAAUCUUAGGUUUUAUCGGUGACUGAGGGUAAUAUCCGGCAGGAUAUUUUGGACAUUAUUUUUGCAUAAAUAGGUGAGUGUUCCUUGUUUGUUAUAUUUUUCUUGACUUCAUGACUUGUGUUAUUGUUUGAUAACGUGUUAAGCGCUUUUAAUGAUUUUGGUUUUUUUUAUUUAGUAUUAGUUGCAUUUCAGAUUUAUAUGAAUUAGAUGUUUUUGGGUGUAUCUUUGUGAGUACAUUACUAUAUCAUUACAUACAGAAAACUUGUUUUUAUCAAUUUUCCUUUAGAGUACUUGUAGGAUUUCGAUGUACACUUGCAUAUGUUGACAUUCUUUAAGAAUGUGACUAAACAAUUCACUUGUAUUAUCAUUAUUUUAUAACAAAUACAAGAAGUGAAAACAUUAUCAUAUAGAAUUCUUAGCAGCUAAGGUAGAGACCUCAAAAUGUUAGAGAUCCUGAAUUUAAAUCCUUCUUCUUUUUAUUCUUGCUUUGUAAAUCUCACAUCUCCUCUAUUUAAAAAGAAAUUAUUAUAUAGAAUCAUUUAACUGAAUUCUCUUAGGUUGCUUUGGAUUGAGUGAUUUGACAAAAAAUUUAAAAUUCUCUCAAUUUUCUUUAGUUAUUUAGAUUAUUUAAGACGAAUUUGGGUUUGCAAAUUACCAAGUAUUCUAAUUUUUAGAAUGUAUUUAGAUAAUUAGUGAAUUACAAAUCCAAAUGUCUUUUAAGCAAUCAAAACAACUAGAGCGAUUUUAAUGAAUUUUAAAUAUUUCAUCAAAUUUCUCACUUCAAAUGAAGUUAUAUAUUUAACUAAGUAUGUGCUACGGAGAUGAAAAGGGCUGGAUAGAUGUGUACAUCAAGGCCCAUAUUUUCGGACCAAGUUCACUUCAACCUUCCAAAUCUUCUAUCACUUUGGGAGAAAUUCCCAUGGGAAAUCUUGGAACACAAUUCUUCCAAGGGAAAUUUUCAGGAACCUCCCUUAAGGUUUUUGACAAUCUCACCUAAUUCUUCUCUAUUUUCAUAAAUUACAUAUACCUUCCUUAGCAUACUAAGCUACUGAAAAUGACCUUCACAUCAUUGCCAUUUUUUAAUGGAAAACAAAAAAUUGUAAUCUUAAAAGAGAUAAAAGAAAAAAGGAAAAAAAUUAGAAAAGCUUAUUGGAAUAAUUUUUUUUUCAGUAUUGGAACAAGUUUGGGAUAUUACAAAAAAUUGAUAAAUCUUUUCAAUUGAUAAUUGUUUUGAGAUAUUAUAAAAAAAUAGUUUUCUUGAAUUGUUUAGAUAAUUAUCUUUCUUUAUUGGCUUUGAUACCAGACAGGACGAGGUGUUAGCCCCUUAAACCAGGAAAGUAAAUGUCGCGCCCCACUUUUCGAUUCGAGUGAUGUGUGUGUGAAGUGUGGUGUGAACGUGUGCAAAAUGAAAAGUAAAAAGGCCAUGGGACUUUGGAAAGCGACGAUUUGGCCAAAUGAAAUUUUAAAAAGGGUUUUUAGAUAUGAAAACGGAGUCGCCACUUGGUAUAGAUUUGGGGUGUACCAAGUCACCCAAAAAAGUGUUUUUUAAAGACAAAAUAGUAAAACCCUUUUUAAAACGACUCCUAGUCCACGUAAGCCAAAGAAAAAGGUUCGGGGGUCACGUUUGACAAAGGGGAAGGCAAGGAUAGAAUCCAAGGCACCCCUUUGACCUAGCCAAGGCUAGUUGCGCGACUCAAACCAAUUUUUCCUAAUUUUUCUACCCAAGGUAUGUAUCGCGUAUUGGAUAUGUCUAUAUGAAUGCAAAAACCUAGACCUAGGGGGAUUGGGGGAAAUUUCUCUUCAAAGGUUGAGUGGUGCCAAUCACAUUAAUUGUGAAGCCCAUUAAUGAUCCUUUUGGAGAGGUCACACCUAAACCUAAAUGACGUGAAAAAUGAGUGGAAUGCAUGCCAUGUGAAAGUGUGAGUUUGUGUGAAGUGAGAAAAAUGAUAAAAGUAAUAAGAUAAGAGUGAAGGUGUGCAAAUGUAGAUGAAAGUACUCGUGUGCGAGUGAAGAUAAAAUGUUCGUGUGCAAGUGAAGAUAAAAGGGUUCGUGUGCAAGUGGAGAUAAAAAAGUGUUCGUGUGCAAGUGAAAGUGAUAAAAAGGUGCAUGUGUGCAAAUGAGACAAAAGUGAAAGUGUAAUGAUAGAGUGGAUUGAGAAUGCAUGAGCCUAGGGAAUUCAUGCAUAUUGGGUACGGGGAGACCUAAAUCGUGACUUGAUUUUCCCUUUGAUUAGAAGGCGAAACUAGCGUGCUAAGGCUAUCGAGUAGCCACACUCGCUCGUUUCCCUUAUCGGAAGGGGACACUCAAGCAAAUGGACCCUACAACUAUCAUGAUAUGCAAAAAUCCUAAAAUGAAGGGAAAGGGGGUUCGAGGAGCAUGCCAAGUGAUGAAACUAAGAAAAAUGCAUGAUAUGUGGUGAACAAGCAAAUGAUAUGCUAAUGAGGGGAAAUCCCUAAGGGUCUAGUAUUGGACUAGCCCAUUCUAUGAAUUCCGACUAGCGUUGGACUAGCGGAAACGUACAUUCAUCCAUUCCAUUCAUUCAUGGCUAUGAAAGCAAGUAGACAUGCCAAAAUACUCGUAAACACAUAGCACAUAGCACUUAGCAUGCUCGACUAGAUGCAAGAGCCUAUCAAAGCAAUUAAACAUGUAGCAACAAAAGCAAGCAACCAAGGGGAAGGGGAAAUGGACAGAUGCUCUCCGAGCCCUAUCUAUUACAAGCCAAGAGGUGUACACAUACCCCAUAAAAGCAUAAAGGGGAAAGGGAAAUGGACCAGAUGCUCUUCGAGCCCUAUCUAUUACAAGCCAAGAGGUGUACACAUACCCCAUAAAACUUAAAUAAAAGUAGAAAGCAAGUAAAUGCAUGCAAGGAGGUAAGGAAAGCGAAGUAGACAUGCAUAUUCACAUAACACGUAGGAGCACAUAAGGUCAAAUGUAGUGCAAAUGAGGGAUAGAGUGUACCUCCCUUGAAUUGACGCCCCAAUGAAGUGAAAUUACUUAUUUACCCUCCAAAAAUAAUAAAUGAGUCAAGGUACCAAUUUAUUUAUCAAAUAAUCAUAAAAAAUAAAAUGGCAAACUUGAAAUUGAAUCAAUUGAAUCAUGUAAGCAAACAACAUUCAAGAAGUCAAAAGAAGAAAGGAUUUGAUUGCAAAAAUAAACAAAGUUUUGGGGUCAAAAUUAAAGAAAAAUAAAGUUCAGGGACCUAUUUGCAAUUGAAGUAAGGACCGAAUUGAGAGAAGUUGAAAAUAUCCAGGGCCACAGUACAGUCAAGGAAAAAUUCAGGGACUGAUUUGCAAGAUCGUUUUCUGGUUUCUUAAUGGACCAAACCAUUGGGCCUUUGUAUUUAUUUCGUGGGCCAAGACUUAUCAAAUCCAAUAGAAAAUCCAAGGCAAAUGGAAUGGGCUAGCCCACUAUUCUGACCCCAAAAAUAAACCAACAAACUGGUGGGCUUUAAUGCUCCAGCCCAGGACGAACCCAAAUGAAAGAAAACCAAACCCAGUUCCAAGUAGCCCAAACAAAUAGCCGAACCCAAUUCCUCUUUUGUUUUACCAAAAACCCAACAAAGCUAAUAGGUCUAAUUUCAUUCCAAAAUCCAGGAUUAAUUAUUUUAAAAGUAUACCUAAAACAACAAAAAAAUAAUAAUAAUAAUUAAGCUCGAAAGGGGGUAAAAAUGAUUAUUUUGCAGAAGUUUUCGGGCCUUAGUGAAAUUACCCAAAGAUUUGGGGGUCAAACAUGAUUUGUUAAACAUUUUCAUGCAAGUUCACGAUGCAUCUUCUUCUUCUUUGUUGGGUUUCUUUCUGCUGUAAUUUCUACUGCAACUUAGCAGCCAUCUCCUCAAGAUUUUAAGCUCAAGUGCACGAUGCACAUAUACCCAGAUCAUCGACAAAGCCAACCCAACAUUAUGCAAUGAAUUCUGACAAGACAGAUUGCACAACAAAUGGACAGAUUACAGGCUUUGGAAGAAAAGAAAAACCGCAUGAACACUAGAAGAAGCAAGACCCAGGAACAAGAAAGCAAAUAAACGCGAGAUGAGUUAGGACAUCAUUUUGGGAUGGUACCUGAUGAAGACUUUUGUUGAAUCGAAAUCCAAAACAGGAAACGCGCGACGGAGCCGUUUUGGAGCUGAUUCGUUGCAGCUUUUGACAUGCAAUAGGAAGAUGGGAUCAACGACUUCAGGUCCAAAUCGAACGGAAAUCUCUCUCCGGAUGUCACAGAGUAUGUAGAAGUUAACGGCUUGGUGAAUGGUGCCCAAUCGAUGGAGAAAAUCUUCACUCAAGAAGGCUGGAUUAUCAGCCUUUUCCAAGGAAAAAACGCAGCCUGCAGUCUUCUUUCCGCUCUCGUUUCUUGCCGUUCUUCUUUUCCUCUGUUUUUCCUCAAGCUCUCAGACCUCCCUUUUCGUAGCCGAAGCCCCUCUGUCCGCCACCAGCUCUUCUUGUUUUCUCAGUUUCCUCUUGCUCAGCUGAACUCAGUUCUCUCUCUCGGUCUUGUUUUUGUCCAGCCCUCCUAGACCCUCAGCCGUCAUUCCCCUCUGUUUUUCCUUCUCUUCUCUCAAACCCCAGCUCUCUCUUUCUCCUUUCUGUUUUUGUUUUUCUUCAUCCGAGACCCCCCUCCCCGAUGAAGCUCUCUCUUUUGCGGCUGCCAUUCCUCUUGCUAUUUAUAUGGGAGCCUCUACCCUAAAACCUCAGCAAUCUCCUUCUAUAUUUGCAGCCAAAGGGCUCCUGAGCCCUUACUUGCAAGCUGCGAAAAGAAAAAAAAAAAAAACGCAGCUUGCCCGCGGCAUAUUCCCUUUUUUUUUUUUUUUUUUUUUUUCAACUUAAUAAUACAGAAAUGAUGAAAUAUAAAAAAUAAUUAUAAUAAUAAAUUGACAAAAACCAGGUAAUAAUAAUAAUAAUGAAAAUAAUUUAAAAACUAAACAACUAGAAACAACAAAAAUGGCCAUUUUUCCAUCUUUUUUCUACAUUUUUCUUUUUCAUAGUUUUUUCAUUUUUCACCUUUUCUCUUUUUUCUAAAUGAAUCAAACAACAAUAAAAGAUAAAUUAAGUAGAAAUGACUAAAAUAAAGCUAAAUAAAACAAAAUUGCUAUUUUUCUUUUCUUUUUCCUUUUUUUUUCCUUUUUUAUGAUUUUUCUCUUUUUUUUCAUUUCAAGAAAUUCUAUGCUAAAAACUUACAAAUAAAAAUAAAACUAUAAACUAAAAACUAAAAAUCGAAUAAAACUAACACGACAAAUAAAAAACUAAAAAUAAACAGUAAAUGAAAUUACACCAAAAAUUUGGUGUCUACAGUUUGCCCCUCUUUGUCUGAGUUUUGGAAAAACUUGAGACAAAGAAGUAGACACCAAAUACUUACCUACUUUAUUCGGCGGCGAACGUCACGAACGGUGGACGUUUUAAAAAUGGGGACUGACCCCUUUUGACGAAGUUUAAAGUGAAAUUGGCUUAGACGGGAAAUUAAAGCGGGACUGACCCGAACAAAAAAUUAAAACGGGACUGGCCCGAACAAGAAAUUUAAAACGGGACUGACCCGAACAGAAAUGUAAAUGGGAUAGACCCACGGGAUAGACCCGGACAGGAAUUUAAAUGGGAUAGACCCACGGGAUAGACCCGAACAGAAAUGUAAAUGGGAUAGACCCACGGGAUAGACCCGGACAGGAAUUUAAAUGGGAUAGACCCACGGGAUAGACCCGAACAGAAAUGUAAAAUUGGAUAAGACCAUGGGAUAGACCCGACAGAAAUUAAAAUUGGAUAGACCCACGGGAUUAGACCCAUGGGAUAGACCGGACAGAAUUUUAAAAUUGGGAUAGAACCACGGGAUAGCCCGGACGGAAAAUUAAAUUUGGGAAUAGACCGCACGGGUAGGGAAUAACCGGACAGGAAUUUAAAUGGGAUAGACCCACGGGAUAGACCCGAACAGAAAUGUAAAAUUGGGAUAGACCCACGGGAUAGACCCGGAUAGAAAUUUAAAAUUGGGAUAGACCCACGGGAUAGACCCGGACGGAAAUGUAAAUUUGGGAUAGACCCACGGGAUAGACCCGGACAGGAAUUUAAAUGGGAUAGACCCAGACAGAAAUUUAAAAUUAGAUGAAUUGAAGUGAGAUGGAGUGUUGGUGGGAUGAAAACACGCACAUUAGUGAGAUAGGCUCGAUGCUAACGGCGGUAGGAUGAAAACGCGCACGUUAGUAAGAUAGACUCGAUGCUAACGGCGGUAGGAUGAAACACGCACGUUAGUGAGAUAGACUCGAUGCUAACGACGGUAGAAUGAAACACGCACGUUAGUGAGAUAGACUCGAUGCUAACGGCGGUAGAAAUGAAACACGCACGUUAGUGAGAUAGACUCGAUGCUAACGGCGAUAGCAAUGAAACACGCACGUUAGUGAGAUAGACUCGAUGCUAACGGCGGUAGAAAUGAGACACGCACGUUAGUGAGAUAGACUCGAUGCUAACGGCGGCAGAAAUGAGACACGCACGUUAGUGAGAUAGACUCGAUGCUAACGGCGGUGGAAUGAAAACAUGCACGUUAGUGAGAUAGACUCGAUGCUAACGGCGGCAGAAAUGAAACACGCACGUUAGUGAGAUAGACUCGAUGCUAACGGCGGUGGAAUGAAAACAUGCACGUUAGUGAGAUAGACUCGAUGCUAACGGCAGUAGGAUGAAACGCACACGUUAGUGAGAUAGACUCGAUGCUAACGGCGGUAGAAUGAAAACACACACGUUAGUGAGAUAGACUCGAUGCUAACGGCGGUAGGAUGAAACGCACACGUUAGUGAGAUAAACUCGAUGCUAACGGUGGUAGAAUCAAAUAUAGUUGUCAAGAGUAGGGAAUGGAAGGGUGCGCGGCGGGCAUUGAAGUUUCGCCCACAAGAAAUCAAUUUUGAUUUUUUUCAAGAAACAAGAAUUUGAACUUGAUGUUUGACUUUUGAAUUUUUCUGAUUGAUUUUUUUUUUUUUUUUUUUGAGAGAGAGAAUUUUCCAAAAAUAAUUUGCCCCAAGUGUAGGGCCCUUUUCCUUUCUUUCUUCUCUUUCUUCGGCAUCGGCCUCCCACAUCACCAGAUGCUUUUCUGUCAUUUUGAACCAUGAAUUCCUGUACAAGGGGUUCAUCGAAGUAUGACAUGCAUUCAAAUUUCUUAUUUGGAAAGAACAGCGUGAUUGGUUUGAUAUCCUCAAACGUAUUAAAAAACUUUUGCCCCAAUAUGGAUUUAUUUCAUGAAAACUUUUGCCCCAAAUAAAAUUUUGCCCCAGUGUGGAUUUAUUUCAUGAAAUCUUACAAAUAAAAUUUUGCCCCAGUGUGGGUUCCCUUAUUUGCAAAAAUUCGUUCAGAUGAUUUCCCAUUUAUUUGAACAAAGAAAAGCCGCACUUUUGCCCAUUUAGAAAAGAAUGCACAUAUACAACAAUGUGAAGAAACUUUAAGCGUCAAGUUUGAACUCAUGCAGAAAUUUCAUGAUGAAUUCCUCGAAGUAACACCAAAUUCAAGAAGAUUUCUUCCUCACUUUUUAGCAUUGGUGUUAGGGUAACGGGUCACCACUUUUGGUUGGCUCAUCUUUUCAGAAUCAAUCAAGUGACUUUAUUUUUGAAAUGGCUAAGGAAAUGGGAGAUAAGAAUCUGUCUCAUUUUUGUGUCCCAGUUGUAUGUAAUCCAUUCAAUGUCACAUCUUAGUGAAAGCAAAGAGUUUGUUACCCUUAUUUUCAAGAAAACUUAGUCAACAAACAAGCUUUCUAGGCUUGUAACGUAUGGACAGAAGUGAUAGCUAAACAUGUGGAAACGGGUUAUGCCCUUAUGAUCACAAAUGAUUUGAUGAGUUUCUUAUGAGCAUGAUCCUCAUUUUGGAUUGUCAUGAAAGAAUAAGUCAACGAUGGACUUUCUUAGCUUGUAAUUUGGCUUGAAAACGAUAGUUUAAGACUUUCAAGGAUAUUGCACCAUAGAUCGCAUUUUUCCAAAAUUGCCCCUAUUUUGAAAUCAAAAGAUCUCAGACUUUGUUUGCAUUUUUCUCAUCACUCACCGGAGACUUCAGCGUCGAAUUUUCUGCAUUUUCUUGCACUUACUUUUCUUGCUUUGCUUUUUGCCUCUUUUCCCUUUCCCUCGAGCUGAUAGGUUUUCACAUGGUGAGUAGCGUCAACCUCAUACUCAAGCAAUUCAGAAAUACAGCUAAAAUUUUCCGGCAUCAGAAAUUUUCUUGACAGGGCCAUUGCAAAGAACAGAAGUCAGGACUUUCGGCUUUUGUAAUGGGGUCAGGUGGGGUGCUUAGAAAAGUUAAGGCCUGAAAACGGAUUUCAAAACUGGUUUGAAGAAUCUGAGAUCGCAUUGUUGCGCCAACCCUAUUUUAGGGUAAAAUCAGAAUUUGCCUCAGUUUUUGCUCAAUUGAGGCUUUUCACUUUCAUUUCCUUUUUCCUUUUGACUUUUCGGCCUUUUGCCAUUCUUUUGAACUUUCACAAAAUUUGCCCCAGUUUAUUUUGAACUGAGGUUCUCUUUUCUUCUUUUGUUUUUGAUUUUGUUGCUUUUCACUUUUUUUGAAAUUUUCUUUUCAACUCAAACUCGCCCCCAGUGUGGGGUUUGCGAUUCUCAGGGGUUGCCAAACGAAAUAAUUUAUUCUGAAGGCUCGAAAAGGAUAACUAGGGAUAAAGUGUUCGAUUGGAAAAGAAGAUGGCCUGACUUGUAUUCCAUUCCUUACAACAGCUCUGAAAGGAAACUUUCGUUAAUGCGAAAUUUUUUGCGUGUGUCUGAAUUAAUUGACUGAGGAAGACCCUUGCUCAUCCAUAUUUGUGAAACAUAGGCGAUUCACAUGGACAAAAACCCUUCCUUUUCUUUUUCAAACUUGGAACCCAAGUGGAAUCAAAUUUCCCCAAUUUGCAGUUCCCUCCUUAUUCUAGCAUUUUUGCUUUUUCCCUUUUUUCCUUUUUUCUUUUUUGUUUUUUUUUUGAAAAUUCUCCAAUCUCCCUCCCCAAUGUGGGGUACGACCAUGAGUGCAUUAGAAAAGAACCACCAAUUUUAGCUCAAAAUGGGGAUGCAAGGGGUGAUCAGUGUUUAGGUUGUAGAAACGACGGCCAAAGCAUCAUUCUUACACCUCAUGACAACCAAAGUAACGAAACGGUUAUUGAAAAUCCAUUCCCCUAUUUGAUAUUUGAAAAUUUUCCAAUAUAGGGUAGUGAUCAUUAGGGCUCUUAUCUGAAACGAAAUUAUUCUUUUCAUAGGCUCAAAUGGGAGAGCAAGUGAUAAAAAUCUGUAUAGAUAGUGAAACAAAUGCUCAAAGUAAAUUUUCAAAACAAACAAGAAUAAUGCACAUUUUUGCUUUCACUUAGAUGUGAAUUGAAUCGAUUAAACACAAUGGAUAUUUUCAAGCAAAGAUGGCCCCAAUUUGCAAUUUAUCAAUCAAUGUGACUGAUUUUAUUUUGGGGUUCAGUGAAGGAGAAAAGAUAUCUCAUUGGGCCUUCUGAAUGACCUCUUUUAAUUCUGAACACUCUUAUUGUGAAUUUUCAGGUCGGAGGUUGAAAAAAUCCCAAUUUAGUCUUAUUUCUUAAAAUUCAUCAUGCAAUCUCCAAUGAAUAAGAAUAAAGAAUGAAAUGUACAUAAAUAUACACAAAACAAUGAUUGUCCAAAAAAUUUAUUGCUGAAAAAGUUUGAAACAAAAUUUCUCAUUCAAUUACGAUACAAAUGAGAAGAGAGAAAAUUGUAAAGAGCUCCACAUAUACACUUUUUGUCUCCUUUUUCAAAUAUACAAAAUUUUCCUUUGGAAAACAAUUACAACAUUUCUCAGAGGGUUUUCAUCGUAGGACCCGCCCAAGAAUCAAAUAACACUUGUAAUCUUCAAACUUCAUUGGAUUAAAAUUAUCAUCAGAUAUAGAAGAAUAUUUCCGUCUUAUUGAAAUAUUUUUAUGAAUGCAAGGGAGGGGGGAAACAAAAGAAAAAUACCCCGAGUUAGUAGACAAAACUGCAAAAUCGGUAUGCAUGUCCUAUGGGGGGAACCCUUUUUAUGCCAAAGGUAGGCCUAGCAUGAAAAUGCAAUCCUCUAAGGUAGGCACCAUACCAUACCUGAUGGAUCUGAUCAACUCAUUGAGUGAGAAAUAAUUUUGACAAAUUUGGUCAAUUAGAGUGAGAAGAGACGUUUGUCAAAAUGAGGACAUCGUCCAAAGGGAUUGAUCACUUUUGAUCGAUACAAGAAUUUGCAAAAACGCACAGGUUUGACCUUGACGAACUUCCUAUCGAAGAGAUUGGAAUUCGUUGACCAAAUUUUUUCAGUGAAGCACGGGUCAAAACCCCAACUGAUCAAAUGGCUGGAUGCAAUAGAUGGUUUUCUCAAAAAUCGACAAAGUUUCCC
RNAcentral lists this long non-coding RNA (89542 nucleotides) under Coffea arabica (coffee). RNAcentral's name for it is "long non-coding RNA (CARA_LNC002619)". The record is from RNAcentral. Lineage: Eukaryota; Viridiplantae; Streptophyta; Magnoliopsida; Gentianales; Rubiaceae.